Molecule: long non-coding RNA, 102663 nt
Filed under: Gossypium barbadense (sea-island cotton)
Lineage: Eukaryota; Viridiplantae; Streptophyta; Magnoliopsida; Malvales; Malvaceae
Description: long non-coding RNA (GBAR_LNC018292)
Source: RNAcentral
UAAAGAUGACGGUAAAGUCAAAAUAAAAAAUAAUUUUUAAUAGCAUAAUAUUAAAAUGAGUGUAUACAUAAUAAAAAAACUAUUAAAUUAUGUCUAUAUUAAAUAAUAAUAUAUUAUAAAAUUAAUAAUAAUUAAAAGGUAUUAAAAUUAUAUAUAUUAAAUGAUAAUUAAUAUUAUAUUUAUAUUAAAACGAUAUAAUAAAAAUAAUAGUAGUAAUCAAUAAAAAGAAAAAGAAUGUGACCCAUUAAAAUAUAUAGAUUGCACAACCAAAUUCUAAUACAAUAUCAUUUGAUAUUGAUUAAAAUAUAUCGUUAGUCCCUGGACUUUGACAAAUUUAAAAUUUAAUUUUCAUAUUUUUUGGUGAUUUGAAUAUUUCAGUCCAAUAAUUAAAAUUAUAAAUAUUCUUUUUUUUUAUUAAAAUUCGUUGUUUUAGAAUUCUGAUUAGGUUGUCUUUAUAUAGCGUGACAUAUAAUUGACAAAAAAUAAACAUGUUGAGUUGACAAAUAAUGAUAGAAGCAACCAUUGACGAUAAUGAUUGGAUUAGAAUUUUUAAAUUUAAAAAAGUAGGAGGAUUUCAUCUUUUUUAACUUUUAAAAUAUAGGGACUAAAUCUCAAAUUUUAUUAAAGUACGAAGAUUAAUAGUAGAUUUUAACCUUUGAUAUUUCAUAUAGUUAUAACCAUUAAAUUUUUAUAUGACAAUAGUUUAUCGUGUAUUUUCAUGCUUUGUUGAGUUUUUGUAUUUUGAUAUUUUGUUAGGUUGUAUUGUUUUUAUAGCAUCUCACAUUUAAGCUUCAUUUAGAUGAACGGUGAGAUUAAAAAGAGCAGUGGCAAUGAAAUUAAUUAUUGUAAUAGUGAGAGUAAUAAAAGCAAAAUUAGAAGUUUUGUUUAGGGGUUGAAAUAAAAUUAUAAAAUUUUGAAAGCUAAAGUUAAAAAUAUUAUAUUAAAAAUACUUAAAUUAAAUUAUUUAUUUUUUAGAAGGAUUAAAAUUUAAAAUUUUUAUUUAACUAAAGGAUUAAAAUGCUUAAAUUUAAUGCUUUCCUUAUAGGAGAUUAUUAUAUUGCACUUCUACCAUUUGGUAAGGGGAGCUAAGGCCUUGCCUUCCUCCAACGAUGUCUCUAGAUAGUGGUUAUUAUAAUGGUGAUAGGAUAUAUGUUUAGAUUUAAACACAGCGAUGACAAUGAGAAUAAACUAGAAAAUAAUCAUUAAAGAUAUUAAAUUAUAAUAUAUAUAAAUUAUAUUUAUGUUAAAUCAUAAUUAAAUAAUAUUAAAAGUAUUAUUAUAUUACAAUUAUAUGAUAUAAAAUAAUAAUUAAAUUCAUUUUUAUAUUAAAAAUAAAAUAAACAAAUAAUUAAAAUAAUAAUGAUGGAUGGGCUAGAAGAGUAAUUUUCCGCACCUCAAUGCAGGUGUGCCAAAUACACCCAUAAAUUGUGAUGCAUUUCAGUGAAUGGCAAUUUUAUUUUGGGAUGUUAUAUAAAUUUUAUUAGAUCAAUCAUCUAUCUCCGUUACGAGGUAAUUUAGUCGAUUGAGUCUUAAUUUAAUUGGCGUUGGUAUUAUUGUUAUUGUAGGAGGAUUUAGGUUCGAGUACGUCGUAGCACAUUAUCCUUCUAUUUAAGGAUUUAGAGGAGUUAUAGGUUGUUCUAGACAUUCUAUCAAAAAAAAAUACGAUAAAAACUUAUAACGAGUUUAAUAUUAAAAAAAUAAUUUUAAUACGUUAAUAAUUCCUUAGUUAUCUUAUUCAUAAUCGCAUUUAAAUUAAUGCAUUUUAUAAGUUUUGGUAUACUUUUGUAUAUUUUAUCACAAUAAUUAUUCGGUACACAAGUAGAAGAGCGGAUUGAGAUUAUGUCGCAUGUCUUAUUUAUUUAUUUAUUAAUUUUUUAAAUAUCUCUACCCUUACUUAUGAAGUUAAAUUAUUUUAGGUAUUCCAUAUAUAUAUAUAUAUUUAUAUUUAUACGUUAAUGUAUUAAUAUAUUAAUAUUUUGUAUUAUAUGAUCUUUUAGAUAUUUGUAUUUAAUAACUCACACAAUGUUUGUGCCGUGGUCUACUUCUUGUAGUGUUUAAUAUUUUUAGGUCUAGUUUUCUCCAAAUGUUUAUUUUGCUCCUCCUACCUAAGACAGUUUAUUUUAUCAUUUAAAAGCAUUAAAAUAUUAAUAAUAUUUAUAUUUUAAUACAUUAUAAUGUUAGAAUUAGAUUUAAAUAAAAUAUAUAUUUUAAAAAAAUUAAUGGCCAUCCUCAUUGAUUUCUUAGCAAGUUUAAUUUAACAUUAAAAAAUAUUAUUUAUUAUCGUAUUAAGUACUUACAAUCACUCCAAAUAUGUCGUAUUUGAGUUGUGGCAGAACUAAUUGUUAACAUGUCAUAAUGUUCUAUUGACACUGAAAUUAAACUUUUGUUGUGUUGAUAAGGUUUGUCUUUCACCAUAUACAAUAAGUGUUUGUUGUUGUUUUUUCGAAUUGUAUGAUCUCAUGGAAUCAGUUAAUGAAUUUCCAUCUCUUUUUUCUCUCAAUAAAACUUUAAUUUAAUGGCAAGAUUGAAAAUUUAGAAACUUUUAAGAUUCCAACUUUGAAUUUCAACUUAUUUUAUAUUUUAUUUAAAUAUAUUAUUUGUAAUUGCAAAUGAAUUAUUGAGUUGGGAUCAAUUUAAUUUCUUUCCAUUUAAAUUCAAAUUGAAUAACAAAUAUAUAUAAAUAUCAAUAGCGUAAACUAUAAAAAUAGUUACUUUUGUUUACCUUAGAGUACAUUUUAAUUACUUAUGUUUGAAAUGUUAUGUUUCAGUCACUUACAUUAUUGUUUUGUUAUGAAGUGAUCACUUUACCGUUAAACUCCAUUACCUCCCUGACGACAGUGCUACGUGAUAGUCUAAAUGAAUUUUAAAUGCCAACUUGGAUGUCUAGUUGUUGGGAUGAGAGAAGGUUUUUAAUUAAAUAAAUUUAAUUUAAACUACCACGUAAGACUGCCGUUAGGGAAAUAAGGGAGCUUAAGACCACUUGAUAACAAAACGAUAACGUAAGUGACUAAAACGUAACAUUUCAAAUAUAAGGGACUAAAAUAUAAUCUGAAGCAAACAAAAGUGACUAUUUUUGUAGUUUACCCAUAUCAAUAUAAUAUAAAAAAAAUUAAGAAAUAAAUGAAUGUGAUUAGAUUUUAAUUUCAGAAACAGAAAUGGAUAUGGUUUUGCAUUGAUUUAAGAUUUACUAAAAAGGAAAAGAAAGCAAAGAGUUAAAAGGGGUUCUUUUUGAAAGAUGAUGAAUUAAUUAGGCAGAAGCUUAUUAUAGUGAUGGAGAAAACCAAAAUGUAAAAUUUUUUAAAGCAUUUUCUUAAUUUGGCACCAACAAAUCACAGCAGUUGAAUUCAACGGUCAGUCCUUUUCUCGGAAAUUAAGUACUUUCCAUUUCCUCCUUUUUCCUUUCAUUUUCUUCCUUGUUCUUCCUCUCUCCUUCCCUCCCUCCCUCCUCAUCAUUGCCAAUCUCAAUUCUCCAUAAGGUAUUUUUUUUUAUUUUGGUAUUGGAUUGAAGCUUUUCAUUAUGAACAAUAUCUGGAAUUGUAUUUAAAUGUUCUUCUUAAUAUCGGGUUUUGGAUGAUAAAGCUGUUUUCAAUGGAUCUCAUAACUGGGUCUGGUUUUAAAUUCCAUGUGGGGUUUUUUUUUUAUUAAUAUUAAUGGGUUAGGUUUUAGGUCUUUGAAUUUUAUUAAUAUUAAUUGGUUAGGUUGAUGAUGAUGAUCCCCCAAGCAUUACACUGCACAUGUGAAUUGAUUGUAGUUUACUAUUUUGAUUCAAUUCUGAACUGUCUCCAUGUCCUCUUCAAUUUUUUGUUAUUAAGAAAUUCACAUUUUUUUAAAGGAAUAUGUUUUUGAUAUGGUUGCAAAUUCUUACAUUUUCAGAAUGGGUUUUGUUUUCUUUUUAUCUUGAUUUGUGUUGAAUGACUCGAAGCAAGGAACACCAAAUUGGCGAUUGUUUCGUGUGUUCGAGCAUAUGCAUUUGUGUGUGUUUCUAAUUUUAGUUGUUUCUAUACAUUUUUGAUAGUUUAGGAAGUUUGCUUAGCACUGAAUUUGUUGUUUUUUUUCUUUUGUCAAGGUGGGGCUAUUGCUGACUUGAUUGAUUGUUUCUUUAUGGCGUAAUCGUAGCUUGCCGCAUUGAAUUGGGGAUGGGAUUGUCAGCUUUGUAUUGCAAGGUUAAGAACUACUUUAUGCAUCAAUUAAGGCUUUUUGAUGUUCAUCCAGUUAUGAACCUUGUGGUAUCCUAGAGCAAUUGUUGUGGAAAUGGCUACAAACAGUACUUCACACCUUAAAAGGAAUUUGAAGGGCUUUACAUCGGCCCUAAAAUCUGCUGCUUGUGAAUGUUUUCUGAUUGUUCUGCUGUUCUUUUAUGCUGCCUUCUCGUACCUGCUGACAAGAUUUGCACAUUACUGUGGAUUGCAAGCUCCUUGCAUUUUAUGCUCUCGGCUUGAUCAUGUUUUCAGAAAUGAAAAACCUGGAUACUAUUGGAAUCUAUUUUGCAGCAACCAUAGAUCAGAAGUUUCAUCGUUGGUUUCCUGCAACAUUCAUGGCAAGCUGGUUGAUGGUCGUGGUAUGUGUGACAAUUGUCUCUCAUCAGACAUUGAGGAAAACAAAUCCAACUCAGAUAUACAGAGGGUUUCCUUAGAAAAUUUGGGGUUUGAACCUGCAUGUUUUGGAAAUUGUGAUUCCCGGAGCUCGUUUUUCAACAGGGAUCUUUCCCCUGCUUCUAAAAGUACUAGGUUUUGUUUAUGUUGUGAUAAGCCAUGGACUCCAAGAUCGAAUGCCCAAGGAUUACCCCCCCUAAAAUCACGUGGCGUUGCAGUUGCAAAGGCAAACUUUUAUUUGCCACGCCGCUUAAGACAUCGAAAUGGUCUGAAGAAGUCAAAGGAUAAGUUUUCUGCUCCAGCAUUGACUCAUAUAGGAAACACUGGAAUUGAUACAUCGCCUCAUGCAGGAUUCACUGAGCUGAAGAUCACUUCUGAAUCGGAGUCUGAGAUUCCAUUUUCUGAUGAUGAGGUUAGCAAUUGUAUGGUUCUUGAUAUGAACGAGAGUAAGAAAGAAUCUCUAGUUCACUCUGCUCCGGAAACUCCAUCUAAAAGACUGUACAACAAUUUGGUUAAAAGGAAACAGCCUGAUUCUAGUGAGCCUCAUGAUUUUAGAUAUUUUUAUCCCAAUGUCCAUAGUGAGAAUUAUGUCUGUGACCGUAAAGGACAGCUGGCCGAUAAGAAAACCAAUUCUUCAGUUUUGCCGGAGCUUAUUUCUCUAGAUGAUAUUCCUGCAUCAUCCUGCCUUGUGGGAGUUCCAAGUUAUAGUGCUUCGUUACUGUCUGAUCUUAUUUCUCUAGUUGAUAAGCCCCCUUCAGUUAACGUUAUGGAAACUCCUCUUGAAGCAUCAUCGCGAAAGCGUAAGUUAUCUCCCUUUCUGUGUGCAUAUGUGUAUGCAUGUAAAUGUUGGUCUUAUCUUAUAUGGCUUAAUGUCUUAAAUUUGCAAUGGCAGAUGUUACUGGUGCAAGUAAAAAUGAAAAUAUUUCUAUCAACAUGACCGACAAAAGCUUGAAGUCGAUAAGCACAUCAGCUGGAGCUGGUUUCGAAACUGAUCAAGUUGUGGAUGAUACUGCUGUGGUACAUUCUGCGCAUGAGGAUCUAAAUGCUGUGAAUACAUCACCAGUUUAUGGUGAAGAAAAAGGUGCCUCUGUGUUUGUUACGGAAGAACCAAUGCUGAGAUAUAAUAAGGGUGUUAGCAAAUAUCCAUCAUUGUCGGUUCAGAAUUCUUCUGGAGAAGGGAUUGAUUUAUCAUUUAACAAUGUAGGUUCUGAGUUCCCAGAUGACGACGACGACUUUGAGACAACUGAUGAAUCCAAUCCUUAUGGGGUUCAGAGUUUUGAUAAUCUAUUUUCUGCGGAAAGAAGUGAAUUUGGUAGCUUUGGAGUUAACGAAGAUCAGUCAUUGGCAGUUCAGAAUUCUUCUGAAGAAGGGAUUCAUUUAAGUCCUGAGUUACAAGGUCAUAGUGAUGACUUUGAGACAACUAAUGAAUCCGAUCCUUAUGGGGUUCAGAGUUUUGAUAACCUACUCUAUACAGAAAGGAGUGAAUUUGAUAUCCUUGGACCUUUGAAUGAAAGCACUUUCAGUGAAAUUGAAGGUGAAGAUCCAGUCGAUAGGCUGAAGCGGCAAGUUGAGCAUUAUCAGAAGUGCAUGGAUGGAUUAUAUAAGGAAUUGGAGGAAGAAAGAAAUGCCUCCGCAAUAGCUGCUAAUCAGGCAAUGGCUAUGAUUACAAGGUUGCAAGAAGAGAAGUCAAACCUCCAGAUGGAGGGCCUGCAUUACCUAAGGAUGAUGGAAGAGCAGGCAGAAUACGAUGGAGAUGCCCUGGAUAAAGCCAAUGAUCUUCUGGCAGAAAGGGAGAAAGAACUACAAGAUCUGGAAGCAGAGCUUGAAUUUUACAGAUUAAACUUCACAGAUGAAACACAGAUAGAGAAUUUAACUGGGGCAAGCAUCAACUUAAGCAACGGGCAUGUUUCUACCAAGACUACGAGCACAUUUUCCGUAAAAGAUGAUCUGAAAUUUCCCUCGAACACAAUGUUUCCCGACAGUGAUAAUCCUGUAGCCAAAUCUGCAUGGUCAGAAUUCGAGGAUGAGAAGUUGUACAUUUCUGAACGUCUGCGAGAUUUGGAGAGGAAAGCUAGCAAGUUUGCUCGUCAUGGUACUUUGCCACACAUUUCCGAUAGGGAAAGCUUGGAUGAAGCAGCAAAUGGAGGCCAACAUCAGCAAGAGUCCCUUGAUGAAAGUGCUCCUUCGCAAGAAUUGUCAAAUACUUCAGUAAGUGAAGAUCGAGUGGUUAGUAAGGGAAACAGUCAUAUGGUUUCCAAUGGGCAGAAGGGUUCUGAGAAUUGUAAUGAAACUGGUUUGGCCAGUGUUGAAAAUGAAAUUUCUGACCUUAACGAGAAGCUGGAAGCACUUGUGGCUGACUAUAAAUUUCUUGAGAAUUCUCUAAAAUCUCUUCAAAUUGGAAAUGAAGGUUUACUUCUUAUUCAAGAGAUACUUCAUGAGUUACGAGAAUUGAGGAAACUGGGGAUAAGGAGGAGGAACAUGUCUGCGUCAUGAGCAUUAUGUUUAUCAUUUCAUGGUAAGCAUUCUUUUAUAAAUGUCUCUCCGAAGAAAAUAGUCUCUUCUUGGUGUAGAUCUUGCACAUUCAGUAUAAACUUUUUGCAUGCCUUGACUGACUGUUGCGGAAAUUGCUUUAUGCCUCUCGUUGAUUAACACUGCCUCAUGUUUGUUUUGUUUCAAGUAAAUUGCUACCAUCUCAAGCUGAUCAUUUCUUUUUGGUUUUGUAACAAUGAAUGCUGUAUGGUCAUGGAUCUGCAAGAUAUAAUUAGAUUAACUAUGAAUGGUGCCACAUGUGAAAUGUGAGUUUUGUAGGAUUAAGAAUAGAAAAUAGGAAGCAAUGAAGAUAGGUAUUUGAGAGAUAACUGGAAGUGACUGUACCUGCAUCCUAUUUACCAUCCAUAAGAAACCCGGGUUUUGCAUCAUCAUGCUCGAACGUGCAUCAGAUGUUCAUAAUAUAUGCCAUAUUUAUUCUGAGGUUCUUAUGUAACAGAAUGAACUUCUACCAUUGAUCAUGUUAUCAAACUCAAUUUCAAUUUAGUGCUAUGCUGCUUCAACUCUUAAUUUUUCUUGAAAUACCUAUGAUUGACAUUCACGUCCGACAAAUAUCUAGAUAUUGAUAUGGGAAUAUUGACUGUAUCCAACAUGCACUUAAACUCGAGUAAUGCAAACUUAAUGCCUUGCUCUGUUUAGUUAAUCAGUUUUUCUUUGUUUGACAUCCUAAACCUUUGGUUGUAUAAUCAUGAUCGACUACAUGACAUUUAUAUUUCAGGUGCAGUCAGAUUGAGGGUAAACUGAGAACCAUGAAGUUUGAUUCAAGAGUUGCAGGAUCUCAGCUUACCACGAAAUUGUGAAUAACCAAGAUCGGUUUUACAUGCUAGCCACCUAUGUUAUCCCCACUCUUUAUUUAUUUUAAAGUAUCCGUAUCCGACAUUUGUAUUUGAUAUAUAUUCGGGCAUGGAUAUGAGGUUUGUUCCUACAAUGAAAAAAAAAUUUAGAAAGUUGAGCUUACUCCCAUGUCCGACUAAGAGUAAUAUUGGUAGGUGGGAGUAAAAGUGUAAAAGUAAUUUUUUUUUAUUGCUUCGGCAAGGGUUACAUUUGUGGUAUUUUUUUGAAGCAGUGUGAAUAGGUUUCAAAGCGGGUGAUUUUUUGGUCUCAUUUACUUCCAUUGAUUUUUUUUUUUUUGAGGUUUGUUCACAUUUCAUAGUAAGCCAAUCCUACUUCAAUUGGAAAUUCAGAACUUCUCAAUAUAAAUAGUUUAUUAUUUUCACAACUUCUUGAUAUCUUGUGCUGUUUUGAUUCUUGAUUCUAUUCCUUUUGCUUGAUAUCUUUAGUACAUAGAUGUAAGGAGAAUAGAUUGUAUGAAAUUGUGAUUCCACGUCAUCUCAAUCCCUUUCUAUAGGAGAAUGAAAAAUAAAAUUUUUACUCCUGAUUUUAAGUUUUUUCCUCUUGGAAAAAAAAUUCAAAUCAACUAAAAAUGCCAAAAAUCAGAAGAAGAAAAUUUGAUUUGUUAUUCUUCUAUUGGAAAGGAAUAGCGAUGAUGUGGAAUCACAGUUUCAUGCAAUCCUUUCUCAAAUGUAAGAUGCUCUAUGUAUAUAAAAAUUGUUUAGAAAAGAUCCAACAUAUUUAUUUCCGGAGUGAGCAUAAUCCGAAUCGAUAUUAUUAUAAAUAAAUUUUCAACUACAACCAUUGUGCAAUGGUUUCAAAGAGAGAAGUCCUUGAAAUUGGUCACAUAGGUGGCUAAUCUCAGUCAAAACAAUCUCAAAGUAAACAAAACAGCAAAAGAGAAGUAGAAGAAACACAAGAAUUAGAACCACCAAAUGCUCAUUAAAAUGUAGGUUAAAUGAGUCAAAUAAAUCCCAACUUAAAGCACAUAAUUUGGCAUGAUUUUGGAAUUUAAUUAUAAUAAUAUUAGUAAAUUUUGUUUAUUUUAUGUCGUGAAGAUACUAAAAUUUAAGCUCAGUUUGUGCAAUUGCGCCGGAAAUAUUCAACUUGGCGUAGAGCACGGCGCCCUUGAGGAAAUUUGAGCAGCAAAAAAGAGACUUUCUUGAUCAAGUUAUCUACCAUGAUAUUUUUAAUAAUUAUUUGUUAAUUACGAAAUAAUAUUUGAUAUAUUGUUAGUAAAAUUUAAAAAUUUCACAAACAAGAUGAGUUAGACAAGUAUAAUAAAAAAAUUAAAAAUAAAUGUAUUAAAGAAAUGAAAAAAGUGGCAAUUUAUAAAUAUACUCGUGGAAUUAAAAAAUGCAUUAUCAGUGUAUCAAAUACUCACCAUUGAAUGAGGUGUUCUAGUUCAUUUAAAAUUAUUAUCUUUAUCUUUUAUUUUACGUUAAGAUUUUUUUAUUAUUUUAAUUAUUAUAUUUUUUUGGGUAAAUUAAAUAACUUUACGCACACUAUUAAGAUAACGUAUUAGCCCGUGUAACGCUAAUAUAGUCUGCUUGUACUAAAUCUUGUACAGAAUAAGAUUGAUCUUCAAAUACUUGGUAAAUUAUUAUAUUUUUUUAUUAUCUUUAUAGAAUGAAGUUGGAAUAAAACUCCUCUAUAAGAGAUAACUUUUGGCAAUAGUUAAAAAAGAACUGAAUAUGAAUUUUUCUUUUUUCUGUGUAAUAUUCUGAAGAAAUGAUUCGUUGAAAUAAUGAGUCACCAUUGAUAUCAACACAUCUGGGAUCGCCAAAUGUACAGGAGUUCCUCUAUUCAAUCCCUUUCCUUCUUGUUGCUGGAUAUCUCGUUCGUACACAUCUUCUCUUUGUUUCCCGAGCCUUAGUGAGUUACAGACAGAGUUCGAAAAGGUCAAAUCUUUGAUGAUUCCAUCAUACAUGAUUGAGUUGCGAAAACUUCUGGAUAAGUAUCUAGAAGAAAUACGGGGUUUUGCUUUUGACGACAACAUGCCAUGGGGUGGUGGUCUCGCUUAUGGGGUCAAAUCAAUACGUUUUAAAAAAGAAAUAUUUGAAUAUCAAUCUCAUCGAUGUCAUCAAUCUCAUAAGUAUCAUACCAAAUCUGAUCAAUCGAAUCAUUUUUUUAAGAAAUACGAGACAUCUAAGUCAUACAAGUAAAUAUAUCUAUUCAUUGAUAAGGAAAAGAAAAAACGUGAGCGGUGAUUAGAUUGAUGAGAAAAGAGAACAAUAAUCAUAGGUACUUCAAGUUUGUUGUAGAACAAUUUUAUUUAUGUUUUAUUAUUAUAUUUUAUAGCAGCAAUGAUCAUAAAGUAUGAGAUGCAUUUUUUAUUAAAUUACUUCUCUAUAACAGUUUACUAAAUUACUUUUGCAUUGUAGUCACUUGUCUUAAGUUUUAAUAAAAUUAAUUUUAUUCCUAAGUGAAAUAAAAAUAAUAAAUUUUGGUUAAUAUAUUAUUUCAAUAAAAUGUUUAAAUUUUAUAUAAAAAUGUAUUAAUCAUAUGUUAUUAAAUGAAGGCUAUCUUUAAUAAAUGGAAAUUAUUAUUGUAAAAUUUAUUAAAAAUAUAAUUUAAAUCUCAUCAAUUAUUAUAAAUUAUAUUUUUUAAAUUUGAGAAUUAAAAAAAAUUAAAUAUGAUCUAAAUCUCGAAUGUUAUUAUAGAUGUCUCGAAUGAAAUUAUAAGUGUAUAACAACUAUCACUCGAUAAUAUUCAAAAUUUUAAUAGGCAAAUAUUACUAUUAUAAAGAGAGUUAACUAUAAUUUUUUUCGAGAUUCUCUUAAUUAUGAAUUUUUUUUAGCGAAGAGUAGAUAGAAGCUCAUUCUUACUAGAAUUGUGAGGUUCAAAGUGUUCUUCAUUCUUUUCUUACAUAUAUGCUCAUUCUCUGUUUUAUAAGAAAGGUGCUCUUAGUAUCAUUUCAAGUAUGAUCUCUUAUUCGAUAUUUAAGAUAAUAAUCCGUUAAUUAGAGUAAUUAGAUCCGUAAUUAUCUCUUUAUUCUAAUAAAUAGAACAAGUUAGCAUAAUUCGAUUGAGAGAGUAACUGGGUUAUGUUAUGGGAGUGAGUUAUCUAAUUUAAAUAAACCGCACGGUUAGAUUUAUUAAUUAGAGUCAAAUCUUUCUAAUUAGUAAGGUGAUUAGUGAAUAAAUCAUCAUAAGGUCUCUUAUGCUUAUCCAUCUAUUUUGAUGGUACAAUAUAUCUCAUGGUAUAAUGUUAUAAUAUGUGGCACAUUUGAGCUUUAUAAUAUUGGAAUAAAUAUUAAAAUUAUACAUGAAUUUUAUUUUAAUGUGCAAUUUGAUAUAAGAACUUUCAUAUGAUGUAAUCAUAUACAUGAAAGUUUGUUAUCAAUAUGUAUGGUCUUGGACCAUCAAAAAUGAUUUUUCUUUUGAGUUUGGCUACUUUAUUAAUUCACUUACCUCUAUCACGUCAAUAUUAAUCACCACUGUCGGAAGUUUUGUUCUUAUUUAUAGUGACAAUUAUAUGUCUCAUGAUCAAGAAUAUUUGAGAUUUUUUUGCUUAUAUGAGUCUGUUCAACACUUCAAUGUUGGGAUUAGUUACUAGUUUGAAUUUGAUACAAAUUUAUGUUUUUGGGGAAUUAGUUGGAAUGUGUUCUUAUUUAUUAAUAGGUUUUUGGUUCACACGAUCUGUUGUGGCAAACGCUUGUAAAAAAAAGUUUGUAACUAAUAGAUAGGCGAUUUUGGUUUAUUAUUAGGAAUCUUAGGUUUUUAUUGGAUAAUGGGAAAGUCUCGAAUUUCAAGAUUUGUUCGAAAUAUUUAAUAACUUGAUUUAUAAUAAUGAGGUUCAUUUUUUAUUUGUUAAUUUAUGUGCCUCUUUAUUAUUUUCCGGCACAAUUUCCUCUUCAUGUAUGGUUAUAUUACCUGAGGCCAUGGAGGGGCUUACUCCUGUUUCGGCUCUUAUACAUGCUGCCACUAUGGUAGUUGCGGGAAUUUUUCUUGUAGCCUAUCUUCUUCCUUUUUUUUAUAGAUAUACAUAUACAUAUACUCAUUAAACUUUGAUUUUAAUCUAAUUGCGCACAUUUAAAAGGAGAUAAAUAUAUUUGUUUAUUUUUAUAUUUGAUUAAUAUAAUUGUUUGUGCUUACAAUAUAUAAACGUAAAGUGGUACUACGUCGAUAAUGUUGCUAGUAGUUUAUAAAAUUUGAAUCAAAUUAAAAUAUCAUAUAUAAAAUUGUAUAAAAUCAAAAUUCAUAUAUAACAUUGCAUAUUAAACUAAAAUUCAUGUGUAGUUUUAAUAUUCACCCACAUAAUAUUCAACAUAGAUCCAAUGCUUUCAUAAGCUUAAAAUUAGCAAUCGGCCUCGAAAAUUCCAUAUAAAAUCAGGUUUUCAAUAAUUUUGCAUUUCAUAUUCCAUUUCAAAAAUAAGAAUUUUAUGAAAAUUCAAAAACAAAAUCCGAAAUUAGAAAUGUCAAAUGGAUCCUAAAAGCAAACUUGAGUUACUUGAGUUGACGAAUCUUAUUUUAACAACUGAACUCAAUUUGAUUUUUUUUUAAUCGAAUCGAAUCGAGUUAAAAAAUUUUGAGUCGAGUUAAUGAAUCCUAUUAUUUAUACUCAAUGUGGUAUUUACGUGGACUGAUUAUUUAACUACAUAAACAAUAUAAUGAUUUUGUCUUUUAACUUAAUGGGUAAACAUUUAUCGAAACGACGAAGUUUUGCCUUUUUCUUAUUCAGAUUUUCAGAUAACUCGAAUUGUGUAAUUCAUAUUCGAGUUAAACUAAAAAUUUUAAUUUUUAUUCGAAUCACUCGAACUAUUUAAUUCAAUAUUUAAAUUUUUAUCAAAAUUUUCGAAUCGAAACAGAUUUUACUCACCUAACUAGAAAUUCAUAAAUAUGGCGACAAGUAGAUGGACAAAACGUCGCUAAAACAAAUAAUCUGGGUGUUUGUUUUACAAACACAAUUAAAUAUAAUUUUCAAUCAAAGUAAUUUUUUGUGACGGAAGGAAACAAAUGUAUAAAUUUAGGGAUAAAAAAAUUUCGAUUCGAUUUGAAAAAAAUUAAAUUUUGAGUUAAUCGAAUCGAGUUAUUUGAGUUUCAAGUUCGAGUCAAGUUGAAUUUUACAAUUCAAAUAACUUGAAUAAUUCGAAUAACAGAUUAGUGUAAAUACCUCUUUGAUCCCUGUCAAAUUUGAAAAUGAGCAAAUUGAUCUCUCUCAACAAAAAACAAAAAAGAAAUUCAAAAUACUUAUAAAAAUUAUAAAAAUAUAUAUAUUUUUUAAAAAUUUAAAGAUUCUAAAGAAUGUAUAAACAAAGUUAAAAUUUUAAAAAUUUUCUAAAAUAAUAAUUUUUAGACCUAAAUAAGUUAAUUAAUUAUUUAAGUUUAUCAUACUAAAAUAAUUUUAUUUUAUUAUCAUUUUGCUUUGAAAAAGCUUUCAAUUUCAUGUGUUCUAACAUGAAAUUAGUUACACUGUAACAAGAUUUUAAUUUGACAUGUUUAAUUUUUUAAUUUAACUCCAACAAUUUCACUCGAUUCGACUCAACUCGAAUUUCAUUUCACUUGACUCGAUUCGAAAAUAUUUCAAAUCAAAUUAGGAUGAUAAAAUGGAACUCGAUAACUCAAUUUAUUCAAAAUAUUUUCACUUGAUUCGAUCGAAUGCUAAUCCCUAUAUAAAUUAAUAGCAUAUUAUAACGUCGCUAAAGCUAAAAAAAGCGUCGUUAACUUGUUGCGUUUCUUGUAACAAACUCUCCAAUCUCUUGAAUUGCGAUGCUUUUUAAGGCGAUUUUGCUAGGGCGACUAUUUUUUAGUAGUCGUUUUAAGAACAGCAAUAGGUAAUAAAAAAGGGGGACGUCUAGAUGCAGCUUUUGUUGUAAUGUUCAGUUUGUAUAGUACAACAACAAACACAUGUUCAAAAUUUUCAAUUAUUUGGCAUGAUUAGCCAAGUCAUCUUAAUCUUGAGAAAAAUACGAGCACCCGUUAAAGAAUCUGAAGAUUUUUCAAUUUAAAUAAUUUUCAUUUGUUGCUUGUUUUCAAAGAAAAAUUACUUAUUAGAAUUUUACCAGCUAAAUCUGACUUUAAAUCUCUCAUAUUUUUAGAAUAAAUAUGGGCUCAUCUCAUCCAUCCACCAUGUGGAAUGUUAUGAAAUUAUAUGAUUUUGAUAGAUGUGAGUUAUUAACCCACAACAUGUCAUUUGUGAGAUUAUUUGCUUAAAAAAUUAAAAAGGAAAAUUACAACGGACGUAAUUGAGACAAUUUUGCUAAUGUUGAUUAGUUUAUAUCUUAAGCUUUUAAUGAUAUUGUAUGUAAGUUGAAACAAUAUUCUGUUGCAAAGCCUAUUGCUUAUACGCAAAAUUUAGUGAAAGUAUUAAUUAAACGCCUCUAAUUAAUAGUUAAAUCAUUACUUGUGAGAACACGGAUUCUCAUACAUAUAUGGAGAUAUAAUAUUUUAUAUGCAGCAACACUUAUAUGCAUUAAGCUAAUAAACUAACCCCGUUACAAUUCCCUUAUGGCUAGGAAUCACAUGUUUGUAAUUUUUAGAUGUGUGAUAUAUAUUUCGAUUGCUUCACGAUAAUGCAUAAAAUGGGUUUUAGAAAAUAUUUGGAAUAAUAUUAACUAUGAAUCUUUUUAUAAUUAUCAAAUAUUCUGAAUUGUUAAUUAGAGGUUUAGUUAUGAUGUGACUUGUCAAUUAUUUUAGUGAGAUAAUUUUUUCAACAUUAAAUAACUAGAUCAAUAAACUCUUGGGAUUAAUUAUCUAAAUGCUUUAAAGUAAUGUGAACCAUAAUUCAAAAGCAUUGAUAGAGUAUUGAUCCAAACUGAUGACCUAAAGGUGGUUAAAUUCAUUCAAGAAAGUCAGCCGGCAAGUGUGAAUUCAACCUUGGUAAAGAGGAUUCUACAACUGUUAAAGCGGAUUGAAUAUUGAAGAUAAGGUAUGUUCCAAGAGAGGAGAACAGAAUUGCGGAUUUAAUAGCUAAAAUGACCUCCAACAAGAAGGAAGAUGUUUAAGUUUUUGAGGAACUUCCCGAGGAGAUUCUUGAGGAGGAAUACAGUGAAAAAUCAUUGUAUUUUUACUAUUUUUCCUUAAUAACAAGAGCACAAGUCCCCCAUCAUUUGAUGUUGAAAUUUUAUUUGUUAGUUUAUAGUUUAGAGAGAAAAAGUUGGGAAAGUGUUUGAAUUCCAAAGUUUUGAAAAAAAUGUAGGAUUUAUAUAGUAAAUAUACCAAGUCAAAGUUCUCCUUAUAACUGGUAGACUUUUUUUGUCGGCCAAAAUACUAAAUAAAUUUUAAUUCCAAAUAAAUUGCAAGUUGAUAUAAUAAUAAUUAAACCAAUAGGAGUCUUACGUAAUGAAUUUCCUUUCUUUUUCUUUUUACUUUUCUUUUGAGUUAAGCUUAAUUUUUUAAAAAAUAUAUAUAUUGUUGAGUAAUUUUUCAUUGUACCUCAUUAGAGGGGAUAAUCAAAUAUUUAUAUAUAUGGUUAUUGUUCAUAAAAUUGACGUUCUCAGUAGACUCUAUGCAUGCAGGACAUGUGUACUGUUCUGGGUUGCGUGUUAGACUUCAUGGCCCCCACGUGCAAACUCCUUGAGUAUAUGCGAGCCGUGGCAGUGAGCUCUCGUUGUUGACUUCUCACUGUAAAGCUUGUGCAUAUCCAUCCAGUAGAGGCCUCCACAUGCGAACUUCUUGAUUAUAUGCGAACUGAGACCGCGAGCACCUCGUGGCAUGUGCGAGCUGAGGCAACGAGCUCCCGUUGCUGACUUCUCAUUGUAAAACUUGCAUGUAUCCAUCCAGUAGGGCUUAGCCAGGUCGCAGAUAGGCGACCUAGACCUUAUCUGAUUCUCGAGUUGAUGAUCAUAAGUACAUAAUAUAUAUAUUCAAUUUCAUCCAAAUCCAAACAAAAACAUGGAUCAAUUUGCCACAAAAGUACCAAGGAGAUAUAGAAAUUAUAGUUACCUUCCUCGAAUUCCUAUUAAAAAUUUUUGCCAAAAUUUUUAAAUGAAAAUAUUAAUUUAAAAAAUUGGAUUUUGAUUUUAUUUGUCAGAAAUUAAAAUGCAUACGUUUUAUAUAAAUUAACUAAUAUUUUUUAUAUAUCAAAAGGUGUUAAUGUCAAUUACACGUCUCAAAUGCAACGCUACCGUUCUACAACUUAUUUUAUCUAUUGACAUUUUUUGAUUUACGCAUUUUGAUUAUUUAUUUUAAUGCUUUUUUAUUAUUUUGAGCAAUAAAUCUCGAUAUUAUAAUUGGAGAAGAGAUUGAAUCAAGAAUAUUUUUCAAGGGUUCUAGUACGAUUAUUUGUGUAAUUUAACUGAUUGUGGAUAAGUUAAAAUCAAGAAUAUCUCAUUUAUUUUAUUCCAUAAUAACUUAUUUGAUUAGGGAGAAAUUUCAUAUAUUCAUUCAAAUCAAACUACGAUGCUUAUAUAAAGACUUGUGUUUCAACUUUUGGCGGAGAAGGUGAGAUCGCUUAUAUGUUCAAUGCUAGGAACCUGUUUUUAGGCAAUUACUUUGUAAACAUUGUUCUUCAUAUUCAAUUUGUCGUUUAAGUUUUUAAGAGAAAAGUCUUAGUGAGGAAUUGAUGUAUAGGAAUGAGAUUGCAACUUGACAAGUAAGUUGAAUUUAAAUAACGUCUUAUGCUUUUAAUUCAUAGCAGAUUACUUUCUAGAUAAAACCACACAGAAGUAGGAAAUUUUCUUAACUGUGUAAUUAACUUUUGUGUACAUCUCCAAUUGUUGUUCUUUUAAUUAGUAUAACCAGUUGCAAUUGAAUGUGCAACCGAAAGACAAUUUCACUGAAAUUUCAAAAAAAGAUAUAUGGAUUUCAAAUCAACCGCCAAAUAAGCAAAAACAAACUCAUGAGCUUGAAAACAAGUAUGAAAAAAAUUAAAUUUACUCGCAUUUUUAAAGAUAAAUUUUAAAAUUACACAUGAAUUUUUAUUUGUUACAAUUAUAUAUAUAAUUUUGAUUUUGAUUUUUAUUCUUCACAUUUUUUUAAAAAUAAAUCAAUUUGAUUAUUUUCAUAUCGAAUAAAUAUAAUUAUUGAUACAUGCAAUAAGUAAACUUAAAUGAUGUCAUGUGUCAUAGUGUUAAACUUUGUGAAAACCAAAUCGAAAUAAAAAUUUUAUGUAUACAAUUUAAAAAACAAAAUUCAUAUAUUAUAUUGCAGAAAAAUAAGCUAUGAUAAGCCCUUAAAUUUCAACCUUUGCAAAGCACUCAAUUAAUCCAAGAAUUUUGUCACUUGAGGGAUGAUUGGUUCAUAGAAUGUAAAAUUAUUUUCAGUAAUAGGAUUAUUUAAUACAUUACUAAGUAUGUUAUUUACUUUAUUUAGCUAAAAUUUAAUAUUUUAUUAUUUAAUUGAUUUAUUGGAAUUGCAUUUUACUAAACUAUUUUUAUUAUAAAAUUUGUUUUUUUUAACAAAUUUAUUCCCCCCCAAAAAAACCCCUUAAAAUGCCAAAUUAGACUAUGCUAGGAAUCCGAUUUUUAACAUAAGAAAAAAAAAUAAAAGAAUAAUUUUUAUUUUUAUUUUUAUAAUUAAAAUAAAAAAUUUUCUUAUCCAAAAUAUGAUAUUUGAAAAAAUUUACUUGACGGCGGCACAUUAUUAUGUUUUUUUUUAACAAUCACAUGAUAAGUUCUUUUUUUUUUUUUUUGACAUAAUACCUAGAACUAUCCAUAAUCUCUCCCCAACCUAUAAACAAGAAGAUAAUGCACUUCAACGCAUUCAAACAAACGUCUUCCUACAUUAACAAUAAUGCACAUACCGGUCGAAUUAAGACUCAAUCAACUAUUAUAUUUUGAAAGCUACUUCCUAGCAAAGAGGAAAUUCCUAGCCACAUAAUAUAGUCAAAUAUGGCUGCCAUUUAGUUUUCCUUUAAACGAAAACAUGCUGAAGAAAAGGAAAUAAUUCAGGGUUGAUAAAAGAUAUAUAUGGUGAUUUGAAUAUCAUACGAAUUUUUCUUAAAUUUUCUUUAGUUUUUUCUAUAGAAAGCUUGACUUAUGUUUGAGUAAAUAAUUUUUUUUAAAUGAAGAUUAAAGAAAAAAAUAUUAUGUGAAUCUUAAUAUUAUGUGCUUUUUUCCCAAAAUUAUUGUUUAAUUUUGAAUAUCAUAUGCUUUACCUAUGAAUUAUUGUUUAAUUAAUUAAUGAGAGUAACUAAAAGAGACUAAUAGAAAGAGGAGAUAUUGUAGAAUGGUCACUAUUGUCAUCUCUUCCUCUAUGUUCUAUUGUUUGUAAACUAAAUUAACUUUCAAUUUUUAAAUCUCAAAUUUUUUUUUUUGUUAUGAGUUUAAUUUAUUUUAUCAAAAAUAUUACUAACAAUUAUUUAAUUAAUUUAAUAUUACUGUUUUGAAGCUUAUUUGCUUUGUUAUUUGCGAUUUAAAUUGUCAUUUCGGUAGAAAAUUUCACUGAGGUCAUUUAACUUUCAAUCAAAUUCUUUUUUUUUCCUUUACAUGAUUUUAGGUUUUAUUUCCAGCUAUGACGAUUAUAUCAAUUUGGUGGACUAACUUACCCUUUAGCGUUCUUUUAGUAGCUGACUUAAUUAUUUGGUUAAUGGAUUCAUAUUUUAUAACAAGGACAAUAUAGUAAAAUUUAUUUUUAGGUUAUCUUACAUUUCAGCUAAAUGAACCAAAUAAGGUAAUCUCACAUUCCACCCGUAAUUUUACACCCCAUAAUCAUAUUAUAGAACGUAAUUUACGAUUCGACAAACCAAACACCCUCUUAGGGUUAAUGUUUUGUUAGGUUUUCUCAUAGGAACCUUACACUCAUGGAUAGUGAGGUAAAUUUAAAUUUUCAUUUCCCUCUUCAAAUAAUCAAAAAUAGAUUACGAUGUACAUUGAUGCAAAUUACAAUUUACAUUUUUUAAAAUUUUUACGAAGAUCUCAACCGCCAUGAAUGCCAAGUUCUCUUUAAAUAUUAUCCACACCUGUUACAAAAUAAAUUAAAUUAAAUUAUCAUAAUUAAAAUUUUAAUGUUUAACAAAGAACUCAAUAUUAAUUUACUAAUUGAGUCUUAGUGCAGUUGAUAUCAGCAUUAUUGUCUAGAGCAGGAAGACGUGAGUUCGGACGUACUAAAGCAUAUUUAUUCUCUUAUUUAAAGGUGGGUAGAAAUUAUAGAAAAUUUUAAGUAUGAUGUUAAAAUACAAUAACUCAUAUCAAUUGAACUUUUUUUUUUGGUAACAAGAAAUUGAAUUAUUAAACUAACAGGAUGUAGCAGGAGUCGAAAGCACAGACAUGUUAUCCAUCCUUAACUGGUGACGGACUAAAGAGGGAGCCCUAUGGAACAUAUGGACACCAAACAGGAAAUCCUUCAUUAUUCCGGCCAACAAGUGAGUGACAAAAUUCACUACCUUUAGGAUCUGCUCAAAGACAACACUCCAAUCUCGACUGCAUAACUCAUGAAUUCUUAGAACCAAAUCUCUAUGUAAAUACCCUCUUAAGUCACCAUUGAUCUUUCUAAUAGCAAGUGCACAAUUCAUUUCAACAACGAUAUCUCUUCAUUUAGCACCCCACACCAUAAUAAGACCUCAUAAAUUAUCCAAAGCUCCGCUUUCUCUGCACACACUUACCAGUAUUUUUACCUACCACAUACACCCAAUUGUCAUAUUCACCUCUCAUCACUGCUGUUGAUGCGGCUAAACCUGAAACUGAAUUACUAAUACCGUCAAUAAUGAAACCUGAAAGAGGUGGGCUCUCCUAUUCCGUCUUCUGGUACCUUAAUAAUUCUAUAAUCAUUGCCUCCAUCUCAAUGGUGUGCAAAAAACUCGCCACUCUCCCAAAAGAAUUUUUUUUUUUUAGAAAUUAAUUUCCAGAAAAACCUAUUUUAAGUUUUAAUUAUUUUUUUCUACAAUAUUGAUGUAAAAAAAAAUCUAGAACUUACUACAUAUACAUGAGAAAUUAUGUACAUUUGGGUCUAACCCAGCCGCCGUACGUCAUCUCUAAUUCUCGCCUUAAUUUCCUUUUUUAUUAUUAAAAAAAUCCUUUUCCCCAUAAUUUUAAUUCUUUUAAGAUAUUUUGUCCUUUAGUUCUUGCCUAUAUAAUUAUAAAGCGUAGGGUUCCUCAAACCUUUAUUGGAUCAAAUCAUAGGUUUAUCAAGAUCACUUGUCAGUUUAAAGCAUUUACAAACAGAACGGCCUUCAAUGGAGGAGUUCUUUCAAUAUCAUUCAAGCUCUCAAUCACUGUUUCGAUUGCCGUCGCCGUCGACGGAGACUUUGCCAGGCUUCUGGGAUGAGCUUCUUCUCAACUUCAAUGACUUCGAAGAAAUGGUUUGGGAUGAUAUGGCUGCGGCGGCCCUGGAUAAGUCCAAGAACUCCGUUAAUGGCGUAAAGGAAGAACGUGUCACAUCGGAUAUUCCUAAAAUGGAAGAGUUACCCAAGGAAGAGAAAGCUUACAGAGGUGUAAGGAAGCGACCGUGGGGGAAAUACGCGGCUGAGAUUAGGGAUUCAACGAGAAAUGGAGUUAGGGUUUGGCUUGGAACAUUCGACAGUCCCGAAGCCGCCGCUUUAGCUUACGACCAAGCGGCGUUUUCGACGAGAGGACCAUCGGCGACGCUCAAUUUCCCGGUGGAAGUCGUCAGGGAAUCGCUUCGGAGCAUUAAGUACCGAUGCGACGAAGGGUGCUCGCCGGUGUUGGCGCUGAAGAAAAGACACUGUUUAAGGAAAAGAUCGAAGAAGAAUAAGAUGGUGAGCCCACAAAAGGAGGUAAUUUCAAGAGAGACACGACAACAAAAGAACUUGGUCGUGUUGGAAGAUUUAGGAUCUGAUUACUUGGAACAACUUCUAACUUGUUCAUCUUGAAACCUCACUCAGGUUCUUUUGUUUCAUAUAUAUAUCUAUACCCGUUUCUUCACUUUCAAACAAUAUUGUUCUUAGUUCUUCUUGGUUUCAUUGAAUCUUUGGAGGGGAUGAUUUUCCAUGGCUGUUAACUGCUUCUUCCAUGGAUAAAAUGUACUCUUUUUUUUCUUUUUUUUUUUUUUUCUCAAUUUUAAGUUUUUGUAAUGUUAAAAUAUGGAAAUAUAUGAGUUUUACACUAAGGUAAAUAGAUCUCUUUAUAGUGAUAAUAUUAUAUACUAAAUAUAAUAAUUUAUCUUUUAAUUAAUUUCAAAGUAUUGAAUAAAAUUAUGGUAUAAACUAGGAAUCCACUUAAAUUAAUAUUUUAACAAUAUAAAAAUAAUAUAAUUUUUAAUGUAAAACAACAAUAUAACUAUUGGGUUUAGCAAUAUUUGAAAAGAAGGCUCUAAUGCUAAUCUUAACAAGAAAAAGCUUUUUUAUUCUCCCUAACUCUUUCAUUUUGUUUUCUUUUAUGCAUAAUUGCAUCGGAGUUCAUUGUCAAGUUAAUCUAGUAAUGAGUAGUUAGGAUGUAAUUUUCAUAUUAAGUGUAUAAGGUUUUUAUAGGCAUAUUCAUAUAUAACAAAUAAUUAAAUAUUUUUUAUUUUCUUAUCAUACUUAAAUCGUGACAAAUUCAAUUAUCAACGGUUAACGUGCUAUGAUGUUUUAUUAAUAUUUUUUUAAUUUUUUUAAAUCAAAUGAUACCAUUCCUAUAAUAGAUUUCCUUUUAAAAACUACUAAUAAUCAUUGUAAAUAAUAAUCUUGAAAGAAAUUCAUUGGUUAUUGACCAUUGACCAGGCUUGUGGAAUUCAAGCAAGACCAUUGAGUCAUAAGGUUGAACCUAAGCUACCAGAUUUGUCUGAAUCUAACUUUGACAUUUACUAGUUACAACAAAUAUUUAACUUCAAAACCCAAAGUUAGAAUUAAUUGAUUCACGAAUCAGCAUAAAUAGAUUUUUUCUAAUUUUUAACAUGUUUUUAAUUUUAUAAUAAUUAUUUUUAUUUAAAAAUCCAUCUAUCUAAAGAUGGGAUAGUGAAAAGGAGGCGAAAGUGACCAUCUGUCCCUUUACAGGUAGUGAUGUUCAAAUCAUCUAAACUUAACCCUAACUUUUGCAUUUUUUUAAAAAUAGAAUUGAUGGGAAAAUAUUAAAUAAAUAUUGCUACGUCUGCAAAAUCAUCUAGUUUGAAUAGGUUGUUCAUUAGCUAAGCUCCAUGCGAUCUGAUCUGUAUUCUUCAAACAAAUUAAUCAUUUACACUGGUUCAUGCAUCUUACCCCAGAAUAUUUCAAACAAAUUUGUAUAUCAAUGGCCUCAUCCAUGAUGAUGAAAGAUCAGAUUGGAUUAUUCAGUUUAAUAAAAAGUAAUUAUAACAUUAAUCAUUUACUAAGUUAAUUUUAUCUGUGGUUAGGUUGAUGCCACGUAAUUUUUUAGGCAUUUAUUAGUUUUCCAUAUGCUUUCAAACUUUUUUUUUAAAUGUGUAUUUAAAUUGAACUUCAACCCUAAAUGCUAUUCGUUUUUCAGAAGAAUGUUGGUCAAACGAAGAACAGAAGUAGAAGGGAGAGAUCAGUGUCAGAAAACAACAAAAUAGACGGACUCAGUAAGAUUCAAGUUUGCUAUCAUGUAAACCCAGAGAAUCAAGAAACACCUAAAACCCCAAAUCCACUCAAAAUCAUCCCAGAAAAUUAAAAAAAAAUCUAAUAACAAAAGGAUAUUUUACACAUACUGUAUGCCAUGCUUCUUGUCCCUGCCUUUCCAUUGUUUCCUCUCCAUAAACAAACAUUACAUAGUUUCUUUGAUUUUUUCUCUCUCAAUCAAUCCUAACCCUAAGAUAGGGCGUAGAUUGGCCCAAAAAUGGUAAAAUUGCUUUAUAGCUUUGGCUUCCAAAAUAUUAUCAUUCAUCUCUAGUCUCUACCUCUCUAAAUUAAUUUUUCUGGUUUCCUCCCUGCAUAAAACCUAGACUUUGAAAUUAAUGUUUUCAAUCCUAACCCUUACACUAUUGGUCUCAAUCCUUCUCUUUUUCAAAAGUUUUCAAGAACCCUAAAACUCUGAACAAUAUUCACCCUUUCUUUCCCUAAAUUAACUUAGGCACUUGACACUUGAGUAACCCAGAGUAUAACCCUAAGGUCAAAAGUCAAAACCUGGGCUUAAUAUAUUAAAACAACACCAACAAAAAUUUUACUUACCCACAUGGAAAAUGGAAAAUUACGUGGAAAUUACAAAAUUCUAGUUGGGUCAGUUCAAUUAAAAAAUAUUAAAAAUUCUAUAUUUGGGCACAAUAGUGUGGGAUGAAUCAUAAUGAGGUUAAGCUAAAUGUUCAUGCCUCUGGUACUCGAGUUUUCUUGCCAGCUAAUUGGGUGCACUUAUUCACUAAUGGUGCGGUGGAUAGAGGGUCUGGAGCUACAUUUGCUGGUGGACUGUUGCGAGAUCAGAAUAGAGAUUGGGUCUUGGGUUAUAACUAUUAUCUUGGAAAAUGUGCAGUCUUUGAGGUUAAACUAUGGGGCAUUUUAGAUGGCAUGCUUAUUUUACUCAGUAAAGGUUAUAAUGGAGUUAUGAUUCAUACAGAUAAUUUGGAGGUAGUUCACGUCCUACAGGAUAAUUUGUUGGUGACGUCGGGCAUUAUAGUCCUCAAGAGAGUCCAACGGAUCAUGAGAACUGAAAAGCAAUGGUUGAUUCGGUAUGUUCCCAUAAAAGAUAAUCAAGUUGCUGACUAUUUGGCCAAGUUGAAUUUAGGUGUGAGGACAUGCUUACAAGUUUAUGAUGAAGUUCCUCAUGUUACCUUAGAAGCUCUAAAUCAAGAUAAAGCUAAGAGUGCUUUUGAUCAAUUUAAUUUGAUGUAAUCUUUGUUUUUUUUUAUCACCAAAAAAAUAUAUAUUAAAAAUCAGUCAAAAAAAAACUAAAAAUCAACUCAAUUGAUUUUUUAAUCGGUUCAACAAGUUAGCGGUUCUAUUGGUCUAAUAUCAUUUUUCAAAUAAAUAUUUUAACUAAUUCUUGAUACAACUGGUUCGAUCGGCUCAAUUGAUUUGAUGAAUUGAUCUGGUUCAAUUCAAAUAUCACUGAUUUUUGUUGCUAAACUAAUGGCACUUUUAAGAUGAAGUACAUAAAAUAUUUUAAUUUCGAAAAGUUAAAUGAUUAAAUUAAAAUAAUAAUAAUUGAGAAGAUAAAAUAAAUCUAAUUGCAUAGGACAACAUUCUUACAAGUUACCCAUUAAUAAAAAUGGGUGGUUCAUUCAGUCAAUACAUUCAAUCGAUAAAAAGAUAAGUAAGAAAUAUGUAAAAAUCGAUUUUUGGUAUGUUUUAUUAAAUUUACUUUUCAAUUCAUAAAGUUUCAACUUUUAGCCUUCUGCGGGUAUUAAACACAAAUACAAAAUUAUAUUAAUUAAUUAAUUAAUUAUUAUAUUUUAUAUUUAAAUUAAUUUAUAUUCGAGUUAUCCAAUUUAAUUGAUUCUACCAGGAAACUAAAUGAAUUGGUAUCUUGUUGAUCACACUAGUUUGACAUUAAGUACGGUUUUUUGUCAAUGCAAUUUUUGUAUUAUAUAAGCAAAACUCAAAAGUUGUCAUGUGUCUUAUUUAUUUAUUACGUCUUAAAGGGUACAUGUCAUCCUUUUAAGUCUUAUUUGUGGAGACUAAAAUUUCAAUUUACAGUCUAACUAUUAGAGAAUGUAGUAAGUGAUUCUUUAAGAUUUUAAGAUCAAUUUAUUGUGUCGGAGCACUGUUUGUUACAUCCUAUAAGUCAUCAUCUUAAGGAUCAGGAUGCUACUAGUUCGAUUUGGUUCAGUCAAGUUUUUUUUUGGAAAUUUUAAACUAUCUAUCAUUUUAGUUCGAUUCAAUUUUUUUAUAUUAAUUUUUUGAUUUUUGAUUUUUAGACUUAUUUUAAUAAAAUGUGCUUUUGUUUUAUGGUUUUUGAAUAUUAUUCGACAAAAUGUAAAACUCUUUUCAUAAAUGUUUCUAAAAUAUAAUAAUUUUUAAAAAAAUAUUAUAAAAUUUUAUAUCAAUAACUGUGUUAAUAAUUUGUGAAAAUUGAAUUAAAUUAAAAUUUUACGUAUAAAAUUACAUAAAAUCAAAAUUCCUGUUUAAAAUUACAUAUUAAACCAAAAUUCAUUGAUAAAAAUUUAUCCCAAAAUAAAAACAUUCAAAGUUAAAAUAAUAAACGUAUUUUAAUUUUAAAGCAAUUAUAUAAAUUCUAAUUAGAAAAUUACAAAAAUUAUCGUUAUAAAAUUUACAAUACAAUGUAUUUAACUUUUUAUUUUAUCAGUAUCUUAUAUAGUAAAAACACUUUCUAUCCAACCCAUUCUACGAACAAAAAUUAUGUAAAAUUUGGGUCAAACCCCGCCGCCGUACGUCAUCUCUGAUUCUCAAGUUAGUAUUAUUAUUAUUAUUUCAGAAAAAUACUUUUCCCAUUAUUUAAAUCUAUGUUCUUUUUAGAUGUUUUGUCCUUCUAAUUCUGGUAUAUAAAGCGUAGAGUAUCUCAAACCUUGUCGGAUCAAAUCAUAGGUUAUCAGUACCAGUUUUCAGUUUAAAUCAUUUAUAAAGAGAACAGCUUCAAUGAAGGAGUUGUUUCAGUAUCAUUCAAGCUCUGAAUCAUUGUUUAUAUCGCCGUCGCCGUCGUCGGAGACCUUUUCAGGUGGCUGGGAUGAGCUUCUUCUUAACUUCAAUGACUUGGAAGAAAUGGUUUGGGUGGAUAUGGUGGCGGCGGCCUUGGAUUUGUCCAACAACUCCAUUGGACAUUCCUAAACUGAAAGAGUUACCCAAGGAAGAGAAAGCUUACAGAGGUGUAAGGAAGCGGCCGUGGGGGAAAUACUCGGCUGGGAUUAGAGAUUCAACGAGAAAUGGGGUUAGGGUUUGGCUUGGAACAUUUGACAGUCCCGAAGCCGCGGCUUUAGCUUACGACCAAGAGGCGUUUUCGACGAGAGGAUCAUCGGCAACACUCAAUUUCCCGUUGGAAGUAGUCAGAGAAUCGCUUCCGAGCAUUAAAUACCGAUGCGACGAAGGCUGCUCGCCAGCGUUGGCACUGAAGAGGAGACACUGUUUAAGGAAAAGAUUGAAGUGAGCACACAAAAGGAGGUAAUUUCAAGAGAGACACGACAACAAAAGAACUUGGUCCUGUGGGGACAUUUAGGAUCUGAUUACUUGGAACAGCUUCUAAACUUGUUCAUCUUGAAACUGACGGACUUCCGACAAGAAUGGUCAUAUGUUAGAGACAGACCACUUUUGUCUCCACUUCCCAAGUAUCUAACGAGAUAGCCCGACCCUUCCUUCGGUUUCAAACAUUGUUUUCGGUUUCAUUGAAUGUUCGAGGGUUGAUUUUUCAUGGCUGUUAAUUGAUACUUGUAUGGAUAAAAUGUUUCUUUUCAAUUUUGUAAAGUUGAAACAUAUAUUUAUAUAAUGAUAAUAUUAUAUUAAACACAAUACAUUAAUAAGUGGUAGAGGAUUCGAUUCUUAUUUUGGUAUGGAGUAAUUUUUUUGAUGUUAACCUUGGAUAAAUGAAUAAAUUUAAAAUUCGUGUCCAGCAUCUAUCUCUUAAUGAGUUUACAGAAUACGAAAGAUUAAUUAUUGAACUCGCUCCGAUAAAUACAUUGAGAAAUUAAAAAAAUCUACUUAUAUUAAUUGUAAAAUUAAAUUUGUUUAAUAUGCUUCUUUUUUUUUAAUAAUAUUUUAACAAUAUAGCUUAAUAGUAUGUAAAUGCACUCAUCACAAAGGUAAAGCUUUGAAUCAAAAAUAAUAUUUGUAUUGAUCAUGAAUGUUACUUUAUCAAUAGUUUUUUUUACAUUAGGAAAACAGUUGGCUUUUAAUUUCUCAAAAUUCAACUAUGUUAAUAAAAUAUAAAACAUGACCAUCGUAUUAUUAAAAUAUCAUAAAAUAUAUAUAAAAUUACUUUAAAAAUUUUAUACUAAAAUAUAACUGCACCACUUCUUGUUAUUAUUACAAUAAUCAAUUAAAUAUAAUAAUCUUAAAAAAGAUCAUCUACGACAGCAAAAUCCAUUGUUUAUAGGCCAUUGAUGAGAUUUAUAAAAACCCAAACGAGUUCUUUUGGGAUUCAAAACUAAAAGGUCAAAGUGUCAAGCAGAUUGUGUUUUGAUCUCUUUACAUUGAAAAAUUGAGUAAAUUAAUUUUUAUACAUUUUGAAAGGUGUAAAUUAGUUCAUCUAUUAAAUUUUAUUUGUUAAAUGAUGACGUAAAACAUUAAUUUAAAUUGUUAAUUACGAAUUUAGUCUCUGAACUAUAACUAAAAUAUUAUUUUGAUUUUUUUAAAAAAUUUUAACUAUAAUUUUUAAAAAAUUAAAAAUAAUCUUAAAAAUAAAUUUUUUUGCAUGGAAAAGACGUGACAUUGCCUCUUGCCAUGUGCUGGUCAAACUUCAAAUAUCCUUCACCCUAGACCAGUUCAUGAGUUGAACUAUCCGUCUAAGAUCAAAGGCUCACCUAAAAUUUGAGAGAGUUUGGAUAAAAAUAUUAGGGCCGUUUAACCUAAGGGUUGGACUCAGGCUUGAACAUUCAAUGAUCGAGCCUGGCCCGAGCCCGACCCAUUUUUAAGUUUAUAAUACUUUAUAUUAUGUUAUAUUUAUUUAUUAAGUAAUUUAUAAAACAUUAAAAAAAUAAACCUAUAUUAAAUAUAUAAUACUACUCUAAUGUAAACAUUAAAAUAAUGUGAAGAUUAUUAUAUAAAAAAUUUCAAUAAAUAAAAUUAUUAAAUUAUUAAAUAUUAAAUUAAAAUAAUAUGGGUGGGCCUAAAAUGGGGUUGGGUUAGUCUUUUGCAAAUAUGGACGAGUUUGGGCAAACAUAAAAUAUAUAAAUAUCAUGCAUAGGCACGACCUGAACACAACCCAGUCCGGCCCAUGAACACCUCUACUUCACCCACUGAGUUGGAAAUUUUACCUUGAAACGAUAGUUGGCCACCACCAUCAUUGUUUCUUCAUUAAAGGCCUUCCAAAGAGGGCAUUAUAAGCAGGGGAGAAAUUAGAAAAAAAAUUUAGGAGGCCAAAAUUAAAUUGUAAUUUUUACAAUAGUAAAAAUGCAAUUUCACCGUUUUAAUAGCCUCUAUCUUUAUAAUUUUUAAAGAAUUAAAUCAAAAUUUUAUCAUUUCAGGGGGGCCAAAGUACAAUUUUACCUUUACUAAUUUAAAAUUUUAAAAAUUUCAAAGGGCCUAAAUAAAAAAUUUUCCAUUUUAAGGGGACAAGGCCCCUGCCAGCCUCACUGGUUUCGCCCCUGAUUAUAAGAUGUUGGAUGGUCCACAAUUAGAAACUCAACCAUAUUUGUGAUUGUUCAAUCAUCAUCACCUAUUAUAACUGGUAACGUAAUUGAUCCUCUGACUUCAAUCAGCUGAUUAAAUGCCUGCUAACUCAACUCUUCCAUCACACGUCCAGUAUCAAUCAAAAUCCUCUUAACUUCAAAUCCUACAAUCAUUGCUGAAACUACCAAAGGAUCAUUGCCUUCUAGAUCACUCAAUUAGCUUCAUCUUGAUCAAAAAAUCCAACUUUAUGGGGUAUUGAUAAAUUAAAUAAAGUGUAAAACAUUAGAGGUAUCGAAAAAGGGAAUUAUUUAAGUUCAUACAUGUCAUGACCUAUUUUUAUAAAUGUUUGGUAUUGAUAAAUUGAAUGGAAUAAUUGUAUAGAUUAAGAAUUGGAUCAAACCGAAGAUAAUCGAGGAAAAGCCAAAAUUGUCAAUUAGUCAUUGAAGAUUCAAUUUGUGUGCUAUUUUGAUCAGGCAAGUACAUAUGGAACUUACCACUCAAUUUUUACUUUAUGUAUGAACGGUAUUUGAAUUUACACUUGUAUAUAUAUGAACUAAGUAGAAUUAAUGAAUUUGGCACUUAUAGCUCGAAAUGGACUGAAUUGUAAGUUCAUGUCAGUAUUGGUAUAGAAAUAGAACAAGAUGUAAAUGUGAUUGUUGACUGAUUAUUUGUGUUAAAAAUGAGAAUUAAAGUUAUGUACAGGAAUUGGUUUUGACAUUUAUACGAAAAUGAUGCACGAGUAUGACAUGCUAUUAGGAUUAUACACGUAAUUAAUCAGGGAUUUAUAUGUUAUUACGAGAUCUAGUAUUUGUUGCAGAUUCUCGGGUUAUACAUAUCGUUGGUUUAGCCCGGACAGGUAACCUUGAUACAAUGCCAGCUUGUCUGAGAAAUUUUGUUAAAAUGGUAGCUUAUGUAAGCAACCCUAAUAUAUGUCAACUUAUGUAAGCAAAAUAUUCUCGUGUAUCUGAGUCUGCUUUACUGUAGUUCCAUCGAGUGAUGUUCAAUUGAUUGGAAAUAAAAUUUAAAUCAUGAAAUGAAAAUAAAAUAGUGUUAAUGAUACCUGACAUAUGAAUUGUUAUAUGAUUAUGUUUUAAAUGUUGGCAAUACUUACGAUCCGAGAAUGUAACUAACACAUUCGAUUUGUGGUGAUAUUAUACAUAGAGAUAUGUCUUAAUGUGACAAGGAAAGUUAAAUCGGUAGCCAAAUGAAUAAUUGUUUAUGCUUUAAUGAUCAAAGGUUCAUUUUUAUAUUUUUUCGCUAAUAUUAGGGAUUCAGCUUUCUAAAAACCCUAUAAAGGUUUUUCUAACCUUUCUAUUUUUUGUUCUAAGGUUUUCUGGCUAGAGUAGUUGUAACUAUCAUAAUAAUAUUCAUCAUAGCUAUCAUUCAUAUCAAUAUCAUCUACCACAUUUUCAUUACCUUGAUUUGCAUGUUGAUGAUUGAGAUUUGAAUGGGUAGAUUUAUCCCCUCCAUGCCUUGGUUUUUUUAUCAUAAUUCAUCCUACCUACUUUUAACUCCCCAAUAAGCUUUACGUUUCUUUCAUUUCUUUUGUCUACUUGCCUUUAUCUAUCUAUUUUCUCUUGGAUAAACUUUUCCUACUCUUCAUAUCUCUUUUACUGGGAGGACAUUUGUUUCUACUUAGCUGUUAUUCUCUCUUGCAUGUCCAGAUUUUGUUGACCACCUAACUGGUGAUGCUGAGAUCCUUGGUCGGUUGGUGAUGCUCUAGCAUGAUGUUGAUUCUGGGGAUUGUAAUACCAUGGGGUAUUGGUAGAAUUGUUGAUAUGGAUUUUGUUUAUUUGGUUUUGAGGAUUGGUUUGAUUUUGCGGGUUGGUCUUCUGGUUGUCAAGCAAGGGGUUUGGGUUGUUCUCUUUUGAUCGAUGUUUUCUCCUAUGUUAUGAUCAGUAGAAUCUAUAACUUGGUUACAGGUGGGAUCAAACUUAGUGCUUGGAGGAUUACUUACACCUAGGUUCGUCAUGGCUGUCCACAUUCACUGCACUAAUUGUUAACUAAUGGGGUAAAUAAUGGAAGAAGAUGGUGAUUGGAAGAAGGGAUGAUCGAUGAAAGUGGAGAGAGAGGUUUUUGUUUUUAGAAAUGUAAAAACAAAAUGUCGAUAAUGGCAAUAUAGAACGAUCGCAAAGGAAAAAAAAGAAAAAUAAUAAGAACACAUAGAUUUUACGUAGAAACCCUUUUGGGAAAAAAACAUGGGCAGAGGAGAAAAAAGUUCACUAAUGUUGAAAUUCGAAUAAUACAAGAGGAGUUUCAACUACUUCUAUUUAUAGGUUGAAAAACCUUAUUCUAAUCAAUGCCAAAUAGAAUGAGAGAAGUACUAUACGGAUCUACUUGUACAAUCAAUAUCAAAUAGAAAUAGAAAUAGAGUAGUUCUAUAUGAAUUUUACUUGUAUUUUAUAUUAUUUUAUUUUUUAACAGGAAUUUGGGUCACACAACUUUAAUAAUCUCCACCUUGACACGAAUUCUCAACAAAAAAGUUCUUCACCGUGAACUCUCAACGAAUAAGUUCUCCACCUCUUCCACAAAAACCCUUAAGGGGUAAUCUUCAACAAUAUACACUAACCAAGUCCAAGCAAUACUCAAACUUGGUUAUAAGAAGUGACUUAGCCAUAAUAUCUACAGGAUUAUCAUGAGUACUAACUUUUCUCACAACAAUAUCACCACGAGCAAUAAUAUCACACACAAAAUGAUAUUGAACAUCAAUGUGCUUUAUUCUCUCAUAAAACAUUUGAUCCUUCGUAAGGAAGAUGACACUCUAGCUGUCACAAAACACUGUACUAAUCUAAAAGUCUUUAUUGAGUUCACCAAAGAGUCCCUUUAACCAAAUAGCUUCUUUACAAGCCUCAGUAAUUGCCAUGGUCUUAGCUUCAAUAGUAGACAAGGCAACUGUAGUUUGCAAAGUGGCUUUCCAACUAACUGCGCAACCUUCAAUUAUAAAAACAUACCCUGUGAGAGAUCUUCUUUUAUCAAGGUCUCCAACAAAAUCAGAAUCAACAUAUCCAAUGACUCCAUCUCUAGUUCUUCCAAACUGCAAAAAAACAUCAGUAGUACCUCAUAAGUAUUUAAAAAUCCACUGAACUGCUUUUAGUGUUCUUUACUGGGAUUUACCUUGUAUCUACUAACUGCACUAACUGAAUAUGACAAAUCUAGACGUAAGCAAACCAUAGCAUACAUGAAAGAUCCCACUGCACUAGAAUAUAGAACACGUGACAUGUAGUCAAUCUUAUCAUUUAAUUGUGGAGAAAAAGUCAAUAAAAGUCUGAAGUGGGCUGCUAAUAGAGUACUAACAAACUUGGCAUUCUGCAUAUUGAAUCUGCAACUAACUUUCUCAAUGUACCAUUUCUGACUUAGGUACAAUUUACAUGAUUUUCUAUCUCUGAGAAUCUUCAUCCCAAGUACCUUCCUUGCUACUCACAAAUCUUUCAUCUCAAAUAAUCAAACCUCUUGUAUCAUUGUCUUGGUGACUGUUUCAAGUUAUAAAGGGAUUUUUUCAGCAAGCAAACAUAGUUCUCCUUAUUUGAGACUUGAAAACCCUCUAGUUGUUGUAUAUAAAUAUUUUUGUCAAGUUUUCAUUGCAAGAACGUUAUUUUUACAUCUAAUUGUUCAAGCUCCAUAUCAUACAUAGCUAAAGCAAGGCUCGAAUCAAAAUAUGCUUCACAACUAGAGAAAACACAUCUGUGAAGUCUACAACUGGAGUCUGAUUGUAACAUUUUACAAUAGUCUUGCUUUAUAUUUGGGUUCUUCAACUUUUAAAGUCCCCAUUUCUUUUUGAACACCCAUUUACAAUAAAUAACCUUUUUACCUUUAGGAAGCUUUACUAGAUCUCAUGUUCUAUUCUUAUAAAGUAAUUCCAUCUCUUUUUGCAUAGCAAUCAUCCACUUUCUUGAAUCUUCGCAGCUAAUUGCCUUAGAAUAAGUAGAUGACUCUUAAUUUACAUUUAUAUCUUCAGCCACAUUUAAAGCAUAAGCAACAAGAUCAACCUCAGUGUUCCUCUUUGGAGGUUUAAUUUUUCUUAUAUGUAUAUUCUUGGCAAUAGCAUAUUGUAUACUCUAUUGUAGAUCUUGGAUCAAUCUGAAGCUCCACCUACUUUUAUUGGUCUUUAUUGGAAGAGUCUUUAAAAGAUAAGUUAUGUAACAUACCAAUUUCAUAAAAAAAAUAACAUCUUUGCUAAUCACAACUUUUUUUUUAUUUUCAGGACACCAUAACUUAUACCCUUUAACACCAGCCUUAUAACCAAGAAAAACAAAUUUAAUGGAUCUAGGUUUCAAUUUCCCAUUAUCAACAUGAGCAUACGUAGGACACCCAAAAAUCUUCAAAUUAGAAUAAUCAACAGGAUUACUAGACCAUACCUCUUAUGGAGUCUUUUUCUCAAUGGCAAUAGACGGAGACUAAUUAAUCAAAAAGCAUGCAGUAGAGGUCGCUUUAGGCCAAAACGACUUCGAUAAACAAGAAUUCAACAACAUACAUUGAACCUUUUUCAAUAUUGUUCUAUUCAUCUGUUUUACAACGCCAUUUUGCUAUGGAGCAUGACGAACUGUCAAGUGUCUCACGAUCCUUUCUGAUUUGCACAAUUCAUUAAACUCAUCAUAACAGAAUUCCAAGUCAUUAUAUGUACGGAGGUGUUUUAUCUGUUCUCCUGCCUGUUUCUUGAUCAUAUUUUUCGAAGCCUUAAAAGAGGAAAACACAUCACUUUUCUGCUUAAAAAAGAAUACCCAAAAUUUUCUAGAAAAAUCAUUAAUGACCGUCAGCAUAUAAUUAGCGUCACACCUUGAAGGCACUCUUAAUGGUCCCCAAAGAUCAAAAUGAAUGUAAUCCAACAUUCCUUUUGUGUUAUGGAUUCCUCUAGUGAAUUGAACUUUCUUUUACUUCCUAAAAAUGCAGUGUUCACAAAAAUUCAGUUUGCAAAUGCCUUGUCCAUCAAGAAGUCCUAUUUUGCUUAAUUUUGUUAUGUUGUUCUCACUCAUAUGCCCUAAACGCAUAUGCUAAAGUCUAGUAAUAUCAUCAUCUGAUAAGGAAGAGGAAGCAACGGUUGCAUCACCAGUAACAAUAGAACAUUGCAAAACAUAAAACUUGAUAGUCUUUCUCUGCUCUUUCAUCGCAAUGAGGGAACCCUUGCUAAUCUUUAGAACCCCACUUUCAUUUGUGUACUUGUGCCCUUUUGAAUCAAGAAUACUCAAAUAAAUCAAAUGCAUCUUCAAUUCUAGUACUUGUCGUACACCACUAAGUGUUCUGACGAUUCCAUCGAACAUCUUAAUUUUGAUCAUGUCAAUACCUGUGAUUUUACAUGAAGUAUUAUUUCCCAUCAAAAUAACACCUUUAGACACUGUUUCAUAUAUUGUAAACCAAUCCCAAUUAGGACUCAUACGAAAGGUGUAACCAAAAUCGAAGAUCCACUCCUCGCUCGCUUUCGAGUUGUCGGUAGAAGCAACUAGGAGUUCACCAUCGCUAUAGUCUUCUACAACAUCAGCUUCACUGGAUUGUUCUGGUUGUUUUCCUUAUUGAUUCACAACCUCCCUUUUGAUCUUGUCUAUAACUUAUAGCACUAAGAUUUAAUGCGUCUUUUCUUCUUACAGAAGUUACAAGUUUUACAUCUGUUUGAAAAUAUCAAUCUACCUUUAGAUUUACUACGAGGAUUUCAUUCUUGUGUCCUUUCAUGAUUAUCAUCAAUAUUUCGUUCUUAUCUCCCAGAACAAUGAGACCCUCUCCUUGAGAGUAGGAUCCAACCACAAGGUGUUUCAUCUUGUCAUACGAGGUUAAAAAAGUAUAGACUUCAUCAACUGUGAGAGAUUCGUGACCAUACAAAAUUGUAUCUCUAAAGGUUGAAUAAGACAGGGGCAAUGAACAAAGUAGAAUUAACCCUAAAUCUUCUUUAUCAUACUGAACCUCUAUGGCCUCUAGGUCUACGAGAAUUUCUUUAAACAUAAUUAAGUGUUCGUAUACAUAUGCACCUUCCUCCAAACGAUGAGCAUAAAGACAUUAUUUCAUAUGCAACUUGCUAGUUUGGGUUUUCGACAUGAAAAGUUGCUGCAACUUUGCCCAUAUUGUAGUGGCGGUCUUCUCCUCAUCAUGUCCUAUAGAAUUGCAUUCAGUAAAUGCAAAUGUAAUUGCGUUAAAGCCUUUCGAUCUUUAUGCUUCUUCUCUUCCUCCGUCAAUGUCGAAAGCAUCUUACUCAUCCCUAUCAGGGCAUCCUCUAAAUCUAUCAACGCAAGAAUUGUCUGCAUCUUUAUCUGUCACAACGGGAAUCUAGUAUUGUGAUCCAACAACGGAAUAUCAUACUUCAGUGUUGCCAUUACCAUGAUCGAGAUAAGCAACCUGAAAAGCUUGAUACCAGUUUGUAAAAACUGAACGUCGAUAAUGGCAAUAUAGAACGAUCGUAAAGCAAAAAAAAUAUAAGAACGCACAGAUUUUACGCGAAAACCCUUUCAGAAAAAAAACCACGGGCAGAAGAGAAGAAAAUUCACUAAUGUUGAAAUUCGAGUGAUACAAGAAGAGUUUCAACUACUUCUAUUUAUAGGUUGAAAAGCAUUAUUCUAAUCAAUGUCAAAUAGAAGGAGAGAAGUUCUAUAUGGAUUCUACUUGUACAAUCAAUAUCAAAUAAAAGAAGAGUAGUUAUAUACGAAUUCUACUUGUAUUUUAUUUUUUAAUAGGAAUUUUGGUAACACAACUCUAACAGGCAAAGUAAGGGAUUUCAAGAGGAAGAAAUGUUUAGAUGAGUCUUUGUGAGUUGUUUGUAUGGCCUUUUUAUAAGAGGGGACAAAUUUGGAUACAUGUCCUAAGGUCACUGACAUAGAAGUCUGAUUUGAUACUCUUGGCAGUGACAGUGAUUCUACGUCCUAGGAUGAGACAUUUUAGGCUUACUAACAAUCAAUUACCUUGGGCCUCCACGUGGUUCUCAUAUAGUCUUAGUGAAGAUGUCCUUUUUUAAAGUUCGCCGAGUUGAGGCUCGCAAACUAAUAUGGAUGAACUGUGAGGUCCACAAGGUAUUUUGGGAGGUCCGCAAGAUUCGCUACAUAAGCUAUACUAAAAAAAAUUAUAUAUCAAAAUAUGAAACAAAAAAUUAUUGCCGACCUUCUUUAAGAAUUGCGUAAUUAUUUACAAAAGAAUAAAAAUAAUUAAUUUUUUUCUCAAAAAAAGAAUUUUUAGGAUUUGUUUGGUAAGGUUUGUUUCACAAAAUUCUGAAAAUUGUGUAAAAACAGAAAUUUCUAAGAUAAUGGAAAUAUAUUUUGUUGUUUAAUUAUUUUCUUAAAGAUCUAUAUUAAUUCUUUUCAGAUAAUACUAUUAACGUAAAUAUUAAAUGUUAAUUAUUAAAGUGUUUAUUGACAAAAAAAAUUGAUAUUUUAAUAUUAUCAUCAGGGGCGACGCGGGAGCUGACUAGCAAGUGAUUUGAUCUCUUUAAAGUGAAAAAUUGUAGGUUUGACCUUUUAAAUUUUAUAAAAUUAUAAGUUAAUACACGUUAAAAUUUUAUUUUGACCUUUUAAAAUGAUAAAUUUUUAAUUUAAUCUUUUAAAAAUUAUAAGGCUAAGAACUAAUAAAAUAAUAAAAUAAUAUUUUAAUUGUCAUAAAAAUUUAUAACUUAACUUAAUUUUAUCUCAUAUUUUAUGCAUUUUCUAUAAAUUUAAAGAGAUGAUGUAUGAAUAAAACAAUUUCAAGGUUAUUAUCAUCUUUCAAAGAAUACGGUAGGACUAAUAAAGAAAUUAUUAUUAUUAGUAGUAGUAGUAGUAGUAAAGGAAGAAUCUAAGUCUUCUUUACAUCAUGGCCGUAAUGGAAGCUUAAGAGUCAUAAAGAAAUGUUAGGUGAAGUUGCAUGUUGAUGUUGGCACAUAAAAAGUAAAAGUAGAUAAUAGAAAGUUACAUAUAUUGAAGUUGUAACAUUUCAGCCGAUUACAUGAAAUGAAAGGGCCGCCUUGUAAGACCCUUUCUUUUUAUUAUUCAUCCUCUAAACCCUAAUCUUUCAGUACCUCAACGAUCAACAACAAAAUCCAUGGCGGACAUAGCUCUGCAACUCUUUUUAUUACUUCCUACUUACGUUACCCUACAAAGAUCCCCCUGAUUUUGAUUGCAUUGGCUUCGGCUGGAGUUUAAGCAUCGGCCCUCCUCUCGGACUGUGAAGGAGUGAAGAAAAAGGUGUUUUUGUUGUUGAACUUAAUCCGCCUUGCAUCUUCUCUUGACACCUGAUACGACGCUGCCACCACUUCCUCCGGCAGUGCUCGCAUGAAGGAGACACUUCCAGCCAUUGGGGUGUUGGUGGCUUCGCUAUUGGUGAAGAAGGAAAUCCAUUCGGCUCCUUCGUUUCCUGCUUGUUUCAUGAACGCAAAGUUCUGUGGCACCGUCAGGAGCUGACCUUGCUCCACGUUAUCGUCGAACACUGCGUCGCCGUUGUGGUUCACCACUUGGACUCUGGCACAGCCUCUUAACAUGUAGAGUAUUUUGUGAGCGUUGACGUUCCAUUGUGGAAUCAAACCAGCUCUCUGCAAAAACAAAUGUUACAUACAGUGUUAUAUAUGAUUCAAUAUUUUAUUGAAUAUUGUUAAGAAAUAAAUGUCUCGAGCUUACGUUGUAGAGGACACCCCUCUCGGCGCUGAGCUCAAGUCGUUGGAGGAUGGGGAGGUUAAACCUGUUGAGGGUGGAAAUACGACCGGCUUGUGGGUUGAAAAUGUCGGCACGUUCAGGGUCAGCAAGGUUCUCCUUGAUCCUCAUGGAGCAGAAAGUUUCCUCGAGGCCAUUAUCUUGAGACCCUCCUCUCGUAUGGCGGUAUCGCUGCUCCUGCUGGCGCUCCUCACGUUCUUCUUCCUCCAUUCUGGGUGGUGUUACGACUUGGAGUCUGUCCCUGACUCUGAUGAUGGUGCCUCUAUUUCCUCGUACACGUUGGAUUUUCCUAAUGAUGUCGUGGUCAACGUUGAAAGCUUGAGCGAGGAAGUUUCUGUCGAAGGCACAGAGAAGGUUGUUGCAUGAUGAGCUUUCCCGCCCCUGCUCCUCCUCCUCCUGGUGGCGGCUGCGGCGGCUGGGGUUGUCUUCUUCUUCUUCUUCUCCUUCUCCUUCUUCUUCCUCAGACUCCUCCCCCCUCUCACUUCUUCCCUGCAUCUGCUGUGCUAGCCUCCUCAGUUGCCUCUGUUCCUCUUCUGGGUUACCAGCAAGAUGGAAUCUCUAUAACAUUACAAGAGAGAGAUCAUCAAAAACAAAAACAAAAAGUUAUGUAUAGAAAGGGAUUGUCAAAAUUAUAAAAAAUUAUAUACUCUAGGGAUGUUGUCGAGCUGAUUAGCACUGUUGCCAGUGUCAAGUAGAUUGAUAGUAACAACACGCUCAUUGCCAUCAUUGUAGCUCCAGUGAACCACACCCUGCGGCAAAGCAAUGAUGUCACCCUGGCGGAACCGUCGGACUUUCUGGUGCUGGUCCUGGAACCUGCCACGGCUUUGAUGCUGCCAUUGCUGUGAAUCCUGGAAUGUUUCGGCACAUCCAGGCAUCACAAUACCUUGAAUACCUCUUCCUGAAAAAACAAAUUUAAACAUCAUUUUGUAUUUUAUACCAACGAUAAUAACACCAUUAGUGACGCACUAUUAUACCUUGGACAAUGUAGAGAAGCUGAGGAGCAUUGGUGAAGGAAGGCAAAACAAGGCCAUUAGGUUCAAUAGUCUGCCUCAUUACAGAUACACCAGCACACCUGAGCUGUUGACAGUUGGGGUUCCACCACUCGGUGGUGCCGGCUUCGGAGCGAAUUCGGGUCUGGGGUGCAGAGGCGCGGAGCCUAUUGAUUUGACACUCAUUUUGGGACUGCUGUGACGAAAAGGUCUGGCGAGCUAGGCAGCCAUUGAAGAGAAAAAGAAGGGAAAGAAAGAGCAAAGAAGGGUUAAUCGCCAUAUCUACGUGUUGAAAUGGUUAUUUGGUGAAGAAGGGAGUGGAGGGAUAGUGGUAUUUAUAGGGGAGAAAGAGUGGAAAAGGAGGUCAGGGUUGUGUCGACACACAGCAGUUUGCAUGGGGGAGUUGAGGUUAAUGGCUUACACAUCAUAGACUGGGGGAGGGCAGGUGGCUCAAAGCUUCGAUGAAUACUUACAAAUAACAAUACCAGGAAAUGAAGAAGAAUCCGAAACCACGAUAUGUCGCCAGAUGAGAUUGGUUAAGGAGAGAGUCUUGAAUUUUGGUUACACUAAUCAAACCAAAAUGAUUCAUCAAUUUAUUAAUUAAGCGUUCAAGAGUUCUUUAAAACAUGAUUCAUUAUAUUAUGAUUUUAUUUAAAUUUCCAUUUUCGUUUAAAAAACAUUAAUUGAUUUUAUUGUUAAAAAUAUAUAUUUCUCCUCGUUAACUUGUACUUACUACAUAUAUUAAGAGUUUAAAUGAGAUCAUUUUAGUCUCACCAAAAAUCCAUUCAUUUCACAAAACAAUAAAUUUUAUUUUUACAGUAUUUAUAUAUUUUUAUAUUUUAAUUUGACCCUAAAUAUCAUUAAAUUAUAUUUAAUUUUUAACUUUUUACUAAUCUACAAUAAUAUAAAAAAGUGUCAAAAUUAUUUUAAUAACAACUAAAAAGGGUAAGGAGAGUGAAAAUGUGGUGUGGAGGCAGGACGUGAAGAACCUACGCAGGGAAUUACUUGUUUGUUUGUGAACUGUGAUGGUGUUGCGACAACUGGGCCGUAGCAUGUUAUACCUCUUGCCAUCUGUUUAAGCCAAGUUGUACUACAUUCUAUACGGUCGUACAUUAUUCCGAUAAUUGCAAUUUUUACGAUAUAAAAUAUAACUGAUGAGAACAAAAAUAAGUCAAACAACUAUAGUAGUGGUGGAAAGGGUAAUUUUAGAAUUCUAUUUUUUUGAUAUUCAAGUCCGUAAAUAUUAUUGUUUAAUAUAUAUGAGGUUAAUAUAAAAGUUAAUUAAAUUUUGGUAUCUUAAUUUUAUCAAAUUAAUAGUUAAUUAGGAUACAAAAAUUAAAUUGUAAAAAUUCAUUGUUAUAAAUUUUUAAUUAAUCAAAACACCAAUUGAGCAAUUGAACUACUAUUAUAUGACCAAACGGUGGUAGAUUCUAAGUGUUAUCCACUAAGAAAUGUUAAUUAUGCUUAAGGUUCAUUAAUUUAAAGUUAAUUUUAAUUAAUUAAUUAAUUAAGUGCACAAAAUGAAUGCAUUGAAGUGUAAGCUUAAAAUAGGUAUCAAAUGGCCUAAAAUGUACCAAAAAUAGAGUCCACAUUGCGACUUCAGCAAUGGAGCUCUGGAUUUCAGACCACGACGUGAUGAGGAACAUCGUCGUCACAACGAUGCCAAGUUAGUAUGUAACGUCGCGACGAGGAACCCCCUCAUGUCGCGACGUCAAUCCAAAAUUUUUAAAACUUUUACAAAUCGUUUCUUGUUUGAUUCCAGGCUAAUUUUAGAGCAUACGUAAGCUUGUACAAGACCCGAGAAAAGUUGUAUAUCAUGUUUAUGGCUUGAAAAUGUUAUGUUUGUAUGCAUUAAGCUGUGAAUUGAAAGUUAAAUGUUUGUAGUUGCUUCGACAAUGAAUGUGACAUCCUAUAGCUCGGAUCCAGUGAUCAGGUCGGAUGAGGUGUGUUACAAUUUGUUACUAUUUUUUAACUCUAUCAUUGUUCAUAUUCUUCUUCCUUAACCCAUUUUUUUCUCCACAUCACCCUGCUUCCCAAAUUGAGUAACUCUACUUAAAUGAAUUGAGGAAUAGAUUUAGCGAAUAUUUUGUGAAGCAGGAGUGUGGGAGGGUGGCGUGGAGAAGAAAAAAGAUUAAAUGCUAAAUUGGGAUCUAACUUUUUAAGGGUUGCUUAAAUAAAUGCCAAACCUUUUAACUAUUCAUAUAAGGCAUAAUCAUUAAAAAGUGCUCAAAUAAAGGUUUUCCAUGCACUUCAGUCUUGUUUGUAGUAAAAAUUAGGUGAAUGCUGACAUGUUUAAAAUAAAACACAUUACAACUGAAUUUGAUAUUGCUUGAAAAGAAAAUAAAAUAAUAAAAACAUCAACUGAAACCUAAUAUACGACAUUUGAGAAGUCCUUAUUUAAGCACUUUCGAAAAAAUUUGGCCUUUAUUUGAUUGUUUUGAAAGGUUUAACCUUCAUUUGGACGCUUUUUGUAAAUGUUAGGUCCUUAUAUAAGCAAUGUCUAAAAGGUUGGGCCCCAAUUUUAGCAAAAAAAAAAGGGUUAAGGAAGAGCAGGAUGAACAGUGGCAGGGUUAGAAUAGUAAAAAAUGAUGGCAUGGGCACAAUCAAUCGUUUUUAGAGGUUUCUUGGGUGAUUAAAAUGAAAGUACUCUCUAAUGGUGGUGAUUAAAUUGCAAGAAUUUUUAUUUAGGUGACAAAAAUAAAAGUGGCCUAAAAGUUGAGUUAUCAGCUAAGUAGUUUACCCUAAAUUUUAAAAAAAAAUUAACUUUUUGAAUAAUUUAUGUAUUAUAUAUGUUUUCUUUAUUUUCCAAUCAAUAUAAUAUACAUAAUAUUAAAAUUAAAAAAAAAACUGAUGCGGGGCAUUUUGAUAGUGUCACAUGUCAUCUUCUUUUUUCUUUCUAAUGUUGUAGGCCAAUUUAAGUAAUAGAUGAUGGUUUGAGUAUUAAAGAAAGCCCAAAAAAAAUUUAAAUAUUAAAAUGAGAAAAUAAAUAUAAUAGACGAAAGGAUGCAUUAAACAUUUUAAUAUAUUUUAUUAUGUUAUUUCCUCACGUUUUAAAUUAUUUUUAUUAUCCCCGUGAAUAGUUAGUUUUACCUAUCUAACCUUUUUUUUAGAUUUAAAAAUAAUAAUAAUUUAUUUAUUUUAAAUAUUAUUAUUUUUUAAAAAGUUUACAACUAAAAAUAAAAUUAAUCAUAAUUCAAUCACAAAUAUAUGCAAAAUCAAACAAUAAAAAACAUAAAAAGACUAGGAAUCAAAAUAAUUCGAACUAAAAUUAACCCUCUAAAUUAAAACUUACACAUAUUAAAAUUAAAGACCUACAAAUAAUAUUACUUGAAUUUAGAUACUCAAAUAUCUAAAACCUAGUCUUUGCGAAUGGUACUAAAGCUUCACAAUUAUUAUUAUUUAAAAUAAAAAUUGUAAAUAUGUUUUAAUAUAUAUAUAUAUAAUUAAUUAAUUAAUGUUUGAUGUAAAGUACAGAAAUCUAAGUUAUUUAUUAUUAUUGAAAGUGAAAAGGUCAAAUUACACUGGAAUCAAAAUUUAACUUUUGGAAUUUAAAUUAAAAUAGAUACCGUCCACGGUGGGACUCGAACCCACAAUCUCCCGCUCCGGAGGCGAGCGCCUUAUCCAUUAGGCCACGCGAAACCUUGUUCUAUGAGGGUUGAAUUUAUUAUUUAAAAUAAUAAACAUUGCGUAUACGUAUAUUUGUCAAGGUAAUCAGGUUUAGAUUCCAUAUUAGCCCUAUUAAGAUACGAGGUUGAAAUAUAACUAAAAAAUAUAUUUUUAUUAAAGAGUCACUUUCGAACAAUGUGCAUGUAUCUCAAUAACUACUAUUUAUGAAAUUUAAAAACUCAUUAUCAAUACUUUAUGAUUUUAAAGGGAUAGAAUUAUAAUGUAAAAGGGGAGAAUCUCAAUUAUUAAUGCACUUCCAAGAGGAAAAUCAUUGAAUUAUAAUGUACUUGGGACUUUUAUUUUUUGUUUGGUUGUCAUCAUUGCAGUGUUAGUUGAUUUCUAGUUAAAUAUCCAAUUAAACUAUACAACUUGACAGUACAAAGCAAUGAGGACUGCAAACAAAUACAUGUAAUUAUGUUAUCCAGAUUUACCAUCUUCUUUAAAAUAUAUAUAUAUAUAUAUAUAAACCCUCUAAAAAGGAAUUUUAAGGACUUGAUUGUUAAAAUAUUCAAUAACUUUUCAUGUAUAAUCCCAAAAUUGUUUAAAUCUCUAAGACAAAAGGGUUUACACCAUUUCUUUCCCAUAGAAGAGAGGUUGAUGCUAAUGUAUAAAGAUCAAUGUAGCAUCUUUUACAAGAUAUAUUUCAAAUUCUGAAUACAUGUCUACCCAUGUUUGAUUUAAUACUCCAUGAACAAAUCUGAAGCUGAACUGGUGGAUGAAUACCAUCUGUAAGUUCUAUAGGAAUUCAUAGUCUUCUGUUGUCUACACCGAUAUAAUGGUUUGUUUAUUGUUCUCCAGCCUCUGGGAUUAAAAAGUUUAACAGAAAAGAAUUGGCUAAAAAUGUGUUGUAUGAAUUGCAAAGGUGAGACUAUUUGGUAUUGAUGUUACCCUGUAAAGCUAAGAAGGACCCAAGGAAGAACUCUGCAUGAUAUAUGAAAGAAUGUCAGGACACCAACCGAAAAAAUAAAUUUGUUGGAGAUGCAGCUCCUUGAUUUGUUUGUAAUGCCCGCUAAUGUCAGAACAAGCUUAUGGGGUUACAGAUGAACACCUGGGGCAACAAAAAUUAAAAGAUAAGAUUCAACAGCAGAAUCGAUAACUAAUAAAGAUCACCACCCAUUUCCCAAAUUGCUAUGUAAUUUAAUACUCGAGUUUUCAAUGAGCGUAACAGAAGAACUGAAGAUAUUUAGAUACAGAAUUUUCACAAAAAAUGAGGCAGAAUGAUGUCAUGUGAUAACACAAGGGAAUAUGCAAAUUUAUGUUACGUUGAUUCGGGUGUUUGUGUCAAAUACAAGCAUGUGCUUGGUAUGUGUAUGUUUUAAUUCUUUCAUUUAUUUGGAAGGUCCUAAGAUCAUAUUCCUAUAUUUAUGUUUGAAUAUGUGUUAGGCACAAAUACUUUAAAAGAAUGAAGAACCAGAGUAUGAUAUACAGUGCAAAAAGACAGAUACGAUAGUCACUGCAUCUGGGGAUUCCAUGACUCUGUAUGUUUACUUCUUUAUGUGGCUUUUGGAAUAAGAAACUACACUAAUAAAGUUAUCAACAAUUUGAAACAAAAAAUGUAUAUAUGAGAACAUUGAAUAACCAGCAUGUUUCAACCUUUCAUUUGAACUUAUAUGAUAAUGAUAAAGCAAAUCACUUUUGUAUGCCAACUCUAAAUCAAGUGCACAGUAGAGUAAUAUUAACAAAGUUAUCAAACUGUGGAUCCAAAUUUUCCUCAACAGGAAGCAUGUGAACUUGAGCUGAAGGCAAAAAUAUAGCAAUAAAGGUGACCGAGUCAAAGCACAUCAUAAAGAAUUAGUACUGUCAAAGAGGGAACUAUAGCAAUAUAGGAGAGCAUCAGUUAGUAGUAAAAAUAGUAGAACUGAAGCGGUGAAUCUGUUUGUAUUUCCUGAUUCUGCCAUUUGCAAUUUAUUAUCAAGCCUAGAGACCAAUUUACGUUUUAGUUAGAUGGAGAAGAAACAAGAGAUUAGCCUACCUUUAUUCUAUACAUAAUGCAGGAGUGCAUCGGCUGAAGAAUUCCUUAACCUACAGCUCUGUCCCAAAUGAACAUCACCAAAGACAUACCUACAUCACCAUAUAUCAGUGGAAAUCGUAAUAUAACUUGGGAACAGGAGGAAGAGCCAAAAAUAAAAUAAAAAACGGAACCUGUAUUCACAGUAUUCAGGCCAUGCACAUCGAGCUUUUCCGUAGUCCCAGUAACAGUCAUCAUCCCUCAAGGGCCCUCGCUUUGCUAUCAGCAUUGUUAUAAUGAGUAAAACUCAAAUUAAUCUUUGAGAAAAGUAAAACAGUAAACCAUGUUUUACCUUUUGUAACAAAUUUGGAUGGUGAAUCAGCAUGAAUAUCAUGCCAAAUCUGGAGCCAUAACUCUCGCAUUAGAGCUGGUGAUCUAACGAUGUUCCUGUGAUUUGCUACAUGAAGAUGAUAUCAGUUUUACCCACUUGUAAUGAUAAGAAGGCUGAUGUCAAAGAACAUUAGUUAGCAUUGUUAACUCAAUUUUCUUGUAAAAGAAAAUAAGGAAAAAUUGAAAGAGUGCAACUUAAUAUGGAGAACACAUUAGUUAGAAAUGGUUUAAAUAACGCUCCUCAACAUAGAGAUACGGAGAAUGCAAAGUAAACAAGCUAAGCAGCUAAACCAUGAAUGAUAGACAAGCUUUUGAAUUAUUUGAUUGUCCUUUAGCAAGAAUCUGAAAGAGGAGCUCCCCAAUUAACAUCACUCUGAUUUUUAUAGAUUAUGCUGGAAGUAAAUCAGCUGAAAGAAAUUUAUCCAAAACCAUAGAGAACCACUUUCAUUAAAAUCCCUAACUGGAUAACAGCACAUAAUCACAACAACCAUAAUGCCGGGCUAUUUAAGAUUCUUAAAAAGCAUAGUAGCAAUGCAAUUAAGUUCAACAUGAUUUGAAAUCGUACUACUAUAUAAGCCAUUUACUGAGAAAAGAAUUAAAAGGUAUUGUCACCCACCUUUAUCAAGCUCCCAAACUGCUGUCCUCUUUCCUGGAAUGCUUUCCGAGUCUUCAUAGUAAGUUAUGUAUUUGACUCUAGGUGACCUUGUCAUGUUGGGGACUACAUCUUCAUUAUGAUGCUCAACAUUCAACUCCACUUGUACAUCUGACCCAUCAUGCUCCGACUACAAUAUACAUGAGAAAGUUUUACUAUUUCAAACUCCCAAUAGUUAUGUCAUAUUUCAGAUAUGGAUUACAAAACCAUAGCAGACAUACUCCUUUUUAUUAUAUCAGAUGGAUAGUGUUCAUAUGUUUUACCUAUUUGCUGCACGAAUGAAAUACUCUAUUUUAUUAUAUAAAGGGAUUGAGAGAAACAUGCAACAAACUAUGUUAUACAGCUCAUAAAUCAAAUAGCUCAUCAAACUAACCACAAAAAAGAAAAAAAAGCAAUCUGAUAUAUGUGAUGUGUUAAAUAUCCAGAAGAUUGAAAGCUUUUCAAUAUCAUCAUCAUAAUAAACAUAUCAAGGCACUUGCAUUUGACCAAGAAUACCUGUGGAGCUCUUGUUAUGUUCACUCUGGGCCCAAGCCAGUUCUUGCACCAAGAUAGGGAAUGAUAUGGUACCUGUCACAAUUAUGUAAGUGUUAGACCAGUAACUAUAAAACUCAGAUCAGUGAUUGUAAUCCAGUAACAAAGAUUCUUGAUGCAUUUGAAGAAUGAAAUAGAAUGAUAUAAGGGUCACUGAGCUCACUGUCUCAUCACCACUUGCAGGUCCUGGAUUUCCUUCAACCUGAUUCCCUGACCUACAAGAACAAGUGCUACGCUAUUUAAAAGUAGAAUCUAAUGAGAUCAAAUCAUCUUUCAAUAUUUAUUACUGCAGCCACUGCUUUACCUCGUUUACAACAAAUAAUAGUUACUGUUAGAGCUGUUUUAGUUCUAAACAUAGGGAAGAGAUAUGAUUUAGGCAUAAAUGCAGUUAAACAGAUUAACUGAUCCAGUGUGGAUGAUGCUUACCGCGAGACCAGUGAUCCUUCAAUUUCAUAGAUGACAUCAGUAAUUAUCCAAUUAUCAGGGUAAGGUUUGCCGCUUGGUGCAAAAUAAUAACCAACCUGCUCGCAUUAUCAUUCAACACGAUAUCAUCAUAAAAAUUAACCACAAUGAGUAAUAGAAAAGCAAUAACGAUGUGUAACAACUAUAGUGCUAUUCCCAUUUUGUCAGUUAUUCAAACAGCUCUUAAGGGGUUCCUAAUGCAUGACAAUAGUCUCAAACAUGAACAAGAUAAUUAGAAUUUAUAUUCAAAAUUUAACCAUACCUCAGUCCUAGAAUCUACUCCAUAGAUACAGAAAACAUUCUUAAUAGGUGGUCUAUCCCAUGGUGUAAGAGGAUUCAGAACAGGAUCAUCAUGAUAUGACCUGAAAAAUACAACAUAGAAAUAAAGCCAAGUCAAAAUAAAGAAGUCUAAGUUACAUGGUUUGUAUUAAUUAAACUUCCAGGAAAAUCAUUAUUCAAACCAAUAGAAGAAAGUACUAUGAUAAAUUACAAUUAAAAAUAGAAAUUUCAGUUUGUCAAGUAUCAGCCAACAAUGAGAAACAACCACAGACUCUGAAAGAAAACAUGUUGAAAGCAUCUUGACUGGUCUUCAGUGCAAGCAGAUGGGAAUUGAUGAAAGUCCAUUUAACAUUAAUAACUUAUGACAACUGUCAAGCCUGCUUAUGUGAUAGUUCCAUGAAAAAACCACAAUCAUCGCAUCUCCAUAUAAUUUUAAUUAGUACACGUGAUUCAUGUUCAAGAUGAAAUCACUUAGUAUUAGUAUGUCAACAAUCGACAAACAUUAAGAAGAUAUCAGAGUCAGAGAUUGUUAAAUUAUUUGAAAGUAUCAUAGCUAGUAUAAAAUACAUUUAAACCAUGCCUAAACACUUCUUCUGUAGCUCCACAUGAUCUUUUAAAGCAAAAAUGCAGCUCAAGACUCUCAAUAACGAGAUUUGGGAUGAAAAGCCACUUCAUAUAUCAAAACUAGCACCUACAACAUGGGACUGCAUGCAUGAUACACUAGGUGCCAUUUAAGUAAAAUUUAUGCUGAAAGAAGAUUUAAGACCCGACAACUAGAGUUAUAAGGCUUCUAUUAUGAAAUGUUCACCACAGGCAAUAAAGUUGACAGACAUCAUUCUUAUAAUCAAUUACGUCUAUAUCACCAAAUAAUGACCUAGAAAAAGGUAAAUCAUAAUUUUCUCAAAUGGCAUAAAGUUGUGAGAAUACCCACUUCUUCAGUUGGUGCAAGGUCCUCUUGCUAUCUGAAUCAUAGUCCUCUAUUGCUUUGAAAAAGGUCCCAUCUGAUAUUUCACGAGCUGAAAAUGACAACUGUGUUGGGAGUCCACAUUCCAUGCUAGAGUAGUUGGUCUGGGAAAACUCUGAAACUGAUGGAUAGGCGUCAAUCCCUGUUAAUAAAAGAGAUUGCUGUGAGCUUUAUAGCAAUUAACUACAUGUCAUAAAAACAAAUAAAUAAAUAAAAGAAUAAUUUAUUCCAAAGCCUUACCACGGGUUGAAGGUAUUUCAAUGUUGAUUAUAUUAGUUGAAAAACCAGAGUAAUUUGACUGAAAUUCCUUUUGCUCACAUUGAUAGGCAUUAGGCCCCUUCCUGAUUCCCCCAGAAAAAUGCUUCAAAUACAUGGCGUCUGCCCUACAAUACUUUGAAAAUGGCAUCAUCCAUAAUGAAGAACCAAAUGAAUUGAACAUCAACCGAGCAGUUCCCUGAUACCUUGCCAAAAUAUAAAGUAAAUAUAUGUUAAAAAUGCACCAUUAUAUAACAAAUAUUUUUAAUUCCUACAUUUUAGGGAGCAAUGGCAGUCAGUAACAGCAGUAAAUUGAUAUAGAUUCCAUCCCAGUAGUGCAACUUAAUGUGAUUCAAUCGAGUUGAGUUAUACAAAAUUGAGGACAUCAGGGCUUACAAAGAAAUUAAGGAAUUCUGUUGCCAAUUUGCUAUUCCUACAUGUGCUGUAAGGAACAUCAAUAACUUAACUGUUCAGCAUAAAUGUUUUUAACAUCUUGAAUUUUCUCUGGUACUAUUGAAUCAAAGUUUUUCAUAUUGCAUUACUAGACCUGUUUCAUGGAAUCAUGGGAAAUCUUCGGGUAGUUUUAAGACUUCAACAGCAUGUAUCCCAUUGGAAAUCUAUUAUGUUUUCUACAAAAGCUGCCUACAAUUACCUAUCAUUGAAUGUGACAGCAGAUUAAUUUGUUACAAGGUUCUACCAUAAGUUUAAUCUUCAUAUGCUAUUUCCAUAAAGGGGACUAGUUUCAAAAAGCUGUAUGAUAUACUCCAGAGCCAAAAAUCAAGACUAGAUGGAAGAGAAUAACAGCUUGGAGUAUUAUGUUCUAUGAUAUUCUCCAGGGCACAAAUAUCUAUAGUUCUAUAUUGAAUAUCCAUUACUGUUACAUAUGCAUGCUCAUAUAUUAGCUGUUUAAUUGAAAAGGAACCAUAACAAAGGUAAGCUGCUUUCCACUUGAACAUUUAAACAAAAGCUGUUAAAGAAGUUCAUGCAGGAACUUAGUUUUAAGAUUGAGAAAAAGUAGAAUGCAACCUCAGAAACAGGAAGGCCAAAUGUGUUUCCAGAAAGCAUUCCUUUGACUGUCUCAGUUGAACCAAGAAGAGGAGCUCCUAGAAGGAAAAAGAAUAAAAAGUGAAACCCAAGAAAGGGCAAACAUUACUAUUCCAGGAAAAUAAAGGAUUUUAUGCAGAGGAUCAUACCGACAGCAAAAAAAGCAUAAAUAUGAUCAUCCAACCAUUGGAUGUACUGUUUUGGUGCAAUUUCUAGCUUUAACCACUCCAAAAAGUAACGGAAGACAUUAUUACCCAAUGAAUGAGCAAACACAAUUGAUGGCCCCCCUCGAAGUUUAAGAGCAGUUUCGAAUGUCUGCCUACAACCAGAACUAGCACACUGAUUAAAAUAGCCUAACUCCACUGUCACAAUAUUGCAAUAAAGCAUAAUAAUCAGUUGGAAAUCUGUAACUAUUAUGUUAAUUUAGUUUAACAUCAAUAAGAAAUCAUGAAAAUUCAACUUAUGAAAAUCUACAACAAUGCACAUUCGAUGUAUCCUAUAGUUAAAAGUGGCAGAGUAGCACCCAGCCCAAUAUACGGCUCUAGGGUUCUAGUCUUGAGAAAUCUGGACUUGGAUUCUUAUGUUGGGUGCAUAGAAAAUAAACAAUUGCAAAGCACAACCCAAUAUAUAUUUUAUGCCUCACAUAUAAGCAUCUAUAGACGCAACAAUUUUCUCUGACUUGGAUUUAAACGAAAAGCAACUAUAACUAAAUUAUACACUAUCAACAAAAUAAAAGAAAUGCUACAUCAAAAUCAACUUUCAGACCAAUGACCAGAAAAGUAGUGUGUCUUUGGAAGUUACUAAAAAAGAGGCAUCACAAUUCAGAUUUGCAGAAAUCAUGUAAUUUAGGUCUCUUUUGGUUAUCAGAAAAUAGCACUGGAUCCAAGCAUUUAAACAAACAAAUACAAUUCCACUUAUACAAUUUCAGAAUCAUAAAUUCAGUCUCCAAGAUGACGAAAAUACUCUUAUUAGAUUUAAGAAUCUUAAGGUCCUUCAUGGUGCCCAAUCAUUCAUAUCAGUGAAGUUCUACAUUCAUUGAAAAUAUAUAUUCAGCAAAAUCUUGUCAGAAAUAGAUGUUUCAAUAGGAAUAAACAUAUUUACUUUCAGUUAUGAAGAAUGCAUCCAUGAUGUACCAAAAGAUUAGUUACUGCAAAUAAAAAGAAAUUUAUUUGGCUACAUGCAUCAGAGGUAGUAAAAAUAGAAUGAACCAGGAAAUAUGCAUACUUUAACUUGUAAAAGUAAAGGUCUCGCUCCUCAAGCAUUGAUGGUGACAAUCUCCAAUCGUAUGGGGCAGCUAUAAUUGCAUUAGCCUCAAUACCAAAUUCAAUGCACCACUUAACCCAUUCUUUCCACACCGAAGAAAGAGGGCCUGUGGCCACAGAGAAAUUUUAGUUAAACAUGAAGCAUUUUGCAGCCACUUGAAAUACGUUUUAGAAUCACAGAAAGUGUGUAUUAGAAAGAAAAAAAAAGGAAAAAAAAAAAAGAGAGAAGAAUACCUGUAAUGUAACCUGGAUCAAGUUCAGUAAUAGCAGAAAGACCACUAUCAGGACGUGACUUACAUUCUGGAUUAUCAGUUUGGUUGUACGGAUCAAGUAACAUACACUUAAGCCAACAAUUUACAGCUGAGAGGAGCUGCAGAUCAAAGAAGCGUAACAACCUUAGUAUAUUAAAAACAAUCAACUAGUCACCACACGAUACAACCUAUGUUACUCCCAACUCUUCAUUUUUCCUGAAGUAACCAUGUCCAAAACUUAUUCGGAUAUGGAUAUAGGAGCAUGAUAUAUGCAAAAGAAGUCAGAUAAAAUUGAGUGUAUCCAGGUCGGGCACAUACCCGCAUCCCACACUUAGCAUUUAUCUACUAAAUUCCUAGUCGAUAACAUCCUUCACUGUUAACCAAGGCCAAGACGUACAUAAGCUUUAUCGGAAAACACUCAAAUUCAACUUCUUAGAACCUAUAAUACAUCCUAAAAUCCCAUGCACGAGCAAAUAAAAACAAGAUACGAGAAAUAGAAAAAAGGUUAAACAGGAAUAUAUGUGCAUAUAAUAUUCAAAAAGAAAGUUAAAAGACAAUUUUAUUCUGCUAUCUCUAUUAAUCAACUAAACUUUUACUUUUUUCUAACUAUUUUGUUUGUUUAAUCCAAGAACCAGACAGAAUAUAAGCAUAACAGAAACACGAGGAAACCAACUGUAGAUUAAAACGACAAAGAAGAUUGAAUAAAACGGCGAUAAGAAGACCAAAAGUAGGGGGAAUCCUUACUUUAGUAGUGUCGAGCCAAACCAAGUCGAGGGGAUUGAAAUCGAGAGGAGAGUAAGGGCAGUCGAGAAUGGACCAAGCUCUCAACUGAGUUGAAGCGAAUCCAGGGAUUAUUAUCCCCGAUAGCUUUGAAUAAUCUCCUUUCAACUCUCCUUCACCGAGUUGAAAUGUUCCCAAGAAUAGAACUGCCGCAAGUGUCAUCGCUAAACGGCGGUGCUCUCGUUCGUCUCCGCCCAUGGUUGAUUUCUUUGUUUCUCUGUCAUUAGUCAUUGCCUGGGCCUAGCAGCCAUUAAAAUGUUUACAGAGUGUGUGAUGGCUGACUUUUCAACUUCCAUUGGGGGAAUUAAAAAAUAAUAAUAAACACGUUGAAAUCAAAUUGGUUUUUAAAUAUUUUGUAAAAAUAUAUAUAUUGAAAAAUAAACAGUGAAACGGCGACGUCUCGCUUUUAACUAACAACAUUCCGUGGCGCCAAAAGGAAGGAGCUGAAGUUUUUCGAAGCAACGAAGAAUCCGAAGCUGAGAUCCGUCCAUCAACACCGGCAACGGCGGAAAACGACGUCUCAAAGAUCAAAGCAGCAGUCUUCCAUUUCCUCGAAUCUUUGAGUCGGCUUUCAUUUUCUUCGCAAGAUUUGUAUGGCACAAGCUAAAAGAAAACCAAGUAAGAUCUCAAAUACAUUAAGAAAAAUCUGAUUGGAGUCUAAAUUUAAUUGAAUCUAUCGCGCUUUCAAGAAAUUAGGAUUUCACAUCACUUGUCUUCUAACUCAAAAUUUAAAUGGAUUCUAAAAUUUAAAACAUUUUAUUUAAAUCCUCAAAAUAUUAAUAUUGUAUUAAUUAAGCCUUUUCAUUAAUUUGAUUACCAAUUUAAAUGUUAAAUGUCAAUUUAAAUCUAUAGUAGCAAAUUUAAAACACAUCAAUAAAGCUACAAAUACGUGUGUACUUAUGACAUUAAAAAUAUGUUAGAUCCAAACAUAUGUUUACAAUCCGAUCCAUAUAUUUUAAAUAUACUACAAAUCAAUUUACUUUAAAUUUUAAAGACUCAAUUAAAAUAUUUUGAAAAUUAGAUACUAUUUUAAAACUCGAAUAAUAGUUUGAGGAUAUUUAAUGAAAUUAACUACAUAUAUUAAUCAAUUCCAACCGUCCAUUUGUGCCAUCGGCCUUAACGUCAAGACUGUGCUCCACAAGUUAUAACAUUGUCGAAUUGAGUCAAGGAAUUCAGACCAUCAAAUAACUGAAUUUGAACAUUUUAAUACUUGAUUCGAGUAGCUCGAGAUCCUAGUUGAGCUUUAAUAUUUUAAUACAUAUUUUGAUUAUUCAACUAUCAAAUUAUAAAAUUUAUUUGAAGAGUAUAUCUGGCUCACAAAAUAUAAAAUUAUCAGAAUGUAAGAUUACUUAAGAUAUAUUAUUACAGUGUCCUAUUUAAUUCAUUUGCUUAAAACGUGAAAUCUAUUAUUUGAUUCACGGAAUAUAAAAUUAUCUAAAAGCAUAUUUUAGUAAUUAUAUAAUAUUGUUUGAAGAAUAUUGAUACGAAAGUUUAAACAGUAUGCUUAUAUUAUAUUAAUAUAUCAAUUUUCCUUUUUAAGUACAAACAUUAUCUCAUUAUUUGAAUGCAUCAACGUCCUUUGCUUUUUUAUUUUAUCACUAAGUAUAUUUUUUUUAUAAAAAUUAUUUUAAAUAAUUUCUAAAUUUGAUUAAUAUACUAUUUUAUAUUAAAUAUGAUAAGCUAUAACUUUAUAUAUUUUUAUUAAUUUUAAAAUAUUAUGCUAUAAUAAAUUUAAAAACUACAUACAGAACUCGUAAAAUUAAGACUUAAUAUAUUAUUUGAUACUUAAAUUUGACAUUUUUUUAAUGUGGUGUCCGUGUUUUUUCUUUUGUCAAAUGUGAUACAUGUAUUUGGUAAAAUUUAUGAUUUUGCUGCUUGAAAGUAAUUGUGUUAACUAGUGUUUAAUUACGUUUUGGGAGUGAUUUAAUGAAAAUUUAUAAUUAACUAAUAAUUCUUUUAUCAAAUCGAUCUUAAUAUGAAACUUUAUUUAACAAAUAAAAUACAAAAUUAAACAAAUUCACAAUUAACACUAAACUUUUUCCAUUAACAAAAUCAUGAAAAUUCAAACUUAAUAAUGUUAGCAAUUAACUUUUAUCAAAUCCACAAUAAAACUCAAACUAAAUACUAAUAAGUUAACAUCGUUAUAUUUGAGUAUCAAAAUGUAUAACUUUUGACAAAUUCAAACACAGGUACCAAAUUAAAUUUUUAUUAUUUAUUUUACAUUUUUACAAAAAAAAAAUAAACCUUAAAAAAAGUUAUUUUCUCCAUCUUUGUUCUUCAAUUGAUCGGAAAUUUUAAAGCUUCAUCGGAAAAGUUAAAAAUUCCCAUACUUUGGUGAGCUUUUCUAGAUUUCGGCCAACUCUUUUUUCUUUUUUAAAUUUCAAUUUUUGUAAAUAAUUUUUUUAUUUACUUACUUUCAUACGAGAGUAGCAUCACAAUUCUAAAUUUUUAUUUUUUGAUACAAUGUCUAGAAUUACCCAUAGCCCUCCCCAACUAUUAAAUAAGAGGAUAAUGCACUUUAGUGCAUUUGAACUUACGUCAUCUUACACUAGCAAUUUUAUUUUAUUUUCCUUGAAUAGAGCUACUCGUAGACAAAGCACAUUGCAAUUUUAAGUUUUUUUUUUUUUGGUAAUCCAUUAUGAAUAUAUUAUCUAUCUCUUUAAUCAUAUGAUUCUUUUAAAGAUUAAAAACUAACCACAAAUUUUCAAUAUUAGGCAAGAAUAACUAAAACUAUAGUUUAUUCAUAACAAAAAAACAUAAUAUGAUACAAUUAUUUUAAAAAUAUGCUAAUUUCAUUUCUUACUAUGUUCAAAAUUUGCUCUUACAUAAAAAGAAAAGUUGUAAAAAUAAUAGUUAAUAUAUAUGAAUUCAAAAUAAAGAAAAUGACAUAAUUGUAAAAGUUAAGAAAAAAAAUGGGUAACACAUGGUUUGAGUGUGUAAGUGUCUCGGGCCGCAGAUCGAAGCCUGUGACCAAUGCACACAUAACGUUCCAUGGAGGUCGACUAAUUAAAUGAGACUUAUUUGACCCACUUGAACUGACCUGAUUCGUGGAACACAUGGAGAUUAAAGCCUUGGUGGCUCAGUGGAACGCUCCAGUAAAACUAGAGUUAUCAUGGUGAAUAUUGUAAAUCCUAAGGGAUAAGAUUGUAUAGAGUUUAAAUCUCUUUGGACUCUAAUCUUGUAGAUAGGCACUAAUCUCAGCCAUUGAUGUAACUCAAUCUGUACCGCUGGAUCUAAGAAAUUUAACUAUAAAUAGAGCCCCCUCUUUAUUUGUAAUCAUUUCACUUCAUUAUUGAUUUAAAGAAUAUAUUUGAGAGCAUUUACUUAAACACUUUGCGUGCAUUGCUUUCUUGUGGCUUUUCUAUUCAAUUUAAGUUCAUUUCUCUUUUGAAUUGCUUCAACUUUAUUUUUGGUGCCUUAGAGAAUUUCUAAGAGAAGUCUCACUUAAAGAGAAUUAAGUUGACUUAGAUGGAUUUGAAGUAGAGAAAUCGCCUAAGGCUGCACGGUUUGUAAGACUAAAAUUUUAGCCCUAUGACAGUUGGUAUCAGAGUCAAGGUUCAAAGGUACUGAUUGAUAUGAAGAAAGGACUAGAUAAGUAGGUUGACCUUAAAGAAACUGGCGUGAGGGAGGUAAGAAAGAUAUCAGAUUAAGGAAUAUGAUGCCAACUUUAGAUAGUAGGGUUGCCAAACUCGAGGGAUCCGUAGAUGAUGUGAAUGAGACCCUUGAAAAAGUUGAAGGAUGCAUUGUAAAGCUAAAAUUGAGGCAAUAUCAGCUCAAAUGGCAAGUGGCAGAGGCCCUCGAUGUUAAUGUAGAUGUGAUGCAAGGGGUUCUCAAUAUCGUUGUGUGUAAGUUGACUAAGAAGAAUGAUGCUCUCAAGGUAGGCCAUGGCGUCGGCCUUGAAGGAACAGAUUGAGGAGCUCAAUAAGAGCACGUUAUCUGCAAAUUUACUUUGGUUAAUAGGGUGUUAUUUGCGACACCCAAGCCUAAGGUAGAUAUCAAUGAGCUGAAAGAGUUCAAUGGGACGAGGCCUACAAAAGAUGACAACUUCUUGUGGGGAAUAGAUCAAUACUUUCGUGCCAAAGGCAUCGUGGAUAAUGCUACUAAGGUAAAUACUACUAUUAUGUAUUUUACUGAUGUCGCUCUAUUAUGGUGGCGUCGUAGGUCUACAGAUGAAAGAUGAUGUGGUAUCAUUAUUUAGACUUAGGAGGAGUUUCAGAGUGAAUUUAAGGGGUAGUUUUACCUACAGUAUGUCAAGGAUGAUGCUUGAGCUAAGUUGCAUCAACUUACGUAAUAAGGCAUAAUUAGAGAGUAUAUGCAACAGUUUAGUGAAUUAUGCUCCAAAUUUUCAAUUUGGGUGAGAAUAAUGCAUUCUUCUCUUUAUGGAUGGGCUGAAUCUUAGGCAAAGUAAGAGUUGAAACAUCUAGGAGUCAAAGAACUUACCAAAGCCAUGACCAUAGUGGAGUCCUGAAUCAAGCUUGUUCCUAGGAAAGGCAAGUUUGAGUUUUCCAAGCCUAAUGAGAAGGAUAAUGAUGGGGGAGAUGAAGAAAGACAAGUUAAAAAUGGCAAUGGUGGAAAUGGUGGCAAUGAGAAACCUCAUAAUGGGAAGUGAAAGUCCAACAACAAAUCAAAAGAGCUAGUGGGGUGCUUCUUAUGUAGUGGUUUGCAUAGGGUGCAGGACUGCCCAAACAACGAUCCAAGCUAUUCGUAAUCAGUAAAGAAUAUGAAGUGGAGCCUGAUGAGGAAAGGAUAUUAAAGCUUGGGUCAAUGAUACUCAAUUAUGCUAAAGCGGAGAAGGAUCACAAGUAGAAAAAGUUUAUGUUUGUGGACAUCAACAUCACAAGAAAAAGGAGAAAUGUUCUUGUUGAUACGGAGGAUUUUGAUUUGUUUACAUUGGAAAAAGUUGUGGGUAAACUUGUUCUCUUAGUUAGCAAAUUGAAUAAGAAUAUCAAGAAUUUAAUUCUAAAGAGGUCUCAGCUAUGGGAGUAGCACAAGGAGUUGAGCUACAAAUUGGUGAGUGGAAAGACAAGGAAGACUUAAUGAUUACAACCUCAUGUUUGGUUUGAAUUUCCUUGAUCAUAUUAAUACUCUUUUGGUUCCUUUUGCUAAUUGUAUUUAUAUCUUAGAUACUCAUCAAUGACAAUGCAUCGUGUCGGUGAGUCAUGAUAAGAAAGGUGGAACCAAUGUAUUGUAGGUAAUUCAACUAGCCAAGAAUGUUCAUUGUGGCAAGAACAUUGACUUAGUAGAUCGGAGUCUACGAAGGCCUUUUAGAAAUGCUAAAGGCGCGACAAAUCGAAGUGAAACCUAUUGGGUUAUCAGUGGGGCUACCACUUAUGAGAGAGGUGGUUUGUGCAUCAAACUUUGGGGGGAAAUGGUGAUGCAAACUGGACAGCUAGAUUGAGUAAAUGCUACAAGUAAGGUACAUCUCAAACACUUUCCUUGAGGUAAGGUGAAUGGCUUACAAACCAGAAUCAGCAACAAUACUCAAGGUUAACCCUGUGUUGAAGCCUAUUUGUAAGGAUCAAGGGGAUCCGAACGAGGCAAUUCGCAAUGGGGGCAAGUAAAAAACUGUGGGCUCUUGCGAACAAUAUGAAUAAAUAAAGGAAAUAGUUCAAGUUAGACAGUAACAAAGACAUAAGCUGAGGCAAAUGUUUUGCGGGGCGAAACUACCUAAUAAAGAGAAUGGUUCAGAAUCAACUAAGGUGUCGUGGCAGAUCUGAGAUGAGUUAGACCAGUGUCAUUCCGAAGAGGACAAGAGCAUCGCGAGAAUGGGUGAGGGAGAAUGUCACAGGCUGUAAAUCAAAGCCCAUGAAGAAUACACACAGAACGUCCCAUGGAGGUCAACUAAUUAAAUGUGGCUCAUUUGACCCAUUUUAAUUGGCCCGUUUGUGGAACACAUAGAGAAGUCCAUCUACUUAAAGCCUUGGUAGCCUAGUGGAACACUUUAGUAAAACUAGAGUUACCAUAGUGAAUAUUGUAAAUCCUAAGGGAUAAUAUUGUAUAGAGUUUAAAUCCACUAAGACUUUCAUAUUAUAGAUAGACACUAAUUUCAGCCAUUAAUUUAACUCAAUUUGUACCGUUGGAUCUGAGUGAGCUCAACUAUAAAUAAAGCCCUCCCCAUUCAUUUGUAAUCACUUCACUUCAUUCUUGAGUUAAAGGAUAUAUUUGAGAGCAUUUACUCAAACACUUUGUGUGCAUUGCUUUCUUGUGGCUCUUUUGUUCAAUUCAAGUUUCUUUCUUUUCUUUUUUUGAGUUACUUCCACUUUUAUUUUUAAGUGCCUUAGAGAGUUUUAGGGAGAAUUCUCACUUUAUGAGAGUUAGGUUGACCGUGCAGUUUGCAAGACUAAAGUUUUAGCCGUGUGACAUAAGGUGGUAGUUUAAAUGUAAACCUAAUUUUUUAAUCUAUACUAUUAUUUAAACUCUUGACUGAGUUGAUGUCACGAGUCAACUGGACACCAAAAAACAGUAAAAAUAUUAUUCGACAAUAAGUAAUAUUAUGGGAUGCCCUUCCAUGAUUAAAAUAAGUAAUAUUAUUUAACAAUAUUUUAGUCCUUUCACUUAAAAACAAUAAAAAUAUACAUACGAUGGAAUUUGAAUCCACACCAAUUGCAUUAAUAAAAACCUUUAAUUUACCGCUCAAGUAAAUAUUUAUUUUAAUAUUUUUAUACAUUUUAAUUUUAUUGUGCACACUUUAUUACCUAUAUCAGUUGUAUCUAUACUAUUAUUUAAACUCCUAAUUGAAUUGGUGUCACGAAUCAAUUGGACACCAACUAGGUUAGAGAAAUUAUGAAAAUAUUCAUUCGUAAUUAAAAUAAGUUAUAUUAAUCAAUAGUAUUUUAGCCUUGCAUCUAAAAACAAUAAAAAAAAAAUAUACAUAUAGAAAGAGAUUUGAACCCACACCAAUAACAUAAAUAAAACUUUAACUCUAUUUUAAUUUAUUUAUACAUUUUAAUUUCAUUAUACCCACUUUAAAAAUAAUUUUCACAUAAUUUUCACAGGCAUGCAUAAUAAAAUUUAUAAUUUUUAUUUAUUAUUUUAAAUGGAAUCUUCACAUCAAAGUUGCAGACUUGUUUGGCUUUUUAGUUCCCAAGAGGAUUAAUUUCAUUUUAUUUUUUUAGCACUAAUGGCAUUCUCAUAUCGACUGAAUUGAGGCAGCUGGAUAUCGUAGCUUUGUUUUUGUUUUGUAACAUUCACUCAAUGAACACACUAAAGUUGAAAUAUCAAAUUUCAACCUAAAAAAAAUUUUGAAAUAUUAAAACGUGAAAAGUUUAAUUUAAAAAAAGACAAAGCUAUAUACAAUUUAAGAUAUUGAACCAAGCCUUAUAGUUAUCACCAUUUGUUCAUUUCAUAGCCAUAUCAAUAACCAUCAUUUUCUUGUAUUUCAGAUAAAUACAUAUAACCAUAUAUAAACAUGCAAUUCACAAUUUCAAAUGACAGAUUCAUGUAAAUGAGCUCAAUAUCAUUAGCUGUUUAAUUUCUGUCACUUAAAUUCACAUACACAUAAUUUAUUAACAUAACCUGUCAAACACAACCUCUGAAUGGUGAGAUCACAUAAUUGAGCUCAAUUUCACUGUUCAAUAUGUUUUAUCACAUAAAAUUUGCUUAACACUUACCAUAAUUUGUCAAAUUAGAGAACGUCUUACGGAAUUGAGUACUUCGUUUUCACAUUGUCAUAUUAUAACUAUGGUCUUGCACAUCGUCACAUAUCACACACCGAAGCCAUAGCCUAGCUAUGGUCUUACACGGAAAUCACAUAUCACACUGAUGUCAUAUCCCAGAUAUGAUCUGACACGGAAAUCACAUAUCACAUCACACCGAUGCCAUAGCCCAGCUAUGGUCUUAUACAGAAGCACAUAGUCACAUCACACCGAUGCCAUAGCCUAGCUAUGGUCUUAUGCGGAAGCACAUGAUAAUCACAUUUUCACAUGUUGCCAUGGUCAAACCAUGGUCUUUUCUGUCAAUUCAUCACAUAUCAUUGAACGAAAGUAGUCAUUCCUGCGUUCUGCUCAAUUUGACAUUUUAGUUCUUUUUACGUACUUUUACAAUAUUCACACUUUAAAUACGAACAUAUGAAAUGAUUCAUCAUUUCUUUCAUUUACUAACAAAUAAUUAUUAAAUUCAGCUAUAUGAACUUACAAUUCGAUUUUUAUAACAUAACGAUAAUCAUAAUUUCAUAAUAACUAUUUGAAAUAAAACAUUAUAUCAUUUCUAAUUCAACUUUUAUUGAUUAUAAUCGGGCAUAUGACCAAUUUAUACACAAGUCAUUCAUAUAUUUUCCUCCUCCUCCUCUCUAUUCCACAUCCUUAAUGUAUAUAACACGCUUAUAAGUAACAUUAUCUAUAAUUUCACUAUUUACUUAUAUGUAUAUUCAAAGCUGUCCAUUCGUGUCAUAGUCACUAAAUUAUUUUUAUCUUGAGCUACAGAACUCCAAAUUAAGAUCCGCUUGAUGUUUUUGAAACUAGAUUCAUAUAUCUUUCUACCAUAAAAAUUUCAGAAUUUAUAGUUUACCCAAUUAGUACAGUAAAAUCUUCAAAUUUAUCCCUGUUCUGUUGUUUGGCAGCUUUGACCUAUGCUUACUAAAAAUUAAUUAUCUCUUAGCAAAGAACUUGGAUGAUAUUCUCAUUUCUUUCUAUUGAAAAUAGACUCAUUAAGAAUUUAAAAAUAUAAAUUUAAGCCCAUAAUUAUUUUUCUCCAAUUUUUGAUGAUUUUCCAGAGUCAGUACAGGGGAACCCGAAAUCAUUCUGGUAUUGUCUCACAAAAUUUAUUAUAUCUCAUGAUUUACAAUUUCAUUACUUACACUGUUUCUUCUAUGAGAAACUAGACUCAAUAAGGCUUAAUUUCAUAUUUUAUUCAUCUUCUAAUUCGAUUCCCAUAAUUUUUGAUGAUUUUUCAAAGUUAGACUACUGCUGCUGCCCAAAACUAUUUUAGUGCAAAAUGUUGAUUGCCAUUAAUUUUAUUAUAAAGGUUUAAUAUAACUUUUGGUACUUCAACAUGCCAUUUAUUUUUCUAGUACUUAAAUUUGACACUUAUUCCUAAUAGACAUAAUGACUUAUUUGGUCUUCCAAUUUUACAAAAGAUUUUAUUUUAAUCCUCCAUUUAAUUUUUUCUUUCUUUUAAUCCUUAAACUUGCAUUGCUUGUCAAAUCAACUCAAAAUGGAUAGAAAAAUUAACAUUUGUUAAUAUUGUUGAUAUUGCCAAGUAAGCAAUUAAUUUUUUAAAAUUUAAAAAUUCAAUUUUUUUUAUAAAAUUUAUUAAAAUGAUUAAAAAAUUAUAAAAUAUAAAUAAAUAUUAAUUUUUCCAUCCAAUUUAGAUUAAUUUGACAAAAAACGGAAGUUAAGGGCUAAAAGAGACAAAAAAAUUAAAUGACGGCUAAAACAAUUGUUUCUAAAGUUGAAAGGCCAAAUAAAUCGUUAUACCUUCCUAAUUUGGUACUUAAAUUUUUUUUAGGUCCAAUUUAGUACAUAAACUUGACAACUUUUCUUAAUUUGGUACUUAAUAUUUUGUUCUAGUCCAAUUGGGUACUUGAACUUGUCAAAUGUUAUAUCAAUUACUUCAAUGUACUAAUAAUGUUAUUUUUAUUAUGAGGUUACAAAAAUAAUUAAUGUAUAGUAGAUGAUAUGAAUUUUUUUUAUUUUUUUUAUUUUAUUAAUUUAAAAUAAUGAAUUUAUUUUAUUUUGAAUUUUUGAAACUCUUAUUUUCUUAUUCAAUAUUAAUUCGUUAAACAUAACUCAAUGCAUAAUUUUUUAACACAAAUUUCCUCUAGUACAAACAAUAUUUUUGUUAAAUUGAAAGUUUUGUGGUCCUUCUUAAAUUAUUCUUGCCAUUAACAAUCAAAAUAAUCUCAGCCUCAAUAUAAAGUAAUAUUUGAGCAUAUUGUUUACCGUAAUAUAAAGAAACCAAAUAAAAGUAACCAUUCCAUGUCAUUUAUCAUAUGUUAGUCAUACAUUUUCUAUUUUUAUCUACUUAUAAAAAAAUAACACUGUUAGUGUUUUGCAAUAAUCUGUAUAACAUUUGACAAGUUUAAAUAUCAAAUUCAACCUAAAAAAAAAAUUUAGGUAUCAAAUCAGGAAAAAAUGUAAGUUAUUAAAAUCAAUAAAAUUAUAUCUCAAAUUAAUAAAAAAAAUUUCAAAUUCAAGUACCAAAUGUUAUAUUAAGCAUAUUACAAAACCCAAUUUUUUCUCACCUUCCGCAUUUGCCCUAAAAUUUCACGAAAAAUAGGUUUCUUUCUCCCGCUUCUCUUCUUAAACACCUUCUCGAUGUCUAAAAUUGAUACCUUAUUAAACACGCGUUAUCUUAAUUUUUAAAAAUGCAAAUUUAAUUUAAUAUUUAAUUGUGAUCCAAAGAAAUAAAGAAAUUUAUUUAUAUAUUUUUAGAGUAAAUAGCAUUUUAUUUAAAAAUAAAAAUAUCACCAAAUAUUCUUCCAUUAAUCACAAAAAUAUCAGGUUCUAUUUUGAUUUAAUCUAUGUAAUAGGACAUCCCAUUUUUAAUAAAAAUCAAUGACAUUUCACCCAACCUAUCCAUGAAUCCAUGAUUUAUAAUAAAUCUGAAAUUAAAUCAAGACAUUUUUUGAAAAAUUAGGUAUAUAUGUUGGUUUAAAAAAAUUAAGGUUUUAGGCCGUUUUAUUUGAAAAUUAGGGAAAUAAUGUGUCCUACACGGUGAGUUUUCACCCUCUCCUAUCAUGCCACCAGAAAUCACUUUCUGUAAAAAAUAAUAAUAAUAAAUUAACGAUUAGAUUGAGUUUUGAAAACCCGAAAAUCCCGGAAUAAAAUUUACAUCUCAUCUUUUUCAUAGCAAAACAUGAAUAUUAUCUUUAAAAACUUCUCAAAAAAUCGCUUCUUAUUAGAAAGUUUUUUUACUUGUCAUGACCGAUCUUUUCCAACAUUUUGAAAGAUUUCUCUUAUUCGGUGGUAGAGUUUCCUAUAAAAUGAAGAUUGAUAUGGAGAGAUUGUCAUAGUUAAAUUUUGAGCAUAAAAUUUACAUAAGGAGAAAAUUGUUGAUGUUAAAUAUCUGAAGUUUAAAAAUCGACCCAACAAAGUAACUUAGAUCAAGUAAGCGUCGUUUGAAUUUGGUUAAUGAGUAUAUAUAUUUUUGUAUAAUAUUUUUGUUUUAAACAUGUGAAACAGGUUUUUUGGCGAAGAUAAGUAGACGAAUUAAAGUCGUUAUUUAUUAUGACGGUCAAAUUUGUGACACCAAAAUUAUGGUCAUUUUUGUAUCAACCCAAUAUACAGAAUCGGCUUUCAAUUAGAUCAUCAAAUUGAAUGAGAUUCUGACAAGAAUUAGAAGGAAAGUCUCAGUUUCAAGCCAGAGGAGAAUUUCGAACUCGAAAUAUAUAUACCUAACAUCAAUGAUGUAACAACCUGAUUUUCAGUGGUAACAAAAACAGCGAUUCAAGGUCACCAAUUCCGAUGAGUAAGAUCAUAAAUUUUACUAUUUAGUAUUUACGAGUCAAAUGUGGUUUUAGGAAGACUUUUAAAUUAGUAAUUUGUGUUUUAUAAGGAUUUAUUCAGUUAAAUGGUUUAGAAAAUGAGAUAUUGAGACCUCGAUUCUAUAAACCGAGCGAAAAUAUUUUUAUAAAUAUUUACAGAGUGGCAUUAAGGUAGUAUUAAAGUUUCAUUAGAAAAUUUUAAUGUUUUGAUAGCUAAUUAAUUAAAAAGGACUAAAUUAAAAAAAGUGCAAAACUUGCUAAAGUGAUUAAAUAGCAUAAAUGGUAAAUAAGGGAGGACUAAAAGGAAAAAUAUGUCAAGUGGAAUGGCUGAGGCGGCAUAAGUGUGAAAAAUAAUAAUAAAAUCAUGUGAUUUAAGGGCAAAAUUGGAAAUAAAUAAAAUUCAAAUAUUAAAUUGAAAAACCUAAAAGUUUCUAGACAUUUUCUUCAUCAAUUUUCUGUCCAAAAACACCAUUUAAGACCUCUCAAAAUUGGUUUUCAUAUUUUAGCUUCAUGUGAGUUUAAUUCUUGCCUUUUUCUUGUAAUUUUUAUGUUUUUAAGACUUUUACAAUUAGGUCCACUAGCUAUUUCAUCAGUUUUUUUAUUUUAUUGAGAAUUUUAAAAGUUACCAUUGAUGAAUACUCGAUAUUUUUGAUGAAAUAACAUGGAUUUAGAGCUUUAAUUUUGUUGUAUGAUGAUUUUAAUAAGUGAUUUGUUAAAUAUUGAUUUUAGGACUAAAUUGUGAAGAAUUAAAGAAUUAGGGUUUGGUAUUAAAUUUAUACGUAUCAAGGGCUAUAAUAUAGCCUAUAAUAUUUAGAUAAAUCAUCAAUUGAGAAAAAUUAGUUCAUUUGAUAGACUAAUUAGGAAGGGGACUAAAUUGCAAAAGUUGUAAAAAUUAGGGUAAUUGUGUAAUUUCAAAAAUUGAGGGGUAUUAAUUGUGAAGUGAAUUGGAACUGAAAUAUAUGCCAAAGAAUGAGUAAUUUUAUAUUUUAGAUCAAAAGUCCGUAGAUACUCGUGAAAAAGGGGAAAUUAGAAGAAUAGUCUCUGAACUUUUACAAAUUUUACAAUUUAACCCAGGUAAGUUCAUAUGGUUAAAUUUUAUUAAUUAUAUUGAAUUGGUGAAUUAUAUUAUGUAUUUUAUUAUAUUUUUGAAAAAUGAAAUAUUGUUAAAUUAUAAAUUUGAAGUGAAUAUCUGGUUUAAAUGGAACACGGUAUUGAGUACAAUCAUUGUGUGACGAAAGACAACAAAGGAAGAAUUGAUGAAAAAUUACCCAAGUAAACUGAGGUUCAGCAUUUUUUACGAACUUUCGUGUUUACUUUCCGUUUAGCUCUCACGAGCUUCUGUUUAACUUAUAUGAGUUUCCAUUUAACUUUUUUGAGCUUCUGUUUAACCCUUAUGGGUUUCCAUUCAACUCUUAUGAGCUUCCGUUCAACCCUUAUGGGUUUCUGUUUAGCUCUUAUGUGCUUCUGUUCAGCCUUCAGGCUUCUGAAAAUUAUGUACUCAUAUCUGUAAGUCAUUCUCCAAUUUGGUAAGACUUGGUAAGUGACUUAUGUAAUUGAAAUUGAAAAUUUUAUUAUUUAUUAUUGAUAUUGAUUUGAAAUAAGUGAGUUCAUUGAUUAAGGUUGUGAUUGACAAGAAGAUUGCAUGAAUAAUUUUGUAAAUUUGAUUUGUUAUAAUCGGUUCGGUAAGAUUUAUGUUUAACUUAUUAAACUUACUAAACUUCAUUAAGCUUACUUGUGUUGUUUAAUGUCCUUGUAGAUAAAGUGAGGUCGGGAGAUCGAAUCAACACAUCAAGUCACACUAUCCAGCUCAUCCCGAUAGUCUUUGAAACAUAUUAUAUGGUUUAUAUGGUAUGUAUAGGGUUGGAAUGGUUUUAAGUAAAAUUAGUUUGUGCAAAUGUUAAAAAAAAUCACAUUUUGUUAUAUAUUUCCCAUCAACUUAUAUAUGUAUGGUUUAAUCAUGCUUGAUAUAUGUUUGGAGUAGUUAAAUGAUGGAUAGCUUAUAGGCAUAUAGGUGAAUGUGUAAUAUAUUUUAAUUGACAUAAUAAAUCAAAUAUGUGAUUUAAUCAAUACGGUAAAUUAAAAAUGUUAGGAUGUAGGUGGUAAUAACAUAUGUUUUAAGCUUGAUUUAGUUGUACUGAGGGAUUUGUUAUGGCUUAUGAGAGUGUAAUUUGAAGUGUUUAGGUUGGAAUUUAAAUGGGUGAGAAAAGUGCCUUGAAAUGGCCAAUUUUCGUCCACACGGGCGUGUGUCUUAGCCGUGUGUGACACACAGCCAAGCACAUAGGCAUGUGGUCUAGCCAUGUGUCCCCUGCAUCGUUAAAAUUUAGAAACAUAACACUCAAGUUUUUGCACACGACCUAGCACAUGGGCGUGUGGCUUGGCCGUGUGACCCCUACACCUUAAUUUCAUAACACACGGCCUAGCACACGGGCUUGUGACUUGACCGUGUGACUCAAGUCAGAGAGUUACACAGGCAUGGACACGGGCUGGGACACGACCGUGUGCCUCACAUCGAAUGCCCACACGGCCUAAGACACAGGCGUGUCUCUUGGCCUUGUGAGCCACAUGGCCUGGCCACACGGGCGUGUGUCCCCUGCACCUAAGAAAAAGAUUUAAAAUUUCGGGAAAAUUUCUCUGAGUUUUCGGUUUAGUCCUGAUUUAUUUUUGAUGUGUAUUUUAGGCCUCGAGGGCUCAUAUAAGGGACAAUAUGAGUGAUUUAUGAUUGGUUUCUGAUAUGUAUAUUAAAUGUUAUGAAAUUUUUGUAUUCAAAUUUGAAAAGUCCGGUAAUGCUCCGUAGUCCUGUUUCGACGACGAAUAAGGGUUAAGGGUAUUGCAAAUGAACCCUAUUAGAUAUGAUACAUUUGAGCUUGAAAGUGACAUGGAUGUCGAGUUAAUCCUCAAUGCGUAUUACUCUACUAAAAAAUCUAUAAUAGAGUUAAAUGCCCAGUUUGUCGAUAUCGAGAAAGGUGGUCCGAGUUUGACAAUAGUUCCAAUUAAUUUGUUACGAUAAUAGAAAGCAAAAAGUCCAACCACACAGCUAUGUGGUGGUUUCAUGAUGUUGUUACAAAGCUCAUAUUUGAUAACAAAGAGUCCUUACAACCUGCACCGGCGAAGGGAUAUCCAACCCUGAACAUGAAACCACAAUUGGGAUUGAUAACAAAGAGGAAGUUGAAAACAAAAAGGAGAUGAAACCAAUGAUGACCCAAUCCGGGAGUCCCAGUUGAAUGGAUCAUAUUUGUAUUAUUUUUUGAACCAAAGGCUAAACCUAUUAAACCAGAAGGGAAUGGUUUUGACAGUGAAAGUCUGGACAAUGCUAGAGGAACCCAACCAAAUUUUACAGCAUAUAAACCUCCACCCUACAUGCUUAAUUCAACCUUGAUGCUGAAGAUGGGUUAAAAUUUUCAAAACUUCUUCCUAAAAGAUCAAGCCAUGCAAAUUCUCACAAAUUUUGACAAUUUACAAGUUGGAAUGGAGUUUUCCUCCAAAGAUGAUGUUGGUGUAGUGAACCAGUAUAACAUAAAGCAUGGAGUCCACUUUGAUGUUACAAAAUCGCAAGUUAAAAAAUAUAAGACGAAGUGUGCAAUGCAUGAAAGUAGAUGUCUAUGAAAAAUCAUCUGAAAUGAAGGUGAAAGUCUAGAUAAUUAAAAAAUAUGAUGCUCAACAUACUUGUGUUGUUGCAGAUAUGUCACAAGAUCAUCUGAAAUUGGAUUCUGACCUUAUCUCUAACAUUGUCUUAUCCAUAGUGAAAUAUUUGUGUUGUUACAUGUAUGUCACAAGAUCAUCCAAAAUUAAAUUCUUACCUUAUCUCUCACUUUGUCUUACCUAUGGUGAAAGUGAAUCCUAAGUUCCCGUGCCGGUUUUGAUUGAUGAUAUUUGCAAUGAGUAUGAUUGCACCGUGUCGUACUACAAGACAUGAGUUGCAAAACAGAAAACAAUGGAAAAAAUGCAUAAUGGAUGAAAUAAAUCAUAUAACUUGUGACAAUGGUUGAAGGUAUAGAAUCAAGACAUCCCAAGUACUUUCAUCGGUCUGCAAAUGGAGUCUGUGUAGCAUGAAAAUUGAUAUGACAUAAUUUGAUAUGUCAAAUUAGGCUUCCCAUUAUGCUUAAAGAGCUUGUUUUUUAGCAAUUUAUAUGUUUUUUUCGUGUUUUUACUUAGUUUUCGUUCUUUGCUUUAAUAAGUGAUAUAGUGCGUUUUAUGCCACUUUUGAGACUCGAAAUGAUCAAAUGUGCCAUAGGGAACCUAAUGGUUGAUUAAGCGUUGUAGGGAGUCAUAGGAGGCCCGAACAUGAGCGAAAACAUCACCUAGAAGGGGGUAUCGCGAUAUCGAAGUAUGAAAGUCAUGAAACCCCUACAGUGCUAAAUUAAAAAGGAUCGAGGCCAUCCACAUUGGUAUCACAAUACCAACUAUGAGUAUCGUGAUACCCAACUCCCAAGGAUUCCUCCAAGUCAAGACCAACGUGGGUAUCGUGAUACUCCUGACGAGAAGAGACAAAAAAUGAUUGUAGGGGCAGACUUUGUCCAACUUCAGCACCAAUAAAAAAUACACACUAAAGGGCAAUUUGGGCAUAAAUGUUAGGCCAGGAAAAUGCUAAAAUAGGCUAAAUUUGGCUGAAAGAAAUGAGACACUUCACAUUAGCUAGUUUUUACAUUUUUCUCUUCAUUUUUUAGAGUUUAGUUCUUCUUCUCCAUAACUUAAUAUUUAUUUUCAUGUUCAUUUCUAGUUUUUCUUAGUUCCAUUGCUGGUAGUUAAGUUAGUUGUUAUUAUAACUAGGAUUUAUUUACUCGUUUAGCACUUCAAACUUCAAUGUAUUUUCACUUUAAUCCUAGUUUAAUGUCAUUUAGUUUUCCUCAAAUUUCUUUGUUAAAAAUAAUUCCUUUAGUAUUUUCAAUCACUUAUCUUGCCGCCAUUGUUGUCUUCUCCAAGCUUUUGCAAUAAAGCUUGGGUUUUUAUUUAUUUGCUUUUGGUUUAAGCUUAUGUUAGUUUUGUCUGAUUCUUUGUUGUUAAUAGGUUUAAAUAUAAGCAUGAGUAGUUAAAUCCUAAGUGAUCGGUUAAUGAAAAUGAUGGAUAACUGAUUUUUUUAUUUGAAACGAUCCCACACUCGGCAGACGUGAGCUUGAGGAUAGCAGAGAAGACUACUCGGUUGAAGCACUAUCCUAGACGAAUCAAAAAGGUACAAUUUUGACUACUUGGUUGAAGCACUAUCCUAGACGAAUCAAAAAGGUACAAUUUUGAUUAAGUAUUUAUUACUUUAGAUAUCACAAUCAAGAUCUUGUUUUGGAAAUUUUUUAAAACUCUGGUUUUCCCUAAAUUUAUUUUUCGUUGCGUUUUCCAAACCCGUUUUUUCCAACAUUACGAUAUCCAAGUGACAAGGAAACAUCUUAUUUCAAUACUGACGACAAUAUCGCGAUAUCCAACCCUAGGUAUUGCAAUAUCAUUAUCGUAAAGGAACAAAAAAUGACGUCAUGGGUAAUGUUUGUCCAGCUGAAACACCAAUGAGAGAAGGCCCAUUCAAAGGUAUUUUGGUCAACAAAGUGGGUCAAAAUUUGUUGCUAAAUCAACCAAAAUUGGCUGAAGAGAGUGAAAGACUACACUAGUUUAGUUUUUUGCUUUAGUUUUCUCUUAGAUUUUCUUCCCCAUUUUCUAGGGUUUCUUCUUCUCAUCUUCUUCCUUAGUUGUAGUUAUUAUUUUUCCUGCAAUUUCUUGUUGUUCUUAGUGUUAGUUAAGUUAGCUAUUACUGUAGCUAGGGUUUAUUUGCAUUUCCAGCCCAUUUACUUCACUUGUAUUGACACUUUCAUCUUUGUUUAAUGCAUUUUCAGUUUCUUUAUUUUACUGUUAGAUGUUCAUCUUUGUUUUGCUCUAAAGUUUUCUUCAUUAAAAGUCCCAACUUUAUCAGUUUUCUUAAGCUUUCCUUUUAUGGUUGUCAUGGUUGUUAUUUUUAUGUUUGUUAGUUUAGUUUUCAACAUGAGUAACUAAACUCCUAAAGAGGUUGGUUGAUGAAGAUGUGGUUAAGCUGAUUUUAGGUUAAGAGACUAAAUUGUAACAAAUUAGACUAAAUUGAAUGAACGUAAAAACUUAGGAUUGAUGACCCUAAGGAAAGAUUGCAAGUGAGACCAAGCAGUAAUCUUGUUGAGCACUAAUUAAUUAGUUCCGGGUUAGCAGGCAAGAUCAAGAGAUAAACUGAACUAAUUUGUAUAAUUUGGUAAAGUUGAGAUCGAAACGUAAAAUGGAACCACUUUAGGAGUUUAUGCAAUUUAGGACUUAAUUGAAUGAUUAGUGAACCGCAUUGAAGCCAACCAACCACCUCUUGUUAUUUAUUUGUGAAUUUCAUAACUUUACAUCCUUUACUAUUUAGUCCUUUAAGUUGUUAACAGAUAAUUGAUCUGUCGUAAUUCGGUGUAGUAGAUUAAACUAAUUUUCGUACUUUAGGAGCUUGAAAACAAGUAUUCUCAUUAGGUUUUAAUUAUGUUUUAGUAAAUUUAAUUAAAUUCAAUAAAAUAUGCAAAUUGAAUCUUUUAUUAACCUUAGAGGCCGAAUGAGGUCUAAGGGUGACCUAAUGAACUUCGUGAGUGUACAGGAGACCAUUAGAAGGUAUGCUGAACCGAUACUGGUUGCUAUAUCGCAACACAGAGGUUCAAUGUCACAAUACAGGAAGUAGAAUGGAGGAAUUUUGAGACUGCCUUCGAUGUCGCGACAUAGCUUGAGUGUGUUGCGACAUAUCCCUGAAGACAUCUUGAAGAAAAGUAUACUAACUUCUACUUUGCAACACAAAUCCUGAUGUGCCGCGGCAUCGACUCUGGACAAGAAUUAAUACAAGUUAGAGGACGUUUUAGUCUUCACAAUCAAAUUUAAAGCUCGGGAAUAUCAACUAACCAGGGUUAAGGACGACGGUUACCUCAAAUCUAUAAAUAAGCUCAUUUGCCACAUGUUAUGGAUAUCAAUUACUUAGCUUAGAAUCUCUCUUUUAAUUCCAGUUUAGCUUUUCUCUUUUCUCAGGUUUUAGAUUUAUUUUCAGUUUGUUCUUUAUUUUAUUUCAAGAGAUCUGAUUUGAGGAUACAAUCAACUCUUGUGGAUUCGCUUUUACUAACAAUACAAAUUAGUCUUUUUCUUAAACUCUAUACUUUUGAUUCACUUAUCACGUUUACACUUUAUAUCGACUCUAUACUGUUUAUGAAAACCAUAAGGAACUAAUCCCUCUAUGAGGGAUUAGUAAGUGGAGGUAUGAUAUAUUAACUAUUUUAUAGGGUUACUCAACGAAUCGGCUGUUUGGAAAAGAAAGAACCUAAACCCUAGGCUUGACGACCCUAGGAAGUCAUCAAUGUAGGAAUUAACCCAAAAUUGGUAUAACCUAUUUGUGAACACCUUCACCCUAAGCCAGUCUGGACUAUGAGGUCGGAAGAUAAAUAGUCCUUAUUGACUUGUUAUUCUAGUGGACGUAUCGGAAGAUCAUACUAGGAUAUCGACUAGUUGAUUGACAAGAAACCCAAAAGGACAGUUGAUGAAGAUUACGGAAGAGCUAAUCACCCAUAAUCAGAUCUGAUUAAUUCCACUUUUCAAUUUGUUGAUAUUUAUUUGCUAUAGUUUAUUAUCAUAAAAAUCCCAAAAAUCUCUUUUAUUUAUAUUUGCGUAAUGUAACCUAUUUCAAGUACUAAUUAUAUCUUUUGGUGUCUAGGUUAAAAUUAAUCUAGCACUAGCCUCCCUUGGGUACGAACACAACUAGACCCGUAUACUUGUGGAUACAACUUUAUUAAUAUAUCUUUAGUAGUUUACCCUAAAAUUUAAAAUAAUAUAAAAUUAUUUUUACAUUAAUAUUUAUAUUUUUUAUAGUUAAUUUAAAGAAAAUAUUUUUUUACCAUAUAGAAAUUAAAUUGAAUCAGACCCACCCCGUAAAAUCUAGUUAGGUGAAUCACACAUUUUGCUCUUGCAUUACCAACAAAAUCAUAAGAGAUUUUUUACAAACAAGAUAAAUCCCUUUUAGAAUCACAGCAAAUCAACAAUAGUGGCAAAAAGGAAAAAUAAAAUAAUAACAAAGGUUUGUAAAACACCAUUUAGCACUCCACGCCACAUUGUUUAAGAACUGGACCUGUUUGUUUGGGCAAGAAGGGAUCGAUCCGUACCCAAACAAGUGAGAAAAUCGAUGCCAAAAGUAUGGACCAAAGCACAACAAUGGUGGGCGUCCUGUUUUGUCUCCCCAUCAAACCUUUGAGGAAUGGGUAAAGAUGAAGAAUGACCCAGAAUGCGAAGAACAGUUUGCCGAACAAUGGACCCCAUGAACCAUAGCCGUUGUUGAUUGCGUCUGAAACUCCGGCCACAACUCCGACCAUGUUCAGUAUUAUCAGAGUUGUGGGAGGGAUUAAGAGAGUUGUCCAUUUGAAGAGAUAAAGUUCACCGAAUUCUGUAUCCUCUGCUGCUUUUGCUGUUACGGUGAAGUUGGUGUCUACUCCAGCUAGGACUUUGAGGAGGCCUUGGAAGACGGCGAAAAGAUGGGCGGAGACACCUCCGAUCACCCAGAAUUGUUCAUUGCGCCACCAGUCUUGGAUGCUAACCCCGCUCCAUCGAAGUUCAAGCACUCCAGUUGCAAUGAUGGAGAGGAAAAGUGCCAAGAACCACACACUUGUAAGGUUGCUUAGCUGCAAGAAAACCACUACUUGUCAAGCUUACAGAAUCAAGCAAAAAAAAACCCGCCCCAUUGCAUUGCCAUCCUUAGCCAAUUUCGUAAAAUAAUGACAGUAAAUACUUACAGUUGGGAUGAUGAAUUUGCCAGUGAGGAGACAAACAGCUGGAAUAGUACAAUAGGCGAGUAAAGGGAUCGAGGUGAAAGGGUAAACAAUGGUGUUGAUAUAAGCAAGCCUCUCGAGCCAUUUCAGUUUUCCGCCAUAACCAUACCAAAGUGGACAGUGACGACUAAGGAAAAUUUCUACAGAGCCAAGUGCCCAUCUCAAAACUUGGUGCAACCGAUCUGAGAGAUUGAUUGGAGCGGACCCUUUGAAUGCCGGUCUUUUCGGUACACAAUAAACCGAUUUCCACCCUCUACAAUGCAUCUUGAAACCUGUUAAAAUAUCCUCCGUCACCGACCCAUAAAUCCAUCCGAUCUGCAAUGCCAAUAAUACAGGCUCGUUAAUGCAUAAAUUGACUCCUGACCUAUAUGAAAUGUAUUGAAACAUAACAGUUGCAAAUGGCAUUAGUCCAUUGAAGUAAUCCGUUGAAAUAUAUAAUAUUACUCGCCUCUUUGCCCCACUCAGUUUUUUCUUCAUAACCACAGCUAAUUACGUGAAUGGCUUCUUUAAUCAGUGAUGUGGAAUUAGUUCCUUCAGGAAGGCCACCAUUUUCCAUCAAAGUUGAGGCAAUGAAAACCGGUGAUUGCCCGAAUCGUUUCUCGAAAUUCUUCUGCGACAUUAACGACGAUUUCUCCAGUUCUUCGUAUCCUUCAAGCCCUUCUUCGAUUUCUUCGAGAUCAAAGACUGGCGCAGACCCUUUUUUCACAUAGUUUUUGCCCAUCAUCUUCUUCUUCUUUUUUCCGUAUAAAAGACCUCCGAGUAAGCCCUUCUUUUCGCCUUUCUUCUUUGAUUUCUUCCUAGAACCUCUGCAACAACAGCAACACCAAGAAGGCCAGCAAUCACAUGUCAUCUUCGGUCGUUUCUCAGAGACUGGUGGAUCGUAGCCAUACAAUGCCUGCCUGUUGAAAACACACCCUGUGCCUACAUAUACAGGGCCUUGAAGUCCAUCUAAUCCCAACAUGUUGAUCUAUAUAAAUCGAAAAUGAUGUUUUAGGCACUAAUUUUUUUUAAACCAAAAUUUUAAAAAAUGAUGAAUGAAAGUAAGUCGUACAUCGAAGAAGACGACGUUUCGAUUAGCAUAUCGAUCAUGAUGAUCAAUACCAUCAAAUCUCUGUGGAAAUUGAACAUAACAAAGCUUCUUUCCAAACUGAGGAUCCAUUAAAAAGCACAUCGCUUCCCUCAUGGCCUUGCUAUUGUUGAUGUAAUGAUCACAAUCCAGAUUCAAUAUGAAGGGUGCAUUAGUAAGCACUGCAGAAACUCGAACCUGCCGAUGGCAUACAUGACCCAAACAAGAUCAACAAUGAAUAUGAUAAAAUGGUAAACAGUUACGAUUCAUAUUCAGUAGUUUCACUUUUCAAAAACCAAACGAAAAUUAGACCAGAAAAUGAGUAAAUCACCAGAGCAUUCUCAGCACCGGCUUUCUUAUGGUGCUGAUAACCAGGUCGUUUCUCACGAGAAACAUAGACAAGUCGAGGCAGCUCUUUGCCAUCCACAUCAAGUGCACCGGCACUUCCUAGAUAGACCUGUGAAAAUAAAGAAUUACGUGGUUCAGUACGGAUGUCUAUGGGAAAAGAUCCAAAAGGUUUACAUUGUAGAUAUUAUGAAUCCUAUCGUAAUCUCUAUAUUACCUGAAUCAUUCCAGGAUGAUCACGAGUGUUAUUUCCGGGCCACGGGGUGCCAUCUUGCAUCACCCAUCCUUCUUCUGGUUUCUUCUGAGCUUUUGCUACUAAUGCAUUGAUCCUUACUUUAAAUUCUUCAUAUUCCCUCUGCAGUAACAUAAGAAAUAUAUAUUAAACCCUUGUUAACUUGUGAACAAGAACUAUGAAGUUACAAGUUACUCGAGCUCGAUAACAAAAUUAGAAUUCUGUUAUCAAGUUGAGCUCAAGCUCAAGCAGCUCAAGCUAUCAAAUAAGUCAAAUUUGAAUUCAAUAUUCUAAUGCUUGGCUCUAGCAACUAGCAAGCUUCUAAUUAGUAUUAAAACUGAACUCAGGCUCAAACACAAAUAAUCGAAUUUAAAGUUGAGCAUAAGAAUAAGCUCAAAUUUCACUAGGUGAACGAGUCUAAUCAAGUGAACUCGAACGAGUCCAACCAUUCAAUUUAUAGCUCGAAUUUAGCUCAAACUUUAAAAUUAAAACUUGAUAUAAAUAAGCCUAAUCGAUCAAUUCGAUCUUUUUUAUACUUUACCAAACUCAAAUCUAAUUUCAAUUCGAGACGUAAGCUCUAACUCCUUGAGUUCGAUUCAGCUGUACUCGAGCACACACAGAAACACAGCGAGAUAGGCAACUUACUUUCAUGGCUCUCCGUUCUUUAACAAAGCUAGGAUGGACCUUGUCCUUCAAAUAAUCAAUCUUCUCAUUGAAAUAAAACUCCGGCGCCCUGGGCUCAACAUUAUGCUUCUUACAAAACGGAACCCAUCUCCUCGCGAACUCAGCCGUUUCAGACAACGAAUCGAAAAGAAGCAUGGAAGCACCAUCGUCCGACACAUAACAACACACUUUCUCGACCGGGUAAUCGACGGCCAAGAUCGAUAGAACCGUGUUGGCCGUUAUGAUGGGGGGUUCCUUGAGAGGGUCGACGGUACUGACGAAGACGUCGACGGCGCCAAGUUGAUUGGGCUCUCCUUCACGCUCGAACCUCAAGGAGAGGCGAUCGAGGUAAGUUUCGCGAGUAAUAGGGAACCAUUUGGGGAACUGAUCGAGAAUCCAGGAGAAGGCGAACCAAACUUCGCAGAUGACAGAGAUUAGCCAUAACGGGUAAGCGUCGUAGGCGGGUGUUAGAAUACGGAACCGGAGGAAAAAUGCGAGGAUGAAGAAUCGGAGGACGAUGACUAUCCGGUAAGGGCUUAUCAGACUUGACGAAAUUGGCACUUUUCGCCAUAGAGGCUGGCGAGCUUCAGCCAAGCUGCAAGAAGUGAUUAUAUUACCAUAAUUAUUCGAAAUAAAUUAUCUUUGUCUAAUAUUUUAGUAAGGUUGAGUUUUUAUAAUUAGCAAUUUAAAAAAUUUUAAAAUUAAGAGAUUAAAUUUUUAAAAAUAAAAAUAAAGAGGAAUUUUUUAAAAAAUUAAAUAUGCUUUUUUUUAUUUUAAAAAAUAAAAUAUUGACUUACAGAUAAUCAUCUUCUUCAGGAGGAUCAUUUCCGCCAUUAUCGUUGCUUACCAAACCUCUUUUUUCUUGCCUGACUUUCCAUUUCUCAACUCUUUCUUUCCAUUCUUCGCUUCCGUAAAUCUCUUUAUCCCCUUCCAAAUCCUUCCCCGCCGCUGCCCACAUCAAUUUAAACACUCAUACUUCGCAAUCUUAUUCAAAUCCAAUUUAAAAAUUAUUCAAAUCGAGAUUGCUUGAAUUGCGCUACUUACUGCUUCCGGCAACUGAGAAAGCUUGACCAUUGGGAUGCCAUUGAUGAUUAUUAUUAUUAUACUCCUCAUUUUCCUGCAAAUAUUAACCAUUGUUUUUUUUUAGAAAACUAUCUGAUCGAUCGUAUUGUUCUUUUUUCACCUUAAUUUUUUUUUUCAAAUACGUACAUGUUGUGGAUGCGAGUCAUCCUUGCGGUUCUUAAUCUGAAAUUCAUCAUCAAAAUCAUCUUGAUCUGAAUCAUCUUCUUCAUCUCCUGAAAUUCUUGGACUACCUGCGGAACAACAAAACACGAAGCAAUAUUAUAUAUAUGUACGCAAGUACAUGUGAGAAGGGUUAAAACAAAUUAGGGUUAAUUGUACUAUAGUCCUCUGACUAUUUCCUAGAUUCUAGAUUGGUCUCUGAAUUUUAAAAUGUCUUAAUUGAAUCUUCAAAAUAUAUCAUUUUAUCAACCUAACUUACACAUCAACUUAAAUUUGAGGUGGAACAUAUUUAAAACACGUGUAUCAAAUUGGAAACAUGUAUACACUUACCGUAUAGACAACUUAGAUCUAGCAUGUAAUGUUUUAAAUCAAAUCACUAGUUUUCGGUUCAAUCAAUUUGACCAUUGAUAUAGAAAUAAUUAAUAAAAAAUUAAAAAAUAUAUUUAAGAAAUUAUAAAUUAUUUCAAUUGCUGAUUUUUUUAUCUCGAUUUUUAGUUUUUUUACCAGUUCCGAGUGACUCACUCAAGUGCCAGUUCAAUCCCUUUGUUCGAGAAGGAAUAACUCUCUUAAAUUUUAUUGCCUUGCCUCUUUCUUUUUUUUUCUUUUUUUUAACAAGUAAGAUCUAAGUUAUUUAUGUAAUAGAUAUACACUUAUUUACAAUUUAAUUCAUGUAGAUCCAAACUUUCAUCUAAUAUCUAAAUUAAUGGUUAACUAAAGGACCUAAAAUUAAAAAUAAUCCAAAAAGUUUAGAAAUCAACAAUAAUUUGGAGACGUCUAUGAAUUAAAAUAUAAAACCUUUGUGACGCUUAUAGCGAGUAUUGCACUGAGGACAGCACUGGUUUCCUUCACUCCUUUCAUAUUCAUAACAAGGGCGGCAAACCGGGAAAGCACAGACAUGACAAGCCACGAACGGUUGUCCGUUUUCCUUUUGCCCGAUCUUAUCCCCACACACUCUGCAUAUCUUCGUUGAUGAUUGAUGUGUCGAUGAUCCCCGAUUCUGCCAUCAUCAUAAUCAACAAAUACAUAAUUCCACACACUAAUAAUUAUAAAACAGAGAAAGAAGAAGAAGAAAAUACCUCGUCGACAGCAAGUGAACCAAAGCCAGCAGCCAUGGUGGUUGAAGCCAUGGCAAAACCAAAAGAACGAAAGAGAAAGAGAAGGUGAAGAUUGAAGGGAGAGAAAGGGAGAAGAAGGGUAUUAUAAGGUGGCAGUGUGUACCAAACUGUAAGUUGGGAAGUCGUAGGUUUGAGUCUAAGAGACGUUACCGGUGAGAGCGGUAGGGUGUUUUUUUUUUUUUUUUUUCUUUUGUUGAAUAGCUAGCUUCGAUUCAAAGGGAGGGACAUCGUCUCACCUCGCCAUGCCUAACAACGAUUUUUAAAAUUUGGGAUAAAGCAAUAUUUACUCCCUGACAUUGUUAAUAGUUUUCAAUUUGAUCCCUAAACUUUUUCUUGGUCCACAUUUUUUUCCGAUUUGAUCCCUGAACUUGGAUUUCAUUAAAGUAUGAUGGUGUGAUCUUCAGCUAUUUUUUUUAAAUUACAUAAAUUAAAAAUACGAAAAAAAUUAAAAGAUGACAUGAUACAAUCUUAAAGCGCGACUAACAUGGAUAAAAAAAUUAACCAUGUUUAGAGAUUAAUUUUUACUUUAUCCGUUUAAAUUUCGAUGGUUGAAUUGUGAUUCUAGUCUCACUAUUUAAAUAUAUAUAAUGUGUUAGUUCAAAUAGAUAAUAUCAUUAAUUACUAUAUUAAUAUGGAUUUUUUUUUUAAAACACAUUCUUGUGGACUUUUUUAUGAUGGAAGUUGUGUUUUUGAAAAAAAAAAUCCACAUAAUUAAAAUUUUAAUGAAAAUAGUUAAUGGUGUUAUUUAUUUGGACUAACUACUAACAAUAUAAAAAUUAAAGGACUAAAUUAUAAUAAAUUAAAAUAUAUAGAUUAUAUCUCAAUUUUGAAUAAGGACCAAAAUCAUAAUUUAACCAAAAUUUUAUAUAUAUAUAUAUAUAUAUAUAUAUAUAUAUAUUCAUGUCGUGUAUUCAAUGCUGCUAGGUAUAACAAAAGGGUAUACAUUUAUCUUGCAUGUGCUAUGUACCCUAACACACCAAUAAACCAAGCAUUGAUUUUUUAUUUAUUUUAAAUUAUUGUUUUGAUAAAGGAAGAAAAUGUUCAACAAUAUAAAUAAAUAUUGUCGAUUGAGCCUUAAUUCAAUUAGCAUUGAUAUUGUUAUUAAUGUAGAAGGAUGUGGGUUUGAGUGCGCUGAAAUGUAUUAUCCUCCUAUUUAAGAAUCGGGGAGAAGCUAUAAAAAUAGGCUUAACAGUGUAAAAAGCCCUCAAAGUUUUUCAAGAAAAGCAAUUAAGCCCCUGUUUUAUUUUUUGCACUCAAUUGCGUACUUAAACUUUCAAAAUGUAUUAAAAAGACCUUCAAAUUUUUUAAAAAAAAAGCAAUUAAGCCCCUUUUUUUUUGCACUCAAUUGGGUACUUGAACUGUCAAAAUAUACCAAAAAAGCCGUCAAAUUUUUUUUUAAAAGCAAUUAAGCCCCUACUUUUUUUUUACACUCAAUUUCCAAAAUGCAUCAAAAGGCCCUUUGACCGUUAACUUUAAUGGUUGAUCGUUAAAGCUAACCGCCCCUAAUAUUUUUUAGUUAAAACCGCCACAUGCCACAACCACGGCGUGACUUGCAAAAAAUGAUAAAAAUAAAAAACAAUUAAAGUUAUAAAAAUUAUUAAAUUUUAAUAAAAAUAAAAAAUAUUUAUUUUUUAUUAAAAAUUAGAAAAAAUUAUAAAAAAAUUAUAAAAAUCAUAAAAUAUUAUAAAAUAUAUAUAAAUAUAUAAAAAAUUAUAAAAUUUUAUAAAGUCGUAAGAAAAUUACAAAAAAUGUAAAGAAAAACAAAAUUUGUAAAAAAAUUAUAAAAGUUAUCGUACCGAAAGAAGCAUUUUACAACUUUUCUAUAACUUUUAUUGAUUUUUAGUUUUUUUAUCAUUUUAUGUCACAUGUCACAUUAUGUUGCGGCACGUGAUGGUUUUAAUUGAAAAAACUGGGGUCGUUAACUUUAACAGUCAACGGUUAAAGGGCCUUUUUUAUGCAUUUUAUAAUCUUUUUUAUGUUUUUUAUAAAAUUUUAUAAUUUUUUUCUAAUAUUUAAUAAAAAAUAAAUAUUUUUUAUUUUUUAUUUUUUGGCACAUGUCACAUCAUAGUUGUGAAACGUGGAGACUUUAAUUGAAAAAAAUUAGGGGUGAUUAGCUUUAAGGUCAAAUGACCUUUUGAUUUAUUUUAGAAAUUGAGUGCAAAAAAAAAAGUAGGGACUUAAUUGCUUUUUUUGAAAAAGUUUGAGGGCAUUUUUGAUGUAUUUUGGUAAUUCAAGUACUUAAUUGAAUGGAAAAAAAACAGGGGCUUAAUUGUUUUAUUUUUUUGAAAAAGUUUGAGAGCCUUUUUUUAUGUAUUUUGAAAGUUCAAGUACCCAAUUGAGUAAAAAAAGCAGCAACUUAAUUGUCUUUUUUUUUUUUGAAAUGAUGCAAAAUGUUUAAGUAAUUAGUAUAACACGUUUAAUAGAUACGGGCAUAUUUUAUAAUUAGAAUUAUUUAUAUUGUAUUUAUAUUUAUACAAUUUAUCAAAAAAAACACAAAUUAUUCUCUUUUUUAUUAAACCAAUACGUCCCUUUCCCAUUCUUAAAAUUCCAAAAAUUUAGCUGCCUUUAUAUGAAUUUUGGGUUGGAAUGUAUUUUGGUAAUGUAUAGCACAUAAGGUUUGGUGGAUGUGUUGUCAUUUUUCUUACAAGGCUGAGCUAGUUAUUCAGUCAUAAUUAAAGCAAAACAUUAGGUCAAAUAUCCUAUUCCUACUUGAAUUUGAAAGAGAUGAUACCAUCCCUUCCUGUUAAAGAUUUAGCCUUGGUCGCAAUAUCUCAAGAUUUUGGUUUCGUCUUUCAUGGACACACUUUGUAAUCGCUUAGUUAAGUUACAUUACCGCAAUAUUUUCUCUUGGUCAUUCUAGAUUUUGUUACAUAAUCAUCUCUGUAUGAUACGUGAUAAGUUGUUGAGUAGUUCAUAAAUGACUCUUCAUUAGGAGCAGUUCGUAUACAAUCCUCCGCAAAUAACAAUUCGUGUCAACCCUUCGUGUGGUAUGAUUCGUAAGCGACCCUCCACAAUCCUACGCAUCUUUGUGAGAACCACCAAUGCAUAAUCGCCUCAUAUGGCCCUAAAGGGGAGUGUCAAAGCAGAACCACACAGUACACUCCAUGUUGACAGCUGACUUGCACAACUAUGCAAGUACAAGCUUGACUGCACGAGUGACCAAAGAUCUACUCUCUCCCUUAGCAAACUCUUUUUCUUCUUCUCCCCUUCCUUCUCCUACUUCUCUCUCUUCUCGCCACUGACUCUCCACCUGUCAUAGGUGAACCGACACUUCCCUCCAUCAUCCUCUCCUCUCUGUUGGUAACCUAUGUCAACAAAUUUUGAUAGGAAGAAGAAAAAAAUCAUGUUAAAUCCGUUUCAAUUUCAAAUUUAAGCAAAUUGAUCCUUUAAAAAAAUAUCUAUCACUAAUAAAAGUUAGGGUCUGUUUGAUUGACGGAAUUGAUUUUCCGGAAAAUCAUUUCCAACUUGUCUAGCGUUUGAUUGGCGGAAAACAUUUUCCAUUUGGAAAAUGAACUCCAAAACAAGGGAAAAUAGGUUACAUUUUAGGGAAAAUGUCUUACCCUUUCAAUUUCCGUAAGACAUUUUCUAUGCUCUCCUCUCUAUCGCCUCCUUCAUUCCUUCCUUCAUUUCCGGUAGAAAACUACUUCUGUUUAUCGAUUUUCCAGUAACUUGUUUUUUUAAUUAUUCAAUACUUGUUUUUUUUAACACAAUUACAAAUAAUUUAUUUGAUAUUAGUUUUUUUAAUUUAUAACGAUUAAUAUUGUAGCUUAAUAAUUGAGUAUUAUCAUAAAUAAAUCAUUGCAAUAUAUGUAAAAAUAAUUUAAAAUAUAAAAAUUUAUUAAUAUCUAUUAAUAUAUGUAAAAACAACUUUUCCGAAAAAUAUUUUCAAAAAAUCUGCCAAGCAGCAGAAAAUAUUUUACACAGAUUCAAUCAAACACCAGAAAAUAUUUUCCAGUAAAUCAUUUUACAGAAAAGUAAAACAUUUUCCAGAAAUCCUUUUACAGAAAAUAUUUUACUGGCAAUCAAACAGACCCUUAAUUUAAUCUUUGUCAAGUAUAAUAUACAAUAAAAAAAUAUUCAAAAGGGUGAGGCUUGAAAUUGAGAUUAUGAUUAAGCAAGUAGAAAAACCAUCCUACUCUAUCUCUACCAACAACAAAACCAAACUAGCAUUUUUAAAUUGCCAUCAGAAUUUUUAUCAUUCCGACGUCUUUAAUCUCUCGAAUCUUUGUUAAUUUAAACCAGAGACGGAUCCUCAUUAGGAUAGGGCUUAAGGGGCUUUUGCCUUCUAAAAUUUUUGAAAGUUUUAAUUAUGCCUCCUAAAGUUUUUAAAAAUUAUUAUUAAACGUUUGAAUUUUUUAAAAACUUCAAAUAGACUCUUCACUUUCUUUUCUUUUCUUUUUCUUUUUUUUUAAAAUUUUCAUAAAUCUCUAAAAUUUUGGAACUUUUAAUUAGACCUACCAAAAUUUUGGAAAUUUUCACUAAAAUUCUCAAUAUAUAUAUAUUGAAUUGCGUUGUCGUUAGAGUUUUAUCCUCUUCUUGUAAUUCAUCAAUAUAUAUAUUUAAAAUUUUACUUAAGUCAGUUAAAUCUCAUCCAUUUACUUUAAUAUUUCAAAAAGGCAUUUAUAUUAUUUUAAAUUUAAUAUUUAAUAAUUUUUAUAUUUUUAUUUAUUAUUAUUUUUAAAUAAUCAUCUUAAUAUUUUUUAAAUAUUUGCAUUAUACUAUUAUAUAUUACUAUAAAUUUAAAACCCAUGUAUCAUUUUUUAAAGGAUGUUUUAAAAAAUUAAAUUAAAUUCAUCUCUAAUUUUAAAUAUAUGAAAAAGACGUAUUUAUAUGGGCAGUGAAAGAUGGAGAGAGAGGAUAAUUUUAUUUCAAGUAUCUCAGUUUUAUUUUUUCAAUUUAAUCCAUAAUUUUAGGUUUUAAUUUAGUCAAUUUAAUCCCUCACACCAUGUUAUAAUUGAGUCUUACAUGUUUUUUAUUUGUCCAUUUCAUGGAUGCAGUUAUGGGUUUAUGCAAUUUGGUCAUGAAUAUGGUUUUUACCCAUGUCCUUAAAUUCGGUCAAUAAUUAGUUUUAAUUAUUGUUUCAUUUAUUAGUUUUAAUUCUUUUUCAAUAAUCAGUUUGUACUUUUUCUUCUAUGGUCACUCAGAAAAAUUAUAAAAAAAAUAUAUAUUUAAUAUAUUUUAAUUGAAUACAUUAUAAUCAAUUUAUGCAUCGCACGAGUAAAAAAAAAAAUUAUGUAUAUCACAUUGGUAUAAUAAAAAUUACAACAUACUAUCAAUUUUUUUUUGGUAGAAAAAAAUAACAUAAAACGAUUACGAAAAAACAUACAUUCUAAGAAUUAUAAAAACUUAUUUUAUCAGCUAAUAGAAGCCUUUGGAUCGAAAUUGAAAAUUCUUCAAAAACGACUAAACUUAAAGAACCAGAUACCUCAAGCCUUAUCAUAUGACCAACAACUACAUUUUAAGAUCUAACACACAUGAUCAACUUUUUAUUACAAAUAUUAAAGCGAAUGUUGAAUAAUUAUUUGUUAGGUAAUUAUAAAAUUAUUAGAUGGAUGCAAAUAAUGAUGAUUAAUGUAACAUAUUAUUACUUUUAAUAGAAUAAUUGAUAUAUAAUUUAAUUUAUAUGUACAAUAACUUAUAUGUUAAAAAUAAAUCCAAUCCAAAAUCAUAAAUAAUUAAUUAAUUAAAUGGAUGGAGGGGUCUAGAGAAUGUAAGUGGAUUGAAGAAUCUAACAGACAUAUUUUCUACACCAAAAGUCAUUAAAUUAUUAAUAAAUUUAUAUUUUGGUUAUUUAACUUUAAAAAUUAUAAAAAUAUCAUUGAACUAAUUAAAAUUUUUUAUUUAAGUCAUUGCAUUGUUAAGUUAUUUGAAAAAAAAACUGUCUAAUGAGUUUUAAGCGAUAACUCGACAAUUAGUAUAGUGGAUUAGUGCUCAUCAAAGAGUAGAGAACGGAAAAAAAAAGUUGUUUAGAUUUCAAUUUGCAGAUUCGUAAUGUUCAAAAUUGUAUCAUAAAAAAAAUUGAACCAUAGGAGAGAAUGAGAAAGAAAAUUUCUAAUUUAGUGCAAGUGAUGUGGAAAAAUAAUGCCUUUCAAUACUCAUUUUAAUAAUCCGGUAACUUAAACGAAGGCUUUGAACCCCAUGUUAUGGUUGAUGGUCAAGGGUGUUCACCGCCCUAGGUGUGGCUUGGGUUCGAGUUACGCUAAUCGUAUUUAUUGUUCGGGCUUUACCCUACUAUUAUAAUUCACAACAAAAAAAACUUUAAUAGAGACUUUCUUAUAAUUUAGUGAUUAUUUUGUAAUCAAAAUAUAACAUAAUUUUACUAAUAAGCAAUUUAUCCUUCUUUAUGUUUUGUGUAGAACAAAAAGCAUUUUGAUCCAUUUUUUCAAAGAAAUUGGGAAUAUAUCAAAAUAAUGCGGACAGGUUUAAAGAUCAGCAGCAAAGUAGCAUCCAAAUCUUCACUUUACGAGAAAAAAUGUUCGGGUGCGAAUGUUUCUACAGGAAGAAAAUGGAUCUGUUGCCUCUUUCAGACCCUGAACCCUUCUCCCUUCCAGCACCUCUCCCUCAAUGGCCUCAUGGUAUUACAAUUUUGAUUUUUUGGGUUUUCUUCGCAUUGUGUGUUUCUUUAAUGGGUUUGCUUCUUCUUCUUUUUUGAUUGGAUUUUUUAGCCUCGACUUGUCCUUUUCAUUGUUAUUUUCUGAUUGAUGGGGGUGAUUUCAUGAGCUACUGUUUUACUUAUUGUAUGAACUGAUGUUAUUUUUCAACCUUGUUUUGGAAAGUUUGCAACAAUAUGUUUGCCUCUUUGUUAUAUCGAAUUAUGGAUCAGUUGGGUAGCUGCAAAUAUGAGAUGUUGUUUUCACAUCUAUGAUGAAUGCAAAUAUAUAUAUAUAGCUUGUACUUGGGGAUGUUGAGUAUGGUAUCAUGUUUAUUAAACAUAUCAUGUUCGUGUUAUGUUUUCGUCUCGUUUCUAAAUUUUCCGGGUUUAGAUCGGAUUAUUGAUCAGUUGGGGGUAUCUGCAAAUAUGAGUUGUAGUUUCCACUUCUACAAUGAAUGCAAAAAUUUAGUUUGUGGUUGGGAUUUUUUGAGUGCAUUGUAGUGCUCAGUUAUAGUUUUUGUUCUUAAUACAAUAUUGAAAUGAUGAAACAAACGAUAAAAUCUGGGAAAAUUCUUGAAGAAAAAAAAAUUUAGCAGGCGAAGAACAGAGGGGUCUGUUUAAAAACUAAUUUACUGCAUUUGAAUAGACAAUUGAGUUUUGCUUUAAUGAUAUCAGAGAUGUAGUCUUUCCAUAUAGGUAUAUAAGUUCUUAUGCUUCUUCAGUUUUCCUUUCAAAUGAUGUAAGCUUUUGAGACCAACAAAUCUUGAGAAACACAGCUUUGAAAUAUCCCCUUUUUGAAAGAAUUUUAGCCUUCUCAAUCCCCUACAGAUCUUUGUGUUUGAGAGGCCGAAUUGUUAUGUCCUUAGACUUCCUGCAGAGAAAGUAAGCACUUCUACUGAUAGAUGAAAUCCAGAUAUAUGAAACUGAGGUAGUGUGGAAAAUCUAUCUAACAUGGUUAUACAAUUAUCCAAGAAGUAAUGAAAUGUUAUAUGAUUUAGUGCUAAUGCUAGACUAUGUCACACUGGCUCUUCAUUUUUUUUUAAAGUAUUCAUAUUUGACACCCUUGGUUUUUUCACACAUAUUUGGAAAUCGGUGUGGAGACACGAUAUACAUGUAUGUAUGUCCUAUACUUGCUUCUGAGUCCAGAUAAUAUAGGUGCUGGAUACGAAUCCGUUUACUCCAAUUAAUUCUUUGUAGCUUAUGCUGACAGGGCCACUAUGUUCUACUUUGAUUAUUCUUUUAAUUGUGGGUGAACAAGAACAAAUCUUUUUUCCUAGAACUGUUUCAUUUGUUAAUUUUGUAUUCCUUUCAAAAAACAAAUAUGAUACAUCAAAUUGUUUUUUCCAUGAACUCGAGAUGUGGCCCACUGUUGUUGCAUAAAUACCUUGAGUGUGAAUGGUAGACAUGGAUAUUUGUCUGACACGGGUAUACUCAAUUUUUUUUUCAAGAUUUCCAUCUAGUCGGAGGGUCCUUGGAGGAUUGUAUCCUUGUACUUAUAUCCGGAUAUUGUGUAGGACAUAUGUACUUCAAGAAAAUAACAAGUCAGAGCAACAUAAGGCAAAUCCCCCAUUCCCAAAUAAAAGUUUUUCAGCACUUAUUUUUGAGCUUUCUCUUAUGUUUGAGUAUCAUCUCUUUGUUUCAUCAUUCUUCUUCAUCAUAUGUCAGCUAAAACAAUCUAUAGGGUCCAUUAUUGAAUUCUUGAACUGGGAUGUGAGUGUCAGAUAUUUGUAUGUGUCUGACACAGCAAGGUCAGAUUUUUUAAAAUUUUUCUAUGUAUUUGGAGGAUCCUUGUAUGCCAUAUCUCUGUUCCCAUAUUUGGACAUGUCUGUUGGACACUAAUAUUUCAAGAAAAAUGAAUAGUCGGAACAACAUAAGUUUUGAUGUCAUGUGAUGUUUAAAUGCAGCAUAGUCCAUAGCGGAGGCUGGUAAAAUACAAUGCAAGUUCAAGUCAAAAGGUUCACUUGAGCUGAUGUGGUUCAAUCUUUUGUUAUCAUUUUGAAGAUGACUUAUCUUGAAAUUUCUUUUAUUGGCCUGCCUGCAUUUUCAGGUCAGGGAUUUGCUUCUGGAAAAUUAAAUCUCGGAGAACUCGAAGUUGUUAAAAUCUCGAGAUUUAAGUUCAUCUGGAGCAGUAACUUGGAGGACAAGAAAAUAGGUGUCACGUUUUAUAAACCAGUUGGAAUACCUGAUGGAUUUUAUAUCCUUGGUCACUAUUGUCAAUCUAAUGACCAACCUUUAAGAGGUUUUGUUCUUGUUGCUCGAGAGGCACCUUCCAAAUCUGAAGCCGCUGAUUUCUCAACUCGUGUUACUUCACCAGCCCUUAGGGAGCCUCUCGAUUAUACACUAGCUUGGAAAUCGAAUGAUGGGAGUGAGGGAAGUCUUGAAGGUUGCGGUUUCUUCUGGUUGCCACAGCCUCCUGAGGGUUACAAGUCCGUAGGUUAUUUGGUCACAAGUUCUAAAAAACCAAAAUUAGAUAAUGUGAGAUGUGUUCGAGCUGACCUAACUGAUAGAUGCGAAAAGUAUCGAGUUAUGCAUUCGGAAUUUUCGUUUCGAGUUUGGAGCACAAGACCGUAUCAUCGAGGGAUGCUGGGGAGAGGUGUCUCCGUUGGGACUUUUUCUUGCAUUAGUGAUUCGAUACCUGGACUAGAACUGCCUCUCUCAUGCUUGAAGAAUUUAGAUCCUUCACUACAUGGAAUGCCAAACUGUGAUCAGAUUCAUGCACUAAUAAACCACUAUGGACCUACAUUCUUCUUUCAUCCCGAUGAAAUCUACUUGCCUUCUUCAGUUUCAUGGUUUUUCGAGAAUGGAGCACUCCUGUUCAGAAAGGGGGACUCAGUAGGUGAACCAAUUGAUGUCGGUGGCUCGAAUCUACCUAGUGGUGGCUGCAAUGAUGGAGAAUUUUGGAUUGAUUUGCCAAGUGGUGAUCAGAGGAAAACUAUAAAACUAGGAAAUUUGGCAAGUGCUAAACUUUAUCUACAUGUGAAACCAGCACUUGGUGGGACUUUCACUGAUAUUGCUCUGUGGAUUUUCUGCCCCUUCAACGGACCAGCAACGCUUAAAGUCGGUAUUAUGAACAUUGCACUUAACAAGAUCGGACAGCAUGUAUGUGAUUGGGAGCAUGUUACACUCCGUAUAUGCAACUUUACCGGAGAGCUUUGGAGCAUAUACUUCUCUCAGCACAGUGGUGGUGUAUGGGUGAAUGCAUAUGAAUUGGAGUACACACAAGGAAAUAAAGCGAUCAUCUACUCGUCAAGAAAUGGACACGCUAGCUUUUCUCACCCUGGGACUUACAUUCAGGGUUCUGCAAAACUAGGAAUCGGUAUUCGAAACGAUUGCACUAGUAGUAACUUCUACGUAGAUUCAAGUACUCAUUACGAACUCGUUGCAGCUGAGUAUCUCGGAGAUGGGAUCGUAGCUGAGCCUGGUUGGUUGCAGUUUAUGCGAAAAUGGGGUCCAACUAUUGUCUAUGAUUCGAGAACUGAAUUGGAUAAAAUUGUUCAUGUUUUACCGGUGAUGCUUCAAUCGUCGGUGAAGAACAUUUUUGAUAAGCUUCCGGUUGAGCUUUAUGGAGAGGAAGGCCCUACUGGUCCUAAGGAGAAGAAUAAUUGGGUUGGCGAUGAAAGAGGCUAGUUUUGUGGGUUAGCCUCUGAUCUUAAUAGCAUCUUGCUGGUUCUCAUCUGCUGCCUAGCAAGUACCGGAGAUGGACAUGUAAUACGAGUACCGGACAUUGCCCCGGUGGGAGUGUAUGUGCUUCCUAGGCUGCCGUCCUUGUGUUCAUAGUACAACAGUCGGUGAAUUACAUGUUCAUACUUGGUGUAAUGAUUUGUAUAUGUAUCUUCUCAUUUGUUUCGGCUUUUCAUUUUUCUUGAAGUGCCUAUAUCCGAUGCUCGUGUCGAGUGCAUAUUUUGAUACUGUGUAUAGAGAUAUAAUUCUUCAAAAAUUCUCUAAAUAUAUAAAAAAAAUCUUUGAAAAUAUGACAUUUGUACACUCUUUGACAAAAGCCUCAGUGCUCCAUAGACAUUUUUUUAUGGAAUAAUGCUAGGAGUACGUUUAAAUAUAGACAUGAGAUAUGAUCUUUUACGAAUCUUUAAAAUAUAUUUAUAUCAUAUAGUCAUAUAUGAUACAAUCAUGUUCAAAUAACAUGUCAUUUUUGUUGCUAACAUUAAAAAAUCAAUAUAAAUAAUUAACUAUUCACUCAAAUUUACUUUUAUAUUUUAAAUUAGUUUUUUAAUUAAUAAAAAUAGCAAUCUAUUUUAAAAACAACUACUGUCAUGUUAUUUUAAUCCAUAGUUAUACUUAUUUUUACUACCUUAUUAGUAAUAAUUGUGAAAGUUUUUAGGUCACCAGUAAACCUGUUCAUGGCCAGGCUAGGUAGGAUUCAGGCUGAGCUUUAAUCAAUUUCUAGGCCCGUUUGAUAGAUCCAAGCUUGGGCCAGUCUGGAUUAUUGAUGUUAAAUCUAGGCUCGACCCGUAUAAUUUUUUUAUAAAAAAAUAGGCAGCAAAACAAUAACAAAAUUGUAAGAAAACACCAACAAAACAAUGAGAAAAUAACAGUUUUUUUUUUUUUGCAAAUAUGGGUUGGGCCCAGACCAAAAGAACCUUACUCGAGGUCUGGCCUAUUUUCUAAACGGACAUUAUUUUUUUGUCCAAUCUAAUUUUUUGAGUCUAUGUUUUUGUUCAAAUCUUCCCACUUUUCAGGUGAGCCAGGUGACCCAACCCAAGGACAGGUCUAGUCACUGGUUUGUUGGUCCGACCGAUUCGAUCAACCCAUCCACUUCAAUUAAAUAAAAUUAUAACAAUUAAAAUAUUAAAAAUUCGAUUCAAGACCCUCUCCAAAUUGAUAUCUUAGUUGGUUCCUGAUUCAACCGAACGGUCCGGUUCAAACAAUAUUGAUAAUUAUUUUAAGAUAGUUCAAUAAAAUAUUACUCUAUUAAUACACUUAAGUGCACUUGAACCUACAUAUUCAGGAGUUGUUACAAUAACAACUAUACCAACUGAGUUAAGGCUUAAUCAGCUUUUAGUAUCGUGUUUUAAAAUGUUAUAUAUUUUAAAAUAAAUUUUGAUAUAUUAAUAUUUUGUGUUGCGUAAAUUUAAACAUACAUAUUUCCUUUUCAUUUGAAUUAACAAGUUUGCAGCAUUGACAUUUAAAAAUAAAACAAGAAUUUUCCGAUUGAGUCUUAUCUUAAUUGGCAUGGGCAUUGUUGCCAAUGCAAGAGGAUAUAGGUUCGAGUGUGCUGAAGCGCAUUAUCCUUCAAUUUACGGGUUGGAGAGAGGUUAUGGGUAGUUUUAGGCGUUGUAUCAAAAAGAGCAAAUAUGAUCAGAACCUAUUUAUGAGUCGGGAAGAGACUAUAGGUAGUUUUAGACAUUAUGUCAAAAAGAGCAGAUAUAAUCAGAACCUAUAAUGAGAUUACGUGCUAGCAAACAACAAUUAUCAAAUUCCAAUUAUACCUUUCAUUCGUCUCGUUUUCAAUAUGGUUUAGAUACCCUUGUUUUAUUAUUUUAGGAUAAAGCAACAUUUAGACUUAAAUUUGAUAAAAAAUUUCGAUUUAAUCCCUGAAUUUUUUGUACACUUUAAUCUUGGAAUUUGACAAAAUUUCCUAAUUUUGGUAUAUGCGAUGACAUGCCACUCUCGCAUUAUCACCUAAAUAAUUAUAAUAUUCUUAUAAAUAAACUAGAAAUCUUAUCACAUGCAUAUCUAUGUGAAAACCGCAAAUUUAGAACACAGAUGAAGUUAAUUUGUAAGACUAACUCAAUCAAAUAUAUUAUGUGUGUGGAAACCACGUAUUUAGAACACAUGAAUGCAUUUAAAAGUAACAUAUAAUAAAUAAUGAAACAUAAGGUUUGAAACUAAUAAAAAUAACAACACAUGCAAUAUGUACGAAAUUAAAAUAAAAAAAUAGUUUAACGGAAAAAAAUUGUUAUAGAUAAAUACAUUAUAUUAAUAAUAUUACAUGCACUCUAAUUAUUUAUAAUAGUAUUAUCAUUUUAUUAUAGCACGUCAAAAAGAGAUAAAGUUAGUGAAAAGACAAUUUAAUAUUGAAAUUCUAUUCUUUAAAAAUUAAAUAUCGAGUGACUUGUAAUAACAAUGUAAUUAAGUGACAUUGAUUAUAUACAAGUUCGGUGAGAGAAAACAUUUUACGUUAAAAGUUAAUUUUAUUUAAGUUUGCUCAAUAAUUUUUAUUGGUGUUGUGGUAAAAAAUUAUUUAUAAAUCUAUUAAAUAUUAGUUUAAUCUCUUGAUAUGUUAAUUUUAGUUAUUUUAUUUAAUAAAAAGGAAUAUUAGUCAUUUUCUCACCGAGUUAGCACCCGAUUAACCCAUGGCACGAACUCGAGGUUUUAUUAAUUGUAAAUAUAGGUAUACAAAUUUGGUGAGAGAAAACAUUUUAUUUUAAAAGUUAAAAUUUUUAAGUUUAAACAGAAGUUAUUAUUGACGUAGUGGUAAAUAAUUUGUUUAUAAAUUCAUUAAACACUAAUUUUAGUUCUUUUAUUUAAACACUAUGUAAAAGUAUGGAAAGAUAAAAAAAAUCAUCAAAAUAAUAGUAGUAGUCAUUUAAUAAAAGGGUAUAUUAGUUAUUUUCUAACCGAGUUGGUACCUGAUUAACCUGUGACACCAAUCACAGUCAGGGUUAAAUUAAAUGUCUUACUAAUGCAAUUGGGAUGGUUUCAAAUUUCACAAUGUGCAUAUUUUUAUUUGUUUUUUCAAGUAAAAGAUUAAAAUACGCUCGAAUAGUAUAAUUACAAAAAUGUCUUACUAAUGCAAUUGGGGUGGGUUCAAUUUUCACCAUGUGCAUAUAUUUAUUUGUUUUUUCAAGUAAAAAGAUUAAAAUAUACUUGAGUAGUAUAACUUAUUUUAAUUACGAAAGGACAUUUUGAGUAGUACCCGAUUAACCCGUAAUAUCAACUCACAAUCAUGGGCUAAAUUAAAUGUUUUACGGGUAGGUUCAAAUUUCACAAUUUGCAUAUUUUUAUUUUUUUUUAAAGUAAAAAUAUUAAAAUACACUCGAAUAAUAUAAUUUAUUUAGAUUACGAAAAUAUAUUUUCGUAAUUUCUCUAAUCAAUUGAUGUCUGAUUGACUCGUGACACAAAUUCAAUUAGGAGCAUAAAUAAUGAUAUAGAUUUAAGUAAUAAUGUAACACCCCUAACCCAUAUCCGUAACCGGAAUAGAGUUCGAAGCAUUACCGAAAUUUACAGAUCAUUUACAUAUAUUUCAUUUCAUUUGCCAUACAUAUUAUAAACCAAGUAGAAUCAAUCAUAUGGUCCAUUAUAUGAACCCUCGAGGCCCAAAAUACACCUUAGAAACAAGUCAGGACUAAACCGGGUAUUCUGAGAAUUUUUCGCAAAAUAUCAAAAUUUUUCCAAGGUACAGGUAACACACGCCAGUGUGGUCAGGCCAUGUGGCUCACACGGCCAAGAGACACACCUCGUGUCUCAGGCCAUGUGGAUAUUUGAAAUAGGGCACACGGCCGUGUCCUAGCCCGUGUGCAUACCCGUGUAACUCUUUGACUUGGGUCACACGGCCAAGCCACACGCCUGUGUGCUAGGCCGUGUGAACAUGAAAAUUUGCAUUAAAUAGGUGCAUGGGUCACACGACCAAACCACACGCUCGUGUGCCAAACCGUGUGAUCUAUUUUGAGCAUUUUGUUUUGAAAUUUUUAAGAUGCAGGGGACACACGGCCAAACCACACGCCCAUGCGUGAGGCCGUGUGUCCCGUGUGGACGAAAAUAAGGCCAUUUCCUAGUCAUAUUUCUCACCCAAACUUAUCUUCCACCUAUAAUAACAGUUAAAUACAUUCCCAAACCAAUAUAAAACAUUUGAAUUAAGCUAAAACCAAGUCUUAUGCAUAUCAUAUCAUCAUAUAUAACUAAGUAUCCAUAUUUAACAAAUUGAUCACUUACUUAUAUAUAUAUUCAUAUUUGUACCAACUAUACCAACUCAAACCAUGUUACAAUUUGCCUUUUAGUUAACUAUCAAUCAAUUAUACCAAGACACUUAUUAACUAUAAUAAGACCAUAUACUUAUAUGUAUCAAAAUGUAUCAAACAUAAGCCAUUCAAAUGGCUAAUCACAACAAAACAUUUAUUUGCCAUCAAUGGCCAAAUUAACCUAUACCAAAGUUGAUUUAAUAAUUAUACCGAAAAAAGGAGAUUGAUAGUGUGAUGUGGCUCCGACAAGCUUCCAACCUUAAAGAGCUUCCAGGUUACUAUAAAACAAAGGAAGUAAAACAAAGUAAGCAUUUAAUGCUUAAUAAGUUCGUAUAAUAGGAAUUUAACUUACCGAUUAAUUCAAAUUUAAGGUAAGCAAAUAAACAUGCUCAGACCAAUUUGGCCAAUUUCCUAAACACAUAUCCCCAUUAAGCUUGUUAGUCAUGUAAUUCACAUAAAUACCAAGAAACAUGAAUGAGCUCAUUAAUAUUCAAUUUCCACAUACAUGUAUUUAUCACUUCAGGUGUCCAUGAACAUGUACAUAUCAUAUCUUUGUAUUUCAAGUAUUUCUCAUAAUAAUUCAUCUUGAAUUCAUAUCAUCUCAUAUCAGAACUUUACCUGUUAAAUCAUUUAAAAAUAUUGAUGGAUACAAGGGUAUUACACUUGAAGUGUAUAAAGCUGUAAACCGUCAAUUCAUAUUCGGGAAUGCUCAUACAAGCACAUAAAUGAUAAGCUCUCUCUCGAGCCAUAUAACAGGAAGCUCAUGUGAGUUAUGUAAUGGGAAGCUUAUCCGGACUGUAUAACAGGAAGCUCAUAAGAGUCAUAUUCAGUAAGCUCAUGCAAGCCAAUAACGGGUAGCUCUGAAGAGCCAUUAACGGGAAGCUCCGGAUAGCCAUAUAUCAGGAAGUUCAAGCGAGUUAUAUCGGGAAGCUCCGGAGAUCCAUUAAUCAGGAAGCUCACAAAGAGCCUUUAAUUGGGUAGCUCACGAAGAGCCAUAUAUCGGGACGCUUAUAAGAGCUGCGGUGUGUCCACAACACAUGCAGGAUCAUAACCGAUCGGGAUGCUCCGAAGAGCUAUUAACGGGAAGCUCGCAGGAACCAUAUAAUGGGAAGCUCGAGAGGGCUAAUAAUGAGACGCUUUUUCAAGCUAUGGUGUGUCCGCAACAUAUGCAGGACCACAACCAAUUCGGGAACCCUGUAUCCAUCAAAUCUCAUUUAUCCAAACAUGACUUAUUAUUUAUCGGACAUUAUCGGAUAUGUUGCAUACAUAUGACAUUUAUACAAUUCACAUAUACAACAUUAAAUUCAGACAUAUAAAUAUACACAAUUUAGUUACACGAACUUACCUCGACAAUUAUUUGUGUACGCAAAAUCUAAUAAUCUGACACUUUUUUUCUACGAUUUAACUUCGUUUUUGAUCUAUCUGGAUCUAUACGAAUGAAUUUAACAUCAAUUCAAUAUAAUUCAUAUUCAGUUCAAUCCAUUUCAUAUCUUAGGCAAAAAUUACCAUUUUCCCCUAUUCUUUUAAUUAAUUCCAAUUUCAUCCCUAGGCUCGAAAAAUGAAAUUCAUGCAAUUUAAUCCUUAUUCCAAGCCUAACCAAUUUUCAUAUAUCACAAUAGCAGCCCAUGUAUUUCAAAAAAAUCAGAAUUUUUCAUGAAUUUUACAUAUUUUCAAUUUAGUCCCUAAAUUACAAUUUCAUCAAAAUUCCCUUUACAAAAGUUGUUUAUCUAUCAACAACCUUUCUUUUUCUACCAUAAAACUUUAAAAUUUAGGCAUAUUCAUCAAUGGCAAAACCCUAGUACUUUGAUAACUUUACAAAUUAAUCCCCAAAAUAGCUAAAUUAAGCUAUUACGAUCUCAGAAACAUGAAAAUCAUUAAAAACGGGACUUGAAUACUCACCUAAUUGAGCCAAAUAAGCUUGCUACCUUCAAGCUCUUCCAACUAGGGUUUCCAUGUAAAUAAUUUGGGAAAGAUGAUGAAAAAGAUGACAUUUUCAUUAUUUAAUUACUUAUCAUCUUUUGUUAUUUUUACUUUCUAAUUUAGUCCUUUUCUUUAAUUAAUCUUCCAUAGAUGAAUCAUCAUUCUUAUCUACUAACUCCUCUUAAUGGUCUAUUUGCCAUAUAAGGACCUCUAAUUUUGAAUUCUAUAGCUAUUUGAUACUUAUAGAUACUAGAACUCAACUUUUGCAUUUUAUACAAUUUGGUCCUUUCCAUCUAAUUAGACAUGUAACCGAUAAAAUUUCUUUACGAAAUUUUCAUACGAUAUUUCAAUCAUAAUGCAGACCAUAAAAUAAUAUUAAAAUAAUUUUCCUUCCAGGCUUGAAUUUGUGGUCCCGAAACCACUGUUCUAAUUUAACUGAAAACGGGCUGUUACAAAUAAUGUGACACAAUCACGUUUAGGGGUGAGUAUUCGAUUGAUUUGAGUUGAAUCGAGUAGAAAAAUUUUGAGUUAGUCGAGAUGACGAAUCCUAUUUUAGCAAUCAAAUUCAAUUUGAAAAUCUUUCGAAUUGAUUGAGGAAAAAAAUUUCGAGUCAAGUCGAGUUAACAAAUCCUAUUGUUUAUACUCAAUGUUGUGUUUAUAUGGACAGAUUAUUUAACUAGUAGACAAAGUUUGAGAUUAGUUAACUACAUAAACAAUAUAAUUGUUUUGCUUUUUAACUUAAUAGGUAAACAUUUAUAAAAAAAGUAGUUUUGACUUUUAACUUUUAACUUAAUGAUUUUGACUUUUAACUUUAGAAAAGAUAAAUAUUUAUCAAAACGACAAAGUUUUGUAUUUUUUUAUUUGGAUUUUUGGAUUUUACUCGUUCUUAAUGUGUUGAAAAAAGGAUUAAUUUUCCAAUUUUCUUACUAAUAAGAAUUUUUUAACAACUCUCAUUUUCCUAUAUAUAUAUAUAAAUUUCUAACCAUUUACUUAUUCAUUUUUUGUAAUUUUCCUUCCACCCUACUAUAUUUCGCUUUUAUGUUUUAAGUACGUUUCAGCGUUUCACUUUCCCCAAAAUUCUCAGACAGAGGGAAAGAAAAGAAAGAAGAAAACCCUCAAUACGAUCAACAGCCGUAAAAACCCUAGCAUUCUAAAUCGACGGAUCCUAAACCCUGAAUAUUUUCCAAUUUCUUUUUACCGAAAGCCAAAAUUCACAAGUCAUUAUCAAUUCUUCGUGGUUUCCACCAUGUUUUCGCUUUUGAUUUGUACUCUUUUUCUUUUUUAAAUUCAGAUUACAGAAUCCUCAAAUUCCCCCAUAUGAUAACUUACUAUAAUUUACUUCCUUUUAAUAUGUAGAAAUCCUAAAUUAUUGUUACUUUCAUCGGGUUUUUUUUUGUGAUGGAGUCAAAUCCAGUGGUUUUCGAUAUAAGCUCCGACGACGACGAUGAGGUGGCGUCGGGUUUGGAAGAGUCUAAAGGGGAUGACUACGACUGGUUUUCGGAAGUUCUGGAAGCCGUUAAUAAGGGUUUCGACGAUUCCGAUGAGGUGGUGGUGAUCGGGGAGGUCAACCCUAAUAAGAAGUCGAAGACACGGAACUCAUCGGUGAGGAAGGAUGUUACUGAAGAAGACGAUGAUUGUAUCGUUUUGGAAGGUGACCCCGAAAAGGCGGUGUCCGAUGUUAAUGAUUACCAUGAUGAUUCUGAUGAGUUGCUUGUUGUCGGCCACAAAGGGCAGGUAAAAUAUUGAAAUUUUAAUCACUAUUUUGUUGUUUGAACUUUUGUGUUUAGUGGUUUUUGUGAUUAAGUACAUUGAUGGAGUUUCAUUUUUAUAUGUUUGGUUGCUGAGAAAAUUUGAACAAAUCAAUCUCUAUGUGGUUUCCAGUAGUUCCUAGUGAAAUUUGUCUACGAUGUAUGCUAAGGAAGGGAAUAUAGAGGUAUAGAAAUAGUUGAUUGACUUGAUUCUUAAGCAUUAUUGUUGAUAUUACUUCUGUUAUAUCUUUAUGUCCUUGCAAUGAGCAUGGCUUUGCGCAGUGUUGAAUUUUACAAUUGGGAAUAUGGUUUUUCUGAUAUCUGGGUUCUUAAAGGUGAAUGUUAAAAUUCAGUUUUGCUAUUUUUUCAGCAUUUCUUGAAUUUUUUUUUGUGUAUUUUGUUGUGGUUCUAGAUUAUUCUUUUAGUAAUUUGUCUUCUAGCUCCUGCAAUUUUGAAUGUUCAUGGCGUUUAGAGAUGCCCUUUCAACCAGCUGAAGCACCAUCAUUAUUGGAUCAUCAGUAUGUUGUGCCGUAAGUGUCAACUUGGAUGACAUGAAAGGUGAGAAUUAAGCCCUUGAAAAACUGUAAUCAUCUGUUGCAGUGAGAAAUUGCAUCUUAGUCCUUUCUGUUUGCAACUAGAUCAGUAAUUUUUGGAGAAAUAAGCUGAUCACUAGUUUUCCGGCUAAUAUUCAAGGAUUGAACUUGCUGCGAUGGAAACUACUUAGAUGGAGAACCAAAAAGUAUCAAUCUUUGUGCUCAGAUGAUCUUAAGGGUACAAUAAAUAUGUUUCAUUGAUCCUAAAUUUCCAGAUGAGCCCUUGAAAUGUCAAAAGAGUGAAAGUAUGAAUGAAGUCUCAGAGUUUUCUUAUGCGAGAUAUCUAGGAGCUGAUGUGAUAUUAGGGGCAUUUACAUGCUGCUUGCAUUACUUAGUUUUUUUUAUAUUAAUGUUGAACCUACACUUUUUGUUUUGCUUUACACAUAACAUGAAAUUUUGAAUAGCUGUCUCAUUUUUCUAUAUCAUCUGUUUGCAGGUUGCUUGCAGAGAUUUCCCCCAUCCACGACAUGAUUGUGCUAAAUUUCCAUUUAGUUCAACUUCUCAUGAUCAGCACUGUGAACUGGUAACUUUUUGAAUCUUUUAAUUUUGAGAUUCUUGAUUGUACUAUGAUUAUUCUUUUUGAAAUUGCAGUGCCAUUGCUUUGUUUGUGACGUGCGAGCACCAUGUUGUUAUUGGGGCUCAGGUAUCACUAAUACUGAUCAUUGUCAUGCCACUGAUAAAGAGGAAAUUUGGAGUACUUUGCGGAAGAAUUUCAGGCAUGGGAGAAAUGUUUCCGUGCCUCCUGUCACAUCUCAUUCUACAAUAGUGCCCCAACAUAACCAUGUGCUGCAUCGCGACAUUAUUCGGUUGACGACACAAAAUCACGUUUCCAGACCAACUCCAGUUCGAGCUUCUGGGAACUGCAUACCACAAAAUAAUGUCCCAAGGCCAUCCAUAAUUCGUGCUUGUUCGUCCUCCUCUACCAAACAUGGAGUUCCAUAUAACCCAACCGUGGGUAGCCGACAUGUUCUAAAUAGAAGCACGAUUCAGCCGCGCUCGGGUUCACAGGAGUUGCUAGGUGUGCGUAAUUCUGUAAUUCAAAGGGAUCGAGGUACUAAGACUAGGAACAUGAGUUCCCAAUUUGUCUCUUCCAACACAAUGUCCAAAAGACUAGAUACUGAAGUUCCUGCAACGGUGACCCGCAACGCAUUUGUUCCACCAGAGAACAUUGAGAACAUUAUUUCUGCUCGUGCAUCACAGUAUCAACCAGAGAACAUUGAGAACAUUACUUCUGCUCAUGCAUCACAGUAUCAACGAAAUCCUGCUUCAGUUACAACAUCAAACGAAAGGAACCCGAACCUCAUUGUCUGCCCAAACAAUUCUGAUACAAGUCUAGGAACACAUACAUAUCAGAGCUCCUCACAACCGAGAAUGGACCCCAUUUUUGCAAACUCAGCACCCUCCCUAUACCCACCAUACAAUCUGUGUGUUCCUCAGUCUAAUGUAUACAACGAUACCAGUCGUGUUCAGAAUCAAAGUCAUCCUGCAACAUAUAAUGGUUUUUCCGAUUUUGACAUUAAUUGGGUCAAUAACAUCGAUUUAAGCAAUCAACAAUCUUCUGCUGAUUAUUUACAGUUUCAAACCUCAGGGUCCACAAAUGGGGAAGGACCAUUCAAGGUAAAUGGGGGAGAUAAGUCUUAUUACAAUGAGCUUGAGAGCCUCCUUUUGGAUAACCAGUGUGCUCCUGGAGGGUCUCUUACUGCAGGACUUAAUGCACCAUCUCCUCCUGAUCAUAUACCUCUCGAAACUGGUAUGCUUUUCUUUGAUAUCGAAAGCUCUUGGGAUCGUCUAACUCGUGCAUAGAGUAGAUUAGCAUUUGCUUGUGUAUUCUCGUAUGCUUUUCUUUGAUAUUGAGACCUGGCGGGAUCGUCAUUUAGCUUGUGUAUAGCGGAUUAGCAUUUGCUACUGGAUGUUCUAAAAGAAGGUAAAGUAUGUUCCUUGCUCCACAGACCUUGAAGAAGUCAUAGUUAGGAUGCUGUUCCGCAGGGGGGAACUCGGAGCACAGAGCUUAGCUUAAUUGGUUUGUACAGUCAUCUUUAAAAACCGACAUCGGAGUUAAAAUCUUGAAAUAUGCAACUUUUUUUUUAUUUCUCAAGCUACGGUUUCCUUUGUGUGGGAAAAAAACUUAAGAGGCCGAAUGAUGUUGUACAGAAAUAUUUAAGAAUCCAAUGGUUUUAACUUAUUGAACAAUGUCCAGAAUUCAUUCCUUUCUUGAUGUUUUUGCCUUAAAAUAAUGUUUUUGGAAGAUGGACAGGGUUUGUUGAUACUAAAUGUGGUGAGAAUGUUGGUGCGGUGGAGAUUAAGAUGGUUAGAGAAGGCGAAGAAAGGAGGAAGAAGUUUGGAGUAGGGGACGAGAGAGAGGUAUUAACCUGAAUAUGGGUCAAGUGCCUAGUUGAUAACUGAUGAUUGUUUUGUUUUAAGUGGUUUGGUUGUGUGAAGCAGUGUGAGGUAUAGAUGGUGGAACCCGACAAAGUAGAUGGCGAAACCGAAAUGGUUAUAAGAGACCUUGGCUGAAUUGUGUUUCUAUUUAGGACUUGUGAACCAAAUUGCAAUUCAGUGUUUUUUCCUUGGGAGUUAAAUCUAUCAUAUACAAUAGAAUCCUAUAUUUGUUAUUUGUGUUGUAAAUUUUUAAUUAAGUUAAAAAAAAUAUUGCUCAUUACAUAAUUAUUUAUACUCAAAUUCAGAUCCACAAAUUAACCUGAGGAAGGGCUAGUUUAGCAUUGACUCUUAGAAGUAUUUUUGGGGACUAAAAACACUUUUGAGAUUAAAGUAUUGUUAAAUAAGAUAUUUUUAAACUUUUCAAAAUUGUUAGAGACAAAAUAUGUUUUGCAAAAGCAUUUCUUUGGCCAAGAGCAAAAAAUGCAGGUUUUUGUUCGAAGGAGCUUUUUAAUUUUAAAGUAUUUUUUGAGAAGUAUUGUUAAAUUGACUCGAAUUUCCACAAAACAGCAAUACCCAAAAUAUUUAAUUUUUUUAUUAUAAAAAAUCCGAAUAUCAGCCUCUCAGAGAUGAAGGAAAAGAAUUGGUUGGCUCCAAAGUUGCACCUCUUUAUCCAUGUUUCAACGCCCGUAGCUCUUACCAACGAUACUCCACUAUCUAUCCCUAAAGAAAGCUUUAUUACGAGGAAGAAGAAAAAACAAUGGUGUCAUCCUUACUUUCGCCUUUCCCCAACGUCAUUUCACAGCUUAAACUCGUCUCUCGCUCCUCUCCUCCUUUCUUUACCAGGUCUCGUUCCUGUCCUUUAUUAAUUUGAGGAAAUCCAAAUUCAAAUAGACCCCACAAAGAAAUCUUUAUUGUAUCGACAUGGAUUCAAGCACUAUAACCAUAACAAUCCCAUUCUUUUGAUGCAAGAUUGCAAUGGAGAGAGAUGAUGAAUGAGUUUGAUACCAAUUCAUCUAUGAAUUUUACAUUUCAAAAAUUAAGAACUAAUAAAUAUAUAUGUUAAAUUUUUUGUUACUUGCAUGAAAAAUUAUAGUUGUUAAGUAAAUAAAAGUAGGAAUCAAGGGUUUUUAGAAAAGAAGAACCUUUAAGCUAGUGCUUCGGAUUUUGUCAUCAGGUUUAGGAUAAGAAGAGACGGAGGCCAAGAAAUCCACUCCGACAGACCCACACCCUAGCUGUCGAUCAUGUUAACAAAAUUGAAGACAUUCAUCAAUUUUAUGAUAAUGCUUUAACAAAAACAAAGAGGGGGUAUGAAUAUACGAUAGAGACAAUAAUGCAAUUUAAAAAUAAAAAAAGCGUACGACGAUGCGAUGUUCAGGAAGUGGUGGAAGCGAUUCGGUUGACAUUUGGGCCCUGAAAUUUGAAAAAAAAAAUCUCUAGAAAUGAAGCAUUGACCAUUGAGCAAACCACAGUACCACACACAAAAUUAUCUUUGUAAAGCUUUGGGGUAUAGAGUAUGUGUCUGACAUGGGUAUUUUGGUUCGACACGAUUAUCUUAUUCGGACCUUCUUUUAGUGUAUUUUAAGUGAGCAAUGUAGUUCUUAUUUGAUCAAUGUUUCAAUUUGCCCUUCUCUGUUCAGUUUCGUUGUAGAACCUCGUAGUAGGUUAUGUUACUUGGGCUCAUGAGUGUUGGGUAUGUACAUGUGUCCAAUACGAAUAUUUUUGUUUAUCAAUUUUUUAAUUUGCUCUUCCGUCUUCCAUUUCUUUGUAGAACCUCCCAGUAGUUUGUAAGUCUCAAGUAUGGAUAUGUCUCCAACAUGAGUAUUUUCAUUUUAUUUUUUUAAGUUUUUAGCUUGUACUUGGAGAAUCCUUGGAGGGUCAUGUUUUCAUAUCCAAGUUUAGACAUGCAUUGGGCACACCUGUUGUAAGAGAAGGAUACUUAAGGAAAAUUGUAAGAGCUUGAGCUAUAUAACUAGUAGGUUUAAUUGAUUAGUUUAGCAUUUUUUUCCACAGGUUCAGGGAGGUGGGAAUGCUGGAAAUGCCUUAACUUGUGUUGCUCGUUUAGGAUUAAAUCCACGACUAAUUUCUAAGGUCUUACAUAUCUUUGUUCUUCUUUAUUUUCUCUAUCUACUUCAAUUCCACCGUGAAAUUUGACUGUUGAAUGAGAUAACACUUUUAUUGCAUCAUAUAAAUCAUUAGGUUGCCAAUGAUGCCCAAGGCAAGAGUAUAUUGGAGGAGCUUGAAUCUGAUGGAGUCGACACUUCAUUCUUUAUUGUAAGGCUUUGAGAUAUUUUAUGGCUCUUACUUAUGGGAAAGAUCCAUAGCCUACUAUUAUCAUUGCUUUUAUCUUGAUUGAUAUAAGAAGGUUAUUUGCCUCGAAGCUUUAUUCUAUUGGUAUUUUUGAAUGUUUGGAUAUUCGAUUCUAGAAAUAAUGCUCCACCCGGAUUUAUGCAAUAUAGUUAGAUCAUUUGCGUUUGUCGAUCAUGACUUGUCCAGACUCUAGAAGUUAGAAGCCAAGAAAAGAACCUAGGAACUUGGACUGUCAUAUAGUAGAGACAGACAUGGGAAGGACUGUAUUUUAUCAUACAUCACAUCAUAGAUGGCUAGAUGAGCUUUGUGCACUGGGCAGCCUUUUUUUUUCAUAUAAGACAUUUUACUGCCAUUAAAUGUCUCAUUACAACCUGGACUCCCUCUCUCUGAACUAAUUGUGUGGAUUUCAGGUUUCUGAGGAGGGGAAUUCGCCAUUUACUUAUAUAAUUGUUGACAACGAAACGUAAGCACCUGUUGCCUUAUUCCAUGCAUUAUAUAAUCAGUUAUCCUUUCAGUAAGAAGUGUAUUUCCUUGAAAAAUCCUUCUUUUCUCUCUGAUUCUGUAUAUAGGCAUUCGAGAUCUGCCUAUAGCAGGUUUAAAGCAUGGAAAAUUAUCUUCUUCAGAGUGGCUUAGAUGGCUUAAGGUCACCUUUGACCAGCUCUUUCCAUCCUUUAUUUAAAAUAGUAUUUAUUUACAUUUUCUUUGGGUGUAGAUAUAAGCCGCAACUCUUAACACUUGUGCCAAGAACCCAAAGAAAAAAAAGAAGUGUUGCUUAUGUUAAAAAAUGAAAAUAGAAAGCAUAUGUAUCCAAUCAGUUGACAUUAAACUUUCAGGAAAACUCGCACCUGUAUUCACACCCCUGGUUAUCCACCCUUGAUACCAGAUGAACUCUCACAGUCCCAAUUAUUAUCUGCUUUGGAUGGAGCAAAUAUGGUCUAUUUUGAUGGAAGACUGUACGAAACUGCUUUAAUUAUUGCAAAAGAGGUACAUUUUCUUUUUCUUGUUCUACUUAAUAGUAUCAAAGCAGAUGAAAUUAAGAGUUAUCAUAUGGCUAGGAGAUGUCUUGCUCCUCCUUCAUUUUGCUUGGAGUAUAUGUUUUUGACAUUUAUUGGGACAUGAGAUAUGAGGAUAUGAAACUAUCAAGUACCCUCUGAAUACAUGGAAAAACUUGGAAAAAAAUGAACAAAUCCUUGUCGGAUACUUAAAGAUUAUUCUUCUUAUUUGGUAACCAUUGGAUUUUCCUUAUUUUAGCUUCUUUGAUUAGCUUUACCUUCAACUUAUUGCAUAUUCGAUGCUGGCAGUUUUUCCGUGAUUGCUAGAAUAUUAAGUCGUUCCUCCACAUUCUUCAUCAUUAAUAUCAACUGAUAGCAAGUCAAUAGCACUCUUUUGUAUGUUUCCAGUACAGGCAGCUUGCAAAAAUAUUCCAAUAUUAGUCGAUGCAGAAAGGGAAAGGGAAGGUUUAGAUGAUCUUCUGAAUUUUGCUAGUUAUGCUAUAUGCUCAGCAAGAUUUCCGCAGGUAAGUUGAUCUUUUGAUGGAUCACUAUAUGGUUCUUUUACAUUGAAGUUCCCCACAGAUAACUUGGUUUUGCAAACAUGUGUCAAAAUUUAAUGAAAUGCCCUACAACUCUUAUCCAAUCUCCAUAGAAUCCUUUUUCCAUAAUCUUUUAUAAGUGAUGUCUUCAUCCUUAUCUUUAGGAACUUAUUUUGUCAUUAUUAGUUAAAUCUAUUUUAGUUUCUCACUCAAUUGGUAAUUUGGAUAUUUAAUUGUGGCCUGGUUCUUUAAUCUUUAGUUACAAAGAUGAUAUACAUGUGCAUUGCCACUGAUAUUUGUUAACUCAGUUGAUUUUCUUUUGGCACGUAUUAUGAACUUCUGAUGAAAAAGGCGUGGACAAAGGCUCCAUCUCUUCCAAGUGCACUUCUUUCUAUGCUUCUGAGAUUGCCAAACUUAAAAUUUGUGAUUGUGACACUGGGUGAAGAUGGAUGCAUAAUGCUCGAAAGAAGUGUAAAUGGUAAAUAUCAUAUGAAAUGGAACUGUAAUCUUGUUGGAACCAUAAAAAAAAUCGAUACUUGCUUGAUUCAUUUGAAUUUGCAUUUUUUACAGGUAUUCUCUACUAUGUUUGCAGGUGGUUCCGAUGCUGAAGAAAUUGAUAUUCACGGUUUAUUGGAAUCACUGAACCAGAGAAAAGAUGAAAGCAAGACCAUACCAACAUGUAUCUCAUCGGUAAUAUACAAAGCAAAGGACUUUAUAAUUGGCUUACAUAUUAUAUCUCAUCAGGAAUACAGUUGCACGAUAUGAACUUCACUGUCUUAAAUCUUUUUCUAGAUUUGUGCUCUCAAUUCAGGAGCAUGCCUCUGAUUCAUGUUGCUAUUUUACACUACAUUACUCUUACUCUUCAUUUCUCUUGAAAUACUUGUGUCCAGACUUGUGUCUGACACACUUUAUGGGGAUAUGCCACACCAAAGGCUCUUUAAAUACAAGAAAAGCUUAGAAAAAUUGAAUAUAUUCAUGCCAGACAUAUACCUGUUUCCAGCACUCACAACUAUUCGAGUAAUAUUUUCUCUAUUAUAUUGCAUAUGUUUAUAUACAGCUCAUCUUAUAGGAUUGCUGCUACAGGUAGUUCAUCUUUCUGAUACUUUAGGAUUUUAAGUUUUCAAUGGAACCCAUUUAAUCUCUGCCGUGAUCUAAUGUUGCUUGAAUCCGAGUUCAAAGUUAUCUCUUCCUAAAUCUAGUUUGCAAGAGUUCUCCGGAGCUACUUCUGGCUUCUGAAAUUCUAUUCUCUUAUAAGUGGCAAUUAUGAACUUCUGUUUCAUCUUCCAGAUUUUUAUUUGCUAGAUGGCUCCCCUUGUAGGUGGUUACCAAAUUGAGUGCAAAUGGGAUAGGAACAGUAUUUGGUCGGCUAUUUAUUGGAACAGCUGAAAAGAUUCCACCAUCAGAACUUGUUGACACAACCGGUGCCGGAGAUGCAUUUAUUGGAGCAGUAGUUUAUGGUACAUUUAUCCCUUCAGACCUCAUUAGUUCCAACUUUUGUUUUCCGAGAGAUUAAACAUAUUUAUGUUUAAUUUGAAAGUUGCUAGAAAUAGGUAGCUAAGGUUUUUUUUGCUUUAAAGGUUCUCAUAUUUGUCUUGAUCUCAACCAUCCUUUGUUCCAAAAGUGCAUAACUAUUAAUUAGCAAUAAACCUGGCAGAAAUCUCAGAUUCUUCUGUAUAGCACUCGAUUAAGGUGAAGGUGAUUGUGUGCGUAUAUAAGAUGAACCCUUCAUCAACAGUUUCAUCAGUUAGUGAGGUUUCUUCUAUUAAUCUAUGCACAACUUAUAGCCUUACCGGAAACUUCGUGUCCUCACAGCUGAACUAGUAUCAUUUUAUGGGGAAUCAUACAACAUCAUUUCAUUCACCUUACAUUUUCUUAGACUAAUGUAGUCUGCAACAUUUUGCAAUUCGUAACCUGGCCAGAUGGGUCAUUCACUUUGAAAGAGCAUCAUUUCUUCCAUUAUUUCCGCAUUGGUCCUUUCAUUUUCUAUUUAUGGAUUAAGCCAUUUACGAGGUUGAUGACAACCCAUUUUUUGUUUUUAGCUCUCUGUGCGGGCAUGCCACCAGAGAAGAUGUUACCAUUUGCUGCUCAAGUGGUAAGCGGAUUUACUCUUUGUUAAUUAGCUGCUAAAAUUUCUAAUUGCCAGGAGAUGUUUUUAUUUUCCUUACCUAUUUUCGAGGCUUCAAUGCAGGCUGCAUCUGGCUGUAGGGCUUUGGGAGCCCGAACGGGUCUUCCACACAGAACAGAUCCACGCUUGGCGACCUUCUUGUGACAUGUCAACUAUGUUAGAGGUUAAGUAAAUUGAAACUUUGCCCUACAACAAAGAGCAUUGAUAUUGCCAUGACAAACUUCUGUAAGCUUUACUUUCAUCAACAUCAUAACAUGGUCCCUAGUACAAGCUAAGACAUCCUUUUAUAUAGAGCAAAGGGUUAUAUAUAUAUAUAUAGAAAUACAACCUUCUUUGCCUACAUUAGACUUCUGGUCUUAAUUCACUUAUGUUACACUUAAUAUUACAGGUCAUGGUCCCAGAGAGGAGUUAUGAAUCUCACAUUGACAGUGUACUAGAGUUUGAUUGAAGACUCACAAAGUGGGAGACACUUUAUGCGAACAAAAUUGUGAGGCAUAAAUGACCGAAUCAGAUAAUUGCUUGUAAUUUGAUGUGAAAGCUUAUUGAAAUUGGGUUUGGGUUAUUAGUGAUGAUAGUGAGGUGUCAUUGGAGUGGGGGAUGUUACGGUCUUAGACAGCAACCAUCAAUCCUCCUACCCCCAUUUGUUGGAAUUACAUUUCAUUUGCAAUAUAAAAAUAUAUUCACAAAUAUCUAUAAGCAU